This 111667-nucleotide long non-coding RNA is filed under the name Populus trichocarpa (black cottonwood). Its description in RNAcentral is "long non-coding RNA (PTRI_LNC002557)". The stretch from base 73259 to 73399 matches the Rfam family "MIR480 microRNA precursor family". The record is from RNAcentral. Lineage: Eukaryota; Viridiplantae; Streptophyta; Magnoliopsida; Malpighiales; Salicaceae.
CUCUCUCUCCUAUAUAUCUAUAGCAACUUAGCAAGCAUGAGCAGGCACCUCACCGUUUCUCACCUCCUUCUUUCCAGUCUCUCCAUCUCUCAAAAUAUUCCUCUGUCACCUCUUCUCUUCUAUAUCUUCCAAGUGCUCCUCUUCCUUGUUUUAGUUUCCUUUAUCUUGUGUCUCCGAAGAUAUAUAAUUAUAGACAUGGUAGUGGCAUCCCCAACUCAAAUUCACGGGGAAAAACUCCUGGCCAUUGAGCUUCCUGUAAUAGAUCUCUCAGGCGAGAGAUCAAUGGUGUCCAGUCUCAUUGUCAAAGCCUGUGAAGAAUAUGGUUUUUUCAAGGUAAAAAACCAUGGCGUUCCUCAUGACAUCAUUGCCAAAAUGGAAAACGAAAGUUUCAACUUCUUUGCCAAAACAUUCGAUGAAAAGCAAAAGGCUGGGCUUGAUAAUUCCUUUGGUUAUGGCUGCAAAAACAUUGGCUUUAAUGGUGAUACAGGAGAGGUUGAAUAUCUGCUUUGUAAUACCAAUCCUCUCUCCAUUGCUGAAAGAUCCAAAACCAUCUCCAAUGACCCUACAGAAUUCAGGCAAGUGCUUACAUCCUUUAUAUUGCUUUGAGCUUUUCAUUUAUUGUAUUUGAAAAUUUAACACUAUCCCCAUUUAUUUAUCUAGAGUUUAUUUUCUCCUUUUUUCUUUCUUGAAAUUACGUUUGCAAUGUUAGUUACUUUCAUGCAUGUAUUUGCUCGAGAGUCACCAACCUCUUGAUGAAAGUGCAAGAGAGGUUUUUUUUUUUUUUUUUGAGUGCUGCCUUGAGAACCCGAGGUAAAACAUGUUUCAGCGAAGCUAUUGGUAAAAGAUUGGUGAACAAAGUUAACAACAAAAUGAUGCAAAGCCUAUAAACUGAGAAGCCCACUACUAUUACCAGCAAAGUACUAGCAUUUUUUUUAAAUCCAAAUUAGAUUUAUUUUCGAAUUUUGAAAAUGAAGCUACCAUGCAAGUUGCUAAUUCAAUGUCCCGAGCACUUCUAUAUAUAUGUAAACAUAGUGCUGGCUGGGAACUUUCUUGGAAUUGAACUGUAUCUUUUAAACCUCUUGUAUUCAAGUGCACCUGACAUUCCUAAAAAUGCAAAAAUCUUCUCUGAUUUGCUGGUAGAAUCUUCCUUAAUGAAUUUCAGGGUGAAACAAGUUGUUUUUUUUUUAAUAUUUUAUGUGAGCAGAAUACUCGUACAUGUUAUCAUAGGAAUUUCUUUAAUCAUCCUUGGUAAUGUGUGGUAUGAAAGGAACAUGAAAAUGAAGAGAACUAGGUUUCCAUAAGGAGAACGCUAGCUAUGAAAUUAUGUACAAGCUAGCGUGACUAUUAGCAAUCAUCGCUCAGUAAUAAUUCACGUCUAAUUUUCAGUAAUUAAGCAAAUUUAUGAAAUUAGUAAGUUACAGCAACACUAAGUAUAAUCAAGAUCAUUGUAUAAAUCAUACAAAAAAUUAAGAAUAUUACAAAACACUCCAUUUAUCUUAAAAUAAUAACGAAAUUUUAGAUAUAAAAUCUGUAGUGUUUACAAUUUUUCUUACAAAAAUGUAAGAGGCAGGUUUCGUAAAAUCUUUAAAGUUUUGAACUUUACCUGCAAUUCCAAUAUAAUAUUAUAAAGAGUUAUUGUAAUUUAUCAUUAACAAGAUCAUGCAUGUAAGAAGAGCGAUCGAUUUCAAUUCCAUCUUUCUUGAAAUUUUUUUAAAAAGGGACCAACACUCGUGAUUUUUAUGAAAUUCAAUUUAAAACACCAAAUCACACGGGAAUAUGGAAUUAUAUUUCCUCCUGGAAGGUGGGAAACAUGUCAGAACUUCUUUCACUUGAGAGUCGAAACAUUCUCCAUUACUGUUUGGAAGACUUUUUUUUUUCCUUCCAAACAAGAGAAGUUUUAUGUAUUCAGAUACUAAGGUGGAUUCACUUGUUAAUGUCUUCUUAAGUUGAAUGGCCGGUAAUCUAAAAAAAAAGAGGUAAAGAAGAAAGUGAUGGUGGUUGGUUUAAAAAUCAUUUAGUUUUUUUUUUAUAUAUAUAAACCAAUCAAAAGUUUCUUUUUACUAAAAAGAACAAACAAAUAUUGCCUCCAACGUCUAUGUUCAUCUAUCUUGAAUGUCGUCAGCAUGCACAUGUAAAAUUUACCUAGUGGCAACACACAUGAUUAAGUGUUUCUUUUUCUAGAUCACAAUCCAAAACAUUUGAAAAGAAAAUGAAGAUAAGGUACUUAUUUGCAUGAAAAAAAUAUGGAGAAUCAAAAUGCACAAGUCAGGGAGAUUGUGAAAUCUGGGGGAAGGGCUUCGGUGACUUCUUUUCGCCAAAUAAUGCAAUACUGGAAUUUAUGAAUAUUAGAGAAACUGGGAAAAGCAAAGGGGAAGCAGGUCUAGUGUACUUUUCUAGACGGGUGACUGGUGGCUUCGUCUUUUUUCUUUUUUAUUUUUAAUCCCUCCUAGCCUGUUGUUAUAUUCACCGACGUCGAUAAGGCGUGAUUUUUGUGAUCUCUCUCUCUUCUAUUUCUGUGAUACAGCUCUGCAAUGAGCGGCUACAUAGAAGCAGUUAGGGAGCUGGCAUGUGAGUUAUUAGAUCUGAUGGCAGAGGGAUUGUGGGUCCCAGAUAGAUCAGUGUUCAGUCGACUAAUCAGAGAUGAUGACAGUGACUCAAUCAUCAGGUUAAAUCACUACCCUGCCAUGCCUAUACUCUGCAAGGAUAAGGACUCCUCAUCACCUUGUAACCACAACAAGGUAGGAUUUGGAGAGCAUUCUGACCCUCAGAUCUUGACCAUCUUAAGAUCCAACGACGUGGGUGGCCUUCAGAUUUCCCUGAAUGAUGGUGCCUGGGUUCCAGUAACACCUGACCCCACUGCCUUCUGUGUUAAUGUGGGUGACUUGUUACAGGUUGGUCUACUGUUUUUCUCCUUCUCCUUCUCUCUCUUAUCUUGUAGUUGAUCUGGAUUUGAUGGAAGCUACUGCUACUAUAGCUGAGCUAGCUAGCUAGCCAGUAACCAGGAGGCUUCGGAUUUGGUUUCUUGAUGCCAAUGGGGCCCAAAUCAACAUCAGUUGGGAAUGAGUAAUUGAAUCACUAAGUGCCCGUUUAGAGUACGGUAUCCCUUGCUUUUUAGUAUUUUUAAAAGAAUAGUUUUUGUUGAAAAUAAUUAAAAUAUUUUUUAUUAAUAUUAAUGCAUUAAAAUAAUAAAAGAUUUUUUUAAAAAAUAAUCUAAUAUUUUUUUUAUAUAAUUUCAACAAAUAAACACCAGCUAGAUUCAGAAAUAUUGGAACUGAAAAGUACCUGGCCGUUGGUUGGUCCUUUUAUGAUGUGUUUAGAAGCUGACUUGAGAUUACCGAGGAAAUAAUUCUGUACCCUGACUUCACCAUUUCCAAGACAUUUUCUGUGGAGUAUCGUUUUUCUUGGGUCUCUUUGUUGUGAAAAUGAAAUUGAUAUUUUUUUUUUAAUUGACAAUGACAGAUAUGUUUCUAAGGUCUUUACAAUACCGGUUUUCUUGUGGAAGGUUUUUUCUUGAAAUUUUCAUUUCAAGAACUAAAUGCUUGUUAUCGUCAAAAUCAUUAGCUAGUUCUCAUUUACUUUGACAUGACCCUUUGCUCAGUCCAAUUUGCCUUUUAUUCAAGCAUGGAAAUCUAAUUCUAAUUUCUCUCUCAAAAUUUUGUAGGCAAUGACAAAUGGGAGAUUUGUAAGUGUGAGGCACAAAGCCCUAACCAACUCAUACAAGUCUAGAAUGUCAAUGGCCUAUUUUGCUGCACCCCCACUUAAUGCAAGGAUCGCUGUUCCACCAGAAAUGGUUACACCCAUCAAGCCUGCCUUAUACAGGCCUUUCUCCUGGGCUGAAUUCAAGAAUGCUGCUUUUGCUCUGCGACUUGGAGAUAGCCGCCUUGGUCUAUUCAUGCUGGAAGUAGAUGACCAAGUUGCUUGAUGAGUUUUUGAUAGUUUAGUAUUAUGGAAUAUAAAUGUUUAAAUAUCUAAGUCUAGCGUCUUUCUGUACCCCUGAAGGGGAAUUUUGCCGUUGGAUAUCCUUGCCAUUGCUACUGUUUAUCCAGCGAGAGACUAGUAGCUUGGGGGGCUAGGGGGGGCGAGAGUAAAUGGUAUGUGACACUGUAGUUUAGCCGUUAGUGUAAAAUUUUCCCUUUUGAAUAAUAUUUAGUGGCCAGUGGGGUGGUGGUUAGCUCUAUCAUGGAUUCUUUUGAAGUGUUAAGAAAAACAAGAAUAGAGAAAGCCUUGAUAGGAUAAGAUGUUAAAUGAAGCCAAUCAAGACAAUAUAAAUUUGAAUCUGGAAAAUCGAUCUUUUGUAAACAGUAACUAGAAUCAAGGAGGGUGUAGAAAUGUUGAGUCUUUGUGCAUUGUAUUUGUCUAGCGCGCACGAGUUACUGAUACCAAACUACUUCAAGAAGAAGUGUAUCAGUAAAAGGUCAAGGACAAUGCUAGGCUGGAACUAUCAAUUUAUUUAUUAAAAGGAAAGAUUAAGAUUAAUCAUAUAUGAGGAACAGAAGCUUAUACAUAAUGUCAGAGUUCAAAGAAAUUUAAGAACAAAACCAUCCACAUCAUUACAAGUAGGUUAGAGGCUCUAACAAGACAGAACCAUCUAAUUCAAAUCAGUCAUGCGCUCCAAUGAGCAAUCAGAACUUCAGAAUCCUUGGUCUGUUAUCAUUUUACCUAAAGUCAGCCUCGAAAAUGUUGAUUUAGGGCUGCAAAUGUUCUUUUCUGUUAUUGUUUUACCAGGUAUAUAGCUCCCGAGUCAGGAAAUACCUACUCAGGCACGAAUUUGAGAUCUUGCAGCAAGGCAAGAACACUUCUACUGACCAGUUCUGCUUAGUGCACAAACACAAAUCUCCAGGAUCUCAUAAUCCUCGUCCCAUAACAACAAGGAUGCCUUCUCUGGGCUCUCUAAAAUCAUCUUUGAAUGUUAGGAAACCAGAGACUGUCCAUGUCUGACAAAGCCUGGGUUGUUCGCCUAUAAACCUUCCACUGUGCGUGUCAUAGGUGUCGCACUCGACAUCGCGACGGCCUUAAAAAUUAUUAAAUCUUUGAAAAGAACGGAUUUCUAGCAUCAUGUUCUCUGGAAUAACAAGCAACAUUGCAUUAUGGAACGCAUUUACACAACUCGAUAACAUCAAUUUUAAGUCUUUAACGAAUAUUACCUGCCACAGCUUGGCUAUCAACUAGCUGACCUUUAUUUAGUGUUCAUUGAUCAUUCGUGUGUUUCAUAAAAAAUUUCAUCGGGAUUGGUUUACAUUUAAAUAACUGUAACCUGAAGGAAAAAAUAUUGUUAGUUAAAUAUAUUUAUAAAAAACAAUAAAUAAAAAAUAAGUGCAAUUAAAAAAAAAUCUUAUCAUCUAUUUCAUAAUCUAUCUUGUAAAUUUUUUUAAAAAUUUACCAUAAAUUUAUUAUUUUAAUAUAUUUAUUGAAAAUUACUUGAUUGUAUUUUAAUUAUACUUCAUAAUAUUCUAAAUGAAAGUUAAUUUAGCGGCCUCAUAAUAUUAUCAGGAGGCGGGAUUAAUAAAUGAAGGAGCUAGAAUAGCGCCGCUCUAAUUUAAAAAUGCUCAACCAUAAACCAGGCAGGGGGUCAUAGUGGCAUGGGGUAUAAUUGUUAAAUCCAGCUUAGCCACCCGUGUUAAUCUAGAUUAAAUCUGUAAUUAGAUUGGUCGUUCAUUGAUUUAAUUAAACCUAGUUGAUCCUUCAUGAUUUAAAUCUUGGUCAUCUUUUUUAGGCUAAAAUUAUUUUGUUAGCCCACCAAAACUAAUACACGCGAUAUAACUCAGUUUUAAUUUUAUAUAUAUAUAAUUUUAAUAUUAUAUAUUAUUAUAAUUAAUCAACUAAUUCAACCCACUAACCUAGAGUCUCUAGUUGAUCCACAAUUCAAUGACCUGAACUAAGUCGCAGGCGGAUCUUAAAAACUACGCCAUUAGAGACUUUGACUCAUGGUCAAAAUAUAGUUAGUUUUGUUUUGUGGGUGCUCAGCUCUGAUAACUGGUUGGCUCACCUUUUUCAUGAUGGAUCUACAAAAACUGUUUACUUUAAUAAUGAUAAUGCUGGCACACAAGCAUUGUUCUUGAAAUACACAAGUGAAGAAUACAAAGUCAUGGCGUUUAAGGAGCAGUUGGGAAAUCAUUUAAUAAAACUAGCAACAGAUUGGUUCAAUUUCCUUUCUGAAAAAAUAAAAGAGGUUUUCAGUACUUAGCAAUUCUCUGUAUUCAAUAAUCCAAAGGUAGUUAAAAUUAUCUUUUCCAGUAUUAGCUCACACUCAUCAUUCUCAACACGACGACUCUACAACUUUGUAUCAUUUAGACCGAACACAGCUGAAGAAGCUCUCUGUGUGUGCCUAGUAGUAAACUGUAGCGGAUAGAACUGAAACUCACAGCACUGUAUCGAAAUGAAAAAAUAAUGGGAAAGCAAAAGGAUACCUAUCCUAAUUUAUAUUGCAAAUCGAUAUGUAUAUAUAUAUAUAUAUAUAUAUAUAUAUAUAUAUAUAUAUAUAAGUUGACAGUCCUGUAUAUCUAAUAGAAUAUCAUUGUCUAUUCUUACAUGGUCAUUAACUUCAUGGCCCGUGGGAUUAGUCGAGGUGCGUGCAAGCUGGCCCGGACACCCACAUUCCUGUAUAUCUAAUAGAAUAUCAUUGGCUUGAAGGAUAUCUAAUAGCAGCUGUAUAGUUAUGAAAGCUAUUCUGUACAAAUGGGACUGGCCUUUCUUGAAUUGGACUGCUUAAAGCCGAGUUACAUGAGAUGUUGUAAGUAUCUAUUUCGCACCUGGUCUUGUUAGUUUUAAUAAUUUGCAAGUGUGCCUGCUUAUACUGAACUACCCAAUUCGACUCAUGUUCAACUUGUUGCAAGCUAAAUUUUUGGCAGUCCUGAACCUCCGACUUCGGAGUUCAUGAAUGUCUACAUGCCUCUUUUAGACAGUUAAACAUUUAGCACUUAAUUGAAGAUUUCGGAUCAUGUGAUUUCUCCUGGCUAUAAGGUUAUUUCCUUUUUGCAGACAUAUCAGAAGCAAUAUUUGACUUCCGUAUAAAAGUUACUUCUCCUCAGCCUUAUAUGGUUGAAAUAACGCUCACAGUACACUUGCAGCUCUCGCUCUCUGAUCAAGUGUAUCAAUCUAUGCCAUGACAGAUACAUGCGGUCUAUACCACUUGCAGAACAACAAAUACUUGACGUGAGGAAAGUUCAAAGAACUUGAGAGGAACAAAAAAUGGAGAAAGCAUGAUGGCAGCUUUUGAUGUAAUUCAGUUUUACCACAACAUAACAGAAGUGGCUAAGGGAUUCCUUCAGCUCGGAAAUAACAAAAUUCACAGCAGAUGGAAAAAUAAGAUUCACAGAGGAUAAAAUAACCAAGACUCUUAAUUAAGUACUGAUUCCAAAUAUUAAAAUGUAGAAAAAUACCAAAACUUCUUGAUUGAUCGCAAACAUUAUAUAUAUAUAUAUAUAUAUAUAUAUAUAUAUGGACUGCAAAUUAAAUACUUCUAAGGUAGCCCAACACCUCACGUUUGAAUAGGACCCCCAGUCCAAAAAUGCUUCUUUACGGUCACCGCCCUGGAAGAAUACCCACCAGCACCACAAUCCUUGUACUCGUCCUCAUCGGUACAAAAAUCCUCAUCAGGCAAUCCAUCAACAUAAGCAUUCACCCAAUGCAGAGUGUACCUACUAGGCAAUCCUGGAUAAGAAGUCGAACCACUCUUACCUCUUACUUUCUCUCGUAAAGACCCUGGAACAAUCCUCAUAACAUCCUCAACAUUCACAUUAUCAGGCAGCAUUCAUCCAAGCUCUCUUCUUUCACAGCUCUAUAAGCAGCAGUCUCACUGCUUUCCCCUGCCUUCAUCUUUUCCCCUGGCUCCCUCCCUUGUGGUCGAAAGGAAUCAUCAGAGAGUUCCUGCUGGGCUUCCAGUAGUAUUUUCUUGGUGCUGCAAGAGGAAAGGAUGCGGACAACCAUGCAAUGGACGACACAGAAAGAGGGUAUGGAGUUUUCAAGGACUGUCUCGCCCUCAGAGAUUUCAAGCCAGAGGUUUUGGAUACUUUUAGUGCUUGGUUUUACUCCCCGUGAUUGGGAAUCAGUGGUUGAGAUACGUGGCUUUAGCGAAUCUGAUAGAGCUUCUAGUGAAAGAAAAAAAACCGUUUGGAUUUAUUCGAGGUUGUAGUGGAAUUAAACUCGUAUCAAAUAAAUUGGAAUCCUAUCCAACCGGUGAUGUCGGCCUAGAAACUAAAUCAAACUUUCAAGGCCAGCCAAGAUACGUCAAACCUGACCGACAAUACAUUAUUAAGCCCAACCAAAUACUAUGAUUCAUGAAAUGAAGUCGGAAAGGAAGAGUUUGGCCCGUAGCGUAUAUAGAGAAAAUUAUGGACUCAUGAAAUAGAGUUUAUUUAAGCUUUUAAUUAAGCCCAUAUACACAUCACGGGGAGAGAAAAUUAUAAGCCCAGCUAUAAAUAAACCUAUAGUUUACUUUUGAGAUAUAUAGGUUUAAUAAAUGCAACUUGUAGUUUGGGAUAGACUAAUCUAUAUAUUUCACGAAGAUAAUUGUUCCAAGCUUAUCGAGUCAGAAAAUUCCAUGUUGAAUUCAACGUUUUUCGAUGAUGUCGGCAAUGACUCAAUUUUCUGCAGUACUCAAUGCAUAACUCCAGCUGAAUAAUUAAUUUUUUUUUUAUCAUUCAAACUCAGCGGACUGAUCUGUGAUUUUGUUUGUAGUCAUAAUGCUAAACAUGAAUUAAAGUCAAAGUGCGAGGCUGCUAAUGUCGCUAACUUUCAUUGUCUGGUUAUAAGAACCACGUUAGUUAAUUCUAACUAAUAUGAAAUCUCCAACUUAAUUUCUUUAGUGGAACAGCUAGGGAAUUCGACUCAAUUGUCAAGUUUUAGUUUUGUGGGGUAUAUAGUUGGGUGUUGACCUUAAUUUCUUGCUACUGGAUCUCUUUUUCAGACCACUAAAAAUGGAAGCGUAGAGAAUUUGAUCAAUCGUCUCCUUCUAUUAUUAAAAUCAUGGGAUUAGUUUGCAUAUGCUAACCUUUUUUAUUAUUAUUAUUAUUAUUUGAGAAUGAAGAUAUUGGCAUCUUAAGACUACGUCAAGGCAACAGCGAAUAUUUUGGCCAGUUACUUGAGCUUUUAAUCGAGACAAGCUUUUUUGAACAAUUUGUGACAAAUGAGAAAUAUAAACGAGAUCGAUCGACCUCAAUAAACUUUUCUUGGAAUGAGAUUUCUGUCAUUGUUUAUUGUAUUUUUUUUUAAAAAAAAUCCAACAGAUUUCUCUGCCAGCUUAAUUUUGAUACUGAGAUGAUGAGAGUCUUGAUCUAUAGCUUGUGAGUUACAGCUUUCGUCAAACAUCAUCUUAAUUUCUCGUGUCAAUCCCUUUCCAUGCCAAACCCCAUGAAGUAUAUAUAUAUAGACUAUAGAUAGAGAGUUAUAAUAAUACACUCACGUUCAGACAUUGCUACAUAUAUGUAUACUUAAAACCUAACCAAGGAGCUGGCAUUAUUUUUUCCAAACUUUUCUCCUUUUCUAACCUCUUAGAUAUAAGGAACCAAGAACAGAGAGAUGGGUGAAGGAUGGAGGAAAGUUUCAGAUUGUGGCUGACAUAUCGCUAUUUCAAGUACAAUUACCGUAUCAAUGAUGUAAGCAAGCAAGAAAACUGCUCGUUUCCUACGUAAUAUGAUAUUGUUCUUGACAUUAUUCAAAAGAACGGAAUGGAUCAGCCACACAUUUGUUGAGAAAUAUUGUAUAUUUUAUAUUUUACAUACUAGUUUUUUUUUUUUAACUGUAGAUGUCCGGGUCAAUUUACGCGCACUUCGAUUAAUCCCUCGAGUCCCUGAAGUUAACGACCAUAUAAGUCUCAAGUGACCCUGAAGUUUGUGACAAUCAAACUGGUGACCUCUGGAGAGCAAACUCGUGGUCUAACUAGUUGAGAUAUACCCUUUAGGAUUUACAAACUAUUUUUUGAUAACUAAUAUUCAAAGUCAAUUUUUUAUACAUAAACAAUUAAAAUUAUUAAAUUCUAAUAUUAACAUCCUCUCAAAUUUAAGUUUAAAUACUUAUCUAUAUCCUACUUUUCCUAUUUCUAAAAACCAAAGAAGCUUUUAUUUUUCCAUCUUCAUUUGUUUUCUAUUCAGCAUCUUUUUUCUUAAUUCUACCUGUCUCAGUUUCUUAGGAUUCAAAAAACAUAUAUUAAAAUCGGUGGAUGUCCAAAUUGAUUUUUGAGAAAAAAAAAAGGUCUCUCAUUAAAAUUCUCCACCGAUGGAUAAGCACGAUUAAUAACAACAUAGGUUCUUACUUAUAGUAGAAGGCCAACAGGAACAUUUACUUUAUUUGUUACGGGUUGGAAAGCUCUUCUGUUCAUUUCUGUUCAUCAUGAUCUUGAAAUUGAAAGAGAUAACCAAUAACUUUUAUCAGCCAGCUGAUCGAGGACUCGUGGUUGUGGGGCCAUACAGGUUUAAUUAAUUUGAUGGCCCUAAAUAAGCUGAACCAUAUUGUGACUUAGCUUUCAUAUAAAAGCCUUCACGGAUGUGCUAAAGGAGCAUGAAAAGGAAGUGGCGUUUGGAGGCGCCAGUUAUACUUAAAAUGGCAGUAAUGAGAAAAGUUGAAGUGCACAAGAUAUAUCUUUUUUAUUAUUAUUAACGUGUAUGUCUGGAUCAGCUUGUGCGCAUCUCGACUAAUCUCAUGGGCCCUGAAAUUAACGACCAUAUGAGUCUCCAAUGAUCUUGAGAUUUAUGAGACUUAAAUUAGUAAUCUUUAAAAAACAAAGUUGAGGUAUAUAAGAUAUAUAUCGUUAAUACAUGUAGUGUGUGCCAUUCGGAACGCAUAUUGAUUUUAUACAGCCAUAGGAUUUGAUGCAUGGUUUUGCAGUCUUGUGAGAACCCAUGUGGGUUCAUCUAUUAUAUUUGCUUUCGGAGGUGAUUUUUCAGGGGAACCUGGCUGCCAAGGUCUCGUCCGAUGCAUGCUUUUGUUACUUCAAUCAUCCAGCGAAUCGAUAUCCUUGGAUGAUUAUACAAAAUAUCAUUAAUUUCACUUUCGGGCCGCGUGUGAAUAUUAAUUUUACUUGAAAAAAAUGUCACAUACCCAUGUUUGAUAAACAAUAGUGCCGAAUUAAUUACACAUCUUCAAAAAUUAAAGCCCAUGAUUCAUUAUUAAAGAAGCGAUGAUAGAGAGCACCAUCAAUUCGUAGAAUCAUCAACAGUGAUGACAGCAUUUAGCCAAGGAAAUGGAAACGAGAGCUUUCAAAUGACACUAUAGAUAUGACAGGUUACUCAAAAAUGCCAAUUGGCAAAUUAGAAAUCUUUUUUAAAAAAUGAAAGCCCAUGCGUGUAGAAAGAGCAAAGACGCCAGGACCAAGACACCCAGCACACCAUACAUUACAUUGGCCGGACAUAGAUCCAUAUAUAUAGAUUGAGAGGUUGUUUGAGAAUAUUGUUGAAAUCAUGUUUUUUAAAAAGUUAAAAUUAUUUUUUAAAAAUUAUUGUUUUAAAUUUUUAAAUAUUUUAAUAUUUUGAUAUUAAAAAUAAUUUUUUAAAAAUAAAAAAUAUAUUUUUAAAUAAAAAAAUACUUUAAACCACUGUCAUAAUCCAGAAAAGCAUCUCCAAGCAUCGUCAUCAACAGUGGUGACAAUAUUCAACGAAUGAAAAGAAAAUGAAAGCUAUCCAAUGAGAGUAUUAUGCCAAGCUAUUAAGUAAAAACCUAACCCAGCGUGAACGCCCAAGGGAAGUACUGAAGUCAGAACUUGGGGAUCCAUUCCAUCGUCCAUGACCAAGAUAGCAUAGCAUCAGAUGCCCACGUGGGGCAACUCAAGGCCCCACAUUUUGACUGAGAAGUCUUUGUACUUAAGAGGGCCCCAGCACAAGAUUAUACUUUGAACUUUUGAACGAAAAGAUAUGAAGAUCAACGUGGCGGGAAGAUAAGUCUUUCCUAUUUCUAUUGUCUAUUGGUGGAGUCCAGUUGUACAUUCUUCGUCUCUCCCCGCUCCAGAGUCCAUUCUCCUAUACGUGUACAGUCAACCAACAAACACAAUGUGAUCGUAUAACAUAUGUAUAAACAUGUGGCGGAGUAUUAUUAUAUUAUAUUGUUUGUUGUUUAUUUUUUAUUACUGGAAAUUAUUGAGGCUGAGGACCAACAACUUAAAAUACAUCAGAUCAUCUGUAUUUAAUGGUCAAAUUUGGAUUGAGACAAGAGUUUUUUACAUUAAAAGGGUGUUUAAGAUUGCAGUGCAGUGUAUUUUUUAAAAUAUUUUUUUAAUUUUAAAACACAUAAAAACCAUUGAAAAAUACUAAAAAAAAUAUCAAUUUAAUAUUUUAUAAAUUAAAAAUAUAUUCAAAAAUCACAUGAAAGCAAAAUCCAAUACAUCUCAUUCUAUCUAGAGUAAUCUCAUAUAUAUAUAUAUAUAUAUAUGAUCUUCAGUUUUUCUAAUUAAGGUAAAAUUAGGAAUGAAUUUAUAAUUCGAUGGUUUCUUGAGAAAAAGAAAAAUAAAGAAAGAAACAUAAAACUUCAACUUCCAAUCUCAUAGCUAAUCUCAAAUAAGCAUGAAUGUUCUUUUUUCUCAUCCUUGCAAAUCAUUAUCAUAUAUCCUUGAACAAUAAAAUUGAUUAUAUAAUUAUCAGAAAUCUAUAAAUGCAAAAUCUUCAAAUCAAUUAUAAAUUAUCAAUUAUCGUAAGGAAAAAAAGAGCUGAUAUUCAUUAAUAACUAAGUAAAACAUGCAUUUGUUUAUUUAUUAAAUGAUUAUUGUGUUUUUUUUUGUCUCUUCCUGUCUGAAUAUUAUAUUAGACAAAUAUUUUAUACUCAAACCAACACAUUCUUGAGAUAAAAAUAUUUAAUUAUUUAGAUUUCAAUAAAAAAACAAUAACGUGAAGAAAAAUUCACUUAGAAAGAUACACGUGUCUGGGAAAAUUCAAAACCAUCUAACUAAUGUAUACUAUAAUGUAGAAAGUAUUCUUCAAGGAAGAAAAAUUAAGGGCUGUUUUCAAUAGAUGUGGCACUCAGUGCUUCAGUCCAGGAAGCUUAACCUCAGGCCCAAGUAUUUAAACAUAAACACGUGGCAGAACCAUAACACCCCAGUAACCUGGGACCACUCUCGAUGGCUUCUCACAUAGGCACGCGCCUACCAAAAUUCCCUGCCGCCAUACCUCUCUCUCUGCACUGUUUUUUAUCACGUUUACAGGCUUCCCUUUUAUUCCUCUUGCACGUGCCAACUCUCCUUCUUAUUUAUCACAAACUUGAAUUGCUGUUCUGGGGGUAAAUUUGUCAUGUCAAGAAACCAUCAUCUUUGCCAUGUUGCCCUUUUCAAUUAAAAAUAAAAUAGACUUUUGCUUCAAUAUACAAUGAACAAUCAAUGCCGCUGGAUCAGUGGUUCCUAUUAAAGAGUCUUUCCGAAGCUUACUAAUUUAAUUUGAUGGUUGAUAUUUUUUCAUAAAUUAAUCUUGAUGGUGAUAUUGGUAAGAAAUAUUAAUAAUGCCCAAGUGUUGGGAUAUUUUUUAACAGUAUUAAUCUAGUAAAUAGGGUUUUUUUUUUUUAGUUCAUAGUGCUAAAAAAUCAAACCAGGUUGCAGAAAGUAAGAUUUUUAAAAUUCUUAUUUUAAUAUAAAUAUUUUUUUUUAUUAACGUGGGUGUCCGGGCUAGCUUGCACGUAUCUUUACUAAUUUCUCGAGCCCUAAAGUUAACAACCAUAUAAGUUUCCAGUGACUAUCAUAUUAGCAAUUAUAUGGUUCGAACCUGAAACUACAGGGAAAAUAAAUCUUUUAGUCUCAAACUUUUACUCCUAAACCAUCUACUAGAUGGUUUGAAUAACUUAUCUUAACAACAUAGAAGAUAAAACUGCUCUCAAGCAUGAAAAAUCACAUGAGAAUUCCAUCUUGCUGUGAAGGCAAGAGAAAAAAAAAAUUAGCAUAUAUCUAGAGUUGUAGCUAAUUCUGCUCUUCCUACCUACCAAAAGAACGGAAAACGGAACAGGAUUAAGGAAUCCCGUGUUCGCUGAGUGGGUUCAUAUACAUAGAUUACUACAUGGAAUCAAAUCACCAUUAGAUUAUGUCCGGUUAAAUGGGUUCUAAGCACUUUGUCCGUACAAUGACAACAAAACAAGAAACGGGGUUAUGGAAUUGUAUUUACAUCUGAUCAUUAAAAAAUGCAAGGUCUCUUUAUUUAUUUUAUUAAUAAUAAUUAUGGAAGUACUACUUCCUAAUGGCCAUCUUAAUUUAACCCACAAGCAAAUGAAUCCAAUAACGCCACGUCUCAAAAAAUUAUUGCAACUUCACUUUUUGUAAUCUAGAAACUUAGGAAUUUAAUCUCGGUUCAGGCCCCAUGGCCAGGGUUUCAAAAGUUGCAUCACUAAUCCAAUAAUAUAUUCGAUAACUGUUAAAAUAAUGAAAUCUAAGGAAAGAUGGUGGAACCAAUUAUGCACCUCUUUAUAUUAUACAAUUGUCGAAAAACAUGCUUCUGUAAGCAAUCAAUGGCGUUUGUAAUGGCUGUUUAGAGAAUUAACAGUGAAGUAGCAGAUCUCGAUUAUGAACUCUUUUUUCUUACCAUCUUAAGAACCCAGAAAUGGUGAAAAAAGAGAGAGUUAAGUUAAUGUUAAAGAAUGAGAUUAAAAAAACCUCAAAUUACAAAUUCCCCAUGCACCAACUAAAAUAAUAAUAAGAAAGAAACACAAAGCGAAUAAUCCACAAUCAUACCCUCUUUCUAUCACAAAUUCUACAAGAAUCCUUGAUUAUUCUAUAGCUAGCGAUAAUAGCCCCCAUGAUAUUGUAUUUUCUCUACAUUUUAACCUUCACUCUCACCCAUCUUACAUCUAUUUUCACAUGUUGUAAUUCAUCUGCUGCUGUAAGAACCAAAUAUCCUCAGGAUUCCACAAGUUGUCCGAUGUGUCUCCACUUUCCAUUAGCCAUUGAUUGCUGUUGUGCUCCAUAGCUUGGAAAUCUAAUCCUUGGUUAAAAUAACCAGCAGGACUGAUCAUGGACUCUGAGUAACCACCUUGGUCAGCUUGGAAAUAAUCCGGAUUAGGGUUAUGAUUAACCGGGAUAUAGUAAUAAUCAGUAGUCAAGUCCGAAACAGGCGAAACUUGAGCAGCAAACGAGUCCGACGAGGCAGCAGUGCUGGAAUUCUCCGGGGUGUAACUUGGUGUAACAUGUGAGACACCAAAGUCAUUGCCGAUGACUCCAUGUGGCAUGACCAAGUUACCAGUGCCAACGUCAUUAUUAUUGAUCAAGUGGUGAUUAGUGGAAGCAGCCGGGGAAGCAGAUGUGGCAGUGCUGCUGCUGGUGGCAGCAGCCGCAGCUUGAAUUCUUUCAAUUAACCUAGGCAUCCAUAGGUAUCUCAUGGUGUCCUUGAAUUGCUUGCUAUUCACGUCACAUUUAAGUUGUUUUGCGUGCUUUUGUACUCGGGUUCUCCAAUAAUUCUUGAUUUCAUUGUCGGUUCUCCCUGGCAAGUGUUGUGCAAUUUUAGACCAUCUGCAAAUUGUUCAAAAUUAAAUAGCAUGUUAUUCGUGCUUGUUAGCGCUAAGAAUUAAAACUCAUCAAUAAAAACAGAAAUAUUUUCGUAAUCUCAUUUGCUAAUUAAUACCUAAUAUUAGAGCUAGUGUGAUUAAUAAAGUAAUACAUACCGAUUGCCCCAUCGAGAAUGAAGUUCAAGGAUCAUGAGUUGUUCUUCGAGAGUAAUGUUUCCACGUCGAACAUCAGGCCUUAGAUAGUUGAGCCAUCUUAAUCUGCAACUCUUUCCAGUUCGUUUGAGGCCUGUUUCAUUGAAUUGAGUUUUGGUAAAGUUAAUAAGAGAACAGAUAAUUAAUUGCAAGAGAAAAGGGAGAAUUUCCGAUCUAUACUACUAUACUGCUUUUUAUAGUUGUUGUGCUUUUUCUCAAACUUUUUUAUUGAGUUGUUCUGAUAAAUAUAAAGCUGUACGGCUAAAGAAAAAUCAUCUAUGGCAAUAUUAUUAUCUCAUUCUUGUAAAAAUAAUUCACAUCAUCAAAAUCCCACAUAAGAAGUUGCAAAGUUCUCAUUAUCAACAAGAAGUAUAAUCUGAAAGGAAAGUUUAAGACUUUGCACCUCUUUUUAAAAAGAAUAUGGACACGGAAGGACCAUUGAAGAUCAUGAAGAUAGAAACAUGACGAAAACAAAUUAAGACAUGCUGGCCAAGUUGUACUUUGGCUCUUUGCCAUGUAUUGGGUUUAUAGAUAUUUUGAUUGGAAUAAGCGUUCGAGACAGAGAGAGACUAUAGUUUACCUGCACAGCGAGCCAGAGAAUUCCAGCGUCCCUCACCAUGAGUAGCAAUGUAAUCGAUAAGCUUGAAGUCUUCUUCAACAGUCCAUGGACCUCUUCUUAAGUCAACCAUCAUCUCUUCAUCACUUUGUGUGGUGGAGGAGGAGCUGUUGCUGUUGCCUUCAACAUCCAUCAUCAAUAUGUAUUUCCCUUAAUCGGAGAACCACUUGAUUAGAAGAAAAAAGGGUUUUUAGAGAGAGAGAGAGAGAGAGAGAGAGAGAGAGAGAGAGAGAGUUGGAUUAAUCAGGAAGAUGGAGAAGGUGGGGGUUUUUAUAGAUGCGUAGAUAGGUUUGAAAUUAGAGAAAAAGUUAGGAUGUGUGAGAGAGAAGAGGGCAAGCCGCUAUAGGAGCUUAUGGGUUAGGAGGUUUAAUUAACUCAUGAUAUAUUUAAUUGACACUUGAGCUUGCUAGUUUAAUUAUGGCAGUAAGUGCCCAAGAGGCUGUGAAGUUUGACCCUUUGACUUUCUUGCCAUCUUUUGUUUGUGCGCCUGAAUUUUAUUUUUCCGAGUACUCUUCAUUUUCAAUGAAUUGUUUAAAUAAUAUAUCACUAGAUGGCUGGUGUCUUGUGAAAUCUACGGUUAUGUAAUGGUGUAGAGAAUCUUUUCAAAAUAUUGGAUAUGCCGAAAUAAAAAUAUCAAUAAUUUUAGUUAAUUUACAAAUUAAUUUAAAGAUAUUUUUACUGUUGAAUAAAAAAUAUAUACGAUCUACGGUACUGUUCUUCUUUCUGGAAACGCCGUUUCUUCUUAAAGCAAGAAUCAACUUGUCCUUUUCUUCUUCUUUUUUACACUUUGUAUUUUCUUUUUUCUCUUUUUUUUUUUGCUGGUUAAAAAAUAAGGCAAUCCUAUACCCUCUAUACGUGGAUGUGACCCCAUUGGUCGGUUGUUGUAAUUGGCUACAAAUUCUACAUUUUACUGCCUUCGUAUAAACAAAAAUGCUAUCAGGCUCGUCAAUGAAAAGUAUCAAAACUGGCUUGUUCAUCUAUCUCACAAAGUUGACUAUUUUUAUCUUCUCGACAAACAAAAGGGUAGGUGCUCUCUUGCAGUGAAAAUCUCACUCGGUUUUCAAAGUGAACAUACAGGUGAUGGUAGACUUUUGAGAAUCACUUCCAGAAUACAUAUAAUUUAUAAUUUUAUUAUGUUACUGUUAAUUUAGCAUAUGGCUAGCUAUUUGACUUUUCUUUUUCACGGCUUGGAAUUUUUUUAUUAAUUAAAAAAUUCAAUACAUAGAUUUUUUAAUGUUUUUUUAUAUCAAAAUAUUUUUUAAUAAUAAAAAAAAAUUAUGCAUGCAUCUAAUUAAAUAAAUCAAUAAUCAUUUAUAUAAAUAAAAAAAUAUUAAGGACUAAUAGAAUUAAAAUUGAAAAGAUUGUGAGACAUAUACAGAUCAAAAUAUUUAGUCUCGCAACAAAGAUCAUUUAACCAAUUUUUUUUAAUGAAUUUGUUUGUUUAAAUUAUUUUUUUAUUAAAUUAAAUGAUAAUAAAAAUCAUCACAUGUAUAAAAUUGAUUGGGUAAAAUAAAAGGAAAACAAUAAUAUUAUGUAAGGUUACAUAUAUUAGAAAUAUUAUCCAAAAAUAUAUUUUAUAUUAAAAAUAAAUUUAAUCUAUAUAAAAUGUAAAACAAAAAAAGUAUAUAUGAAUCAUAUUAACCUCUUGAAAACUUAAAUAUACACAAUAUAAUUUUUAAAAAAUCACUAAUUAAAAAAGAUUGAAUGAAAAAAAGUCACAGAGAAUAGGUAUUAAUUAAAAUAUAAAUUAAAAAAAUAUUUUAAAAAAACAUGUAUAAAAAGUAUUAAUUAUAAACAAAAAAUUAAAAUAAAAUAAAAGGGUCGGUCACCUGGUCCAUAAGGAAAGGGCCCACGUGUGCAAGCUUUUAAUUUUUUUAAAACAUUUAUUUAAAUAAAAAAGAGGAUGCGUCGUCUGAAAUUACCAAGGUUCUAGCCGCAAUGGUGAUUGAAAAAUCAAAAGUCUUGUUUUUUGUUUUGUUUAGAAAUCUAAUUUUCAACCUAUUUUUACAUGAAAUAUUUAGAAAACACCCCAAACACUUUCAUAAACCCAUAAAUAUCUAUACCAAACGUUUAAAAAAAAACGAAGUCAAUCAAAAACAAAAACUCUUCCCAAGCUUAGAUCUAGUCAUCUGCAAGCCAAGACUUCAAUCACCACUGUGGUGCCUGAAAAAUUAGAGCAAUAUUGUUUUUUCUUAAAACCCUAAUUUUUUUUUGUCAUUUCAACAAAAAAAAUACCUCACCAACAAAUGAAUCCUUUAGCCCAAAAUACCUAAAAAAAAGUUAAUAAACCUGAAAUCAAACAGGGUUAGUUUUGGUUUUCCUGGCUUAGAUCUAUUUUUUCAGGCAACACUGAAAUUUUAAAAAACUACCAUCAAGUCCCUCUCAUUGUAUGAAACAGACGCUAAGAAAAACCGUUUUAAUGGCGUGAGUAUAAUUUUCUCUUUUAUCACCGGAAUCGAGUGUCUGAUCUCUUUCUCAUAUAUCUAAUUAGAGACUGAAAAAUAAUUCAGAAAAACUUGCAUACCAAAAAUGAAUUUUAAAAAUUUAAAGGGAUCUAAAUUAUAUAAAUUAUGUUAUUUUUUAAAAUUGAGGAUUCAUGUGUAUUACGUUGCUUAAUAUUUUCAUCCACUAGUUUUCUUUAUUAACUUAGGUGUUUAGCCAGCUUGCAUGUAUCUUGAUUAAUUUCAUAAAUUUUAAAAUUAACAAUCAUAUAAAUCUCUCGUAACCGUAAAAUUUACAAAACUAGAACCGGUUACCUCUGUUCAUCUACUAGUUUUGUUUUUACUUAUAUGUGGUCUCGAUCAGGUUAUCUUUGUCCUAUACGAGAUUACGCCUUAUGUUUACAAGAAUACGCUUACAGGAACGUUAUUUAUUAACACCCACAGCGAAGUGCCUUGAAAUUGUCUACAUCACCAUUAUUGAACAUUUAAUGUUUAUUUUGUUUCUCCACUCUCGUUUUGCUUUUAAUUAGGAUAACCGCAGCCUAGCUAGUACCUUCUCGCAUCAUACACUCUGAGUUGAGAUUUUUAUUUUUAUCUUUUGUAUCUUUAUUAAUUCGAGGAGACUAGAAGUGUGCAAUACUGCAAUGGACAUUGAAGUGCCAUCAUGAAUUAAGUGGAUACGCCCAAUCAGAGUACAUUUGCUUGUCACAAGUCAACAAUCUUGAUGGUAACUGUUACAUAAAUGAGCAAAAAUGGACACACUGAAGUUACAAUUCAAUUCGUUUUCUAGAAAGUGAAUUUUGGUAAAUUACUUUUCAAUUUUUUUUAUAUUUGUUUGUCAAAAAAAAAGUUGGUUAAUAAAAAAUAUUUUCUGAUAAAAAAAAAUUUGGUUUGGUUACCAGGAAAGUAUUUUUCUUUUAUUUUGGACGGAAAACACUUUCCGGAAGUUGUGAAAAAUUUAGAAAUAUCAUACUAUUUCUUUUGUUUUGAAUAUUUAUUUUUCAAUUUCAUCCCUUAUAAUUUAAUUUUUAUAUUAAUUUUGGUCCUCAUUUUUAUAAUUGUUAUUUGUUUUUUUCUUAUCAUUUUUUAAUUGAAAUUUUUGAUCUAUCAAAUUUGAUUCUCAUUCUUUUGAUUGUUAUUUAUUUUAUUUGAAAUAAUUUAUGAAAUAUUAAUUAUUAUUAUUUUAAUUUCUUCAUCUUUCAAUUUUUUUUAUUUUUUAGAUUUGAUCUCUAUUAUUUUGAUUAUUAUUUAUUUUAUUUGAGAUAAUUUAUGAAAUUAUGUUUUUUUUCAAUUUCAUUCUAAUUCAACUUUUUAAUUUGUAAGAUUUGUUCCUCGUUAUUUUAAUAAACUUGAAAAAAAAUAAAAUAUUAAUAAGUUAUUUUUCAGCUCAUUUUCCAUGACAUAACCAAAUACUGAAAAGUAUUUUCCAACUUAUUUUUCAUUAUACUAUCAAAUAUCAAAAAGUAAUUCACCUUUCUAAAAUUUAAUUUUUUUAAAAAACUACUUUAUAGUAAAUAAACAGAUAUUAGCCCUCUAGCAAAUAAACGGGAUCUAUGCUCGGCAAUAUUUCCAUUACUGAAGAAGGUUACAAAAGAGGGGCCACUUCAUUGUUACUGGGCUCUCCCCCCACAGAUAGCAUAGUUAUUAACUUUCUAGCUUGGUAAUUUAUUUAUUUUAUUAUUAUUAUAGAGGAGAGGCUUGAACAUGAAGUUUUUCAGAGGAGAAAGAACUCACUGUCAGUCGAGCCUGUUGAUUUAACUUUUAAGCAGUAAUGUUUCUGUUUUCCCAGGGGAAAACGAAUCAUGUCCUUUUCUCUCCCUUUCCUCCAAAUUGGACUGUUGCUUGUUAGUGUAUUGUUCCUUACCUCUAGAAAUUGGUUUCGAUAGGAAAUGAGAAAUAGUUUUUUUCCCAUGAAUAUACCAUGUUUUGCUGUGGAUGAAUUAUCUAAAUUGGGAUUUGAGAAACUCUUUAUAUAUAUUUUUGAAAAGAUCUAUGAUUAAUCAUUCAUCAAAAUUACAAAAGUAGUUUCAUAUACUUUACUGGAUUUUUCAAGUAGUUCUCUUCCCAGACAUUAUGUAGUGCAGAGAGCGUCAUUUUAAUUAGCCGGAUUAAUUGAAUGCUUCGAUUUGCCUAGAAGGCGGGGUACAGCCUUAUUAAAUUGUUGCAUUCAAUUAAAUCGCCACAAAAAUUAACCCUCUCAAGAAGUUGUAACCGGCAAAAUAGAUAUAGGAUUGUAGAUGCUGGGCAAUUAGUUAAUUGUUUUUCCCCUGUUUUAGACUCACCAGCUUCAUUAAUUCAUUGAACUAUAGUUAAGAGUAAUUAACUUGAGGUUUAUGCAUUUCAUGUACCGUGUCGAAGAACGAUUAGACCUACAAGUUAAAGCUAAGGUUUAUAAUUUAAUAAUCUAACAUUUAUCACUUUAUCUUCUUUCUUGCUGUUUUUUCUGACUUUUAUUUAGUUCUCUCUCAAUUAAGUUCUGUGUGAGGAAACAAAGAGUAUUAAUAUUGAAAAGUCUUGGGAUCAUUCAUGAUUUAAAAGGUCAGUUGGGAGGCCAUGGAUCGAAUGCAGCUCCGUCCUGUAAGAAGUAUUAAUAUAUACCAUUUCGUUUUUAAUUAAAUACCCUAGUAGGGAUGCCUACGUGCUACUCCUUGGUCCACCAUAUGCUUUCGUAUUUUUUGAGACGAAAUCGAAACGAUAAUUAGAAGCAGCUAAUAUAUGGACAAAACGUUACCAAAAAAAAAGUUGAAAAUGGAAAUUAAGUGAUAUUUUUCGAAAGUAAGUUAAUAAGGUUAGCUAAAUCGGAAAGACUGGAAUAAAUUAAUUAUAUAAAGUUGUAUUCGAUUCGAAGUUAAAAAUCGAAGGUUAACUGUUAAGAAAUUAUAAUAUUAAGGCAUAAAAAAGAGUUAAAAAUGAUGCGUGGAAUAUAUUUUUGUAAGUGUAAAAAACAAAACAGUGGAAUGGUGGAUUUUAAUAAAAAAAAAUCAUCAAAAUUUAUAUUAAAUAUAAUAAAUAAAUUAGUAAAUAAAGUAUAUUAAUGGUGAUAAUACCCCCUCCCCCCGGCGGUGACUCUAGUAGGUUUGAUGAUACUAAGUGGCCGUUUGGGAGUGUGGCUGCGGGUGAGGUUCACCCGCAGCCACACGCAAUAUCGUUUGGUAAGGGAAAAAAAUUCCUUUUCACUGAUAGGACCCACUACAAAUUAAAAUGAAACCGCAAGUUUUGGAGAAGCAGCAUUUGGCUGCUUCUCCUGAGGCAGGAAGUUGUAACAGUGGAGCAUGGCUCCACUGUACAGUGCGAGUGAAUUAAUUCACUCGCUCUGUACACUUAAACUUAAAUCAGUUUUUUUUUAAAAAAAAAAAACCAGGAAAAGUUUAGGUUUUUUUUUUUAAUUAUUAUUUCGAAAAACCAGGAAAAGUUUAGUUUUUUUUUAAUUAUUAUUUGGACAAACCAGGAAAAGUUUAGUUUUUUUUUUAAUUAUUAUUUGGACAAACCAGGAAAAGUUUAGUUUUUUUUUUAAUUAUUAAUUCGAAAAACCAGGAAAAGUUUAGGUUUUUUUUUUAAUUAUUAUUUCGAAAAACCAGGAAAAGUUUAGUUUUUUUUUUAAUUAUUAUUUGGACAAACCAGGAAAAGUUUCGUUUUUUUUUAAUUAUUAUUUGGACAAACCAGGAAAAGUUUAGUUUUUUUUUUAAUUAUUAAUUCGAAAAACCAGGAAAAGUUUAGUUUUUUUUUUCUGAAAAACUAGUGCAGUUAAGUGAUUUUACUCGCACUAUUCACGUGAACAUGAACAAUAUUUUUUUUUUAAAAAAUUAGUUUAAGGUGAAUUAAAUUUACUCGUACUGUAAUCUCAAUUUUAUUUCUGACAAUAUUUUAACUAAUUUUAUUGCAUGCUCAAAAAAUCAUGAAAACUGUAGUUUUUAUCGAAUGAAUUUUGUACGUAAUGAAAUUGUAAAAUAUUUUUUAAAAAAUUAAGUUUUACUCGAAAAACUAGUAUUUAAUAUUAUUUAAUAACACUAUAUAAAUUAGAAGGAUAUCGCAUGAUGACGCAACAUUUGUGGAAUUUAAUCGCAAUUCCAAUUAUAUUCUUAACGGGUCUGACCCAGUUAAAAAAAAUUCAGGUUAUAUAUUUAUUUUAAUUGUAUUUUAUUCAAAAAAUUAGAAGGAGAUCGCUUGAUGACGUAACAAAAAAUGCAGUUUUUGUUGUUGCGUGCUUAAGAAACCAUGAAAAAUAUAGUUAUUGUUGGAUAUAUUUCGUAUGUGAUGACAUUGCAUAUAAUUUAAUGGAAUAAUAAAAAAUAUUUGAUAUCAAUAUUAUUUAUUUCAUGAUGUAAUAAUAGUAGUUAAAUCUACAAUAUUUAAAUUAAAAAUAUUUUUUAAUUAUUUUAUAACCUCAAUUUGAAAAGCAUUUUUUUAACCAAACACAUUAAACUACUUUUUUUUCAACCUCAAUUUCAACCACAGUUUUAACCAAACAUCUAUUUUUUCAAACCAACCUCAACUAAAAGUACUUUUUAUAAAACAAUUUUUUUUAAACCACAACCACAACAGCUACUGCAAUACCAAACACAUUCUAAAUGUUUUUGUUGCUUUGAUUUCUAAUAAAUAAAACAACGAUAUUUUCAAUUUGAACAAUGAAGUUUUUGUGAUUUAAUCUGAUUAGUGGUUGAUGUCCUUACAUUCAUAUGUGUUAGAUUUUUAUUUGAUAUAACUAAAAAAAGAAAAGAAUUAAAAUACAAAUCAAUAAAUUAAAUUAUUAAAAACAAUUUUGUUAAUAAUUUAUAUGUUUACCACUGGAAUUGUUUUUAUAUUUCUGAAUUUUUUAUUUACGUUAGAACAAGCUUUUUAUUUUAUUUUAAGAAGUAAAAAACCAUUAAUUUUUUUGUUUAUUAAUAUAUUUAUGCUGGUACUGUUCUUAUAUUGGAAAUUUUAUUUUGCUUUAUUUUAGAAAGUUAAAAAAAGUUACGUUAAAUUUUAUUUAUUUAAAAAUGACUUUUAUUUUACUUUUUAAAAUAAAGUAAAAAGAUUUUUUUCCAACUUGAAUAAAAAAUAAAGUAAAUAAAUAAAAUCUUAGAAAAAUAUCUUAAUAGUUUUUUUAAAAAUUUAAACCAAUAGAAAUCUAACAUGUGUUUCUUCUCCUUUUACUUAAAAAUCAAGAUUAUAAAAAAGAAAAUGACUUCAUUUUGCAUAAAAUCUAACAUGCGCCGGGCCUAGUUUUGAGUAGAGCUUUCUUUGAAUGAAGUUUUGAAAAUGACUGCAUAUUUAUUCCUCCCACUUACUCCUCGUCGUCGCGGAUACUUCUCUCGCAACUAGUCAUUGUAAUGCAGCGGAACCUGGCGUCGAAAUGGAGACCGCUCAGUUGAGCGGGUGCGUACUAACUAACGAGAAAGAGCCAGGCCCUACUCACUUCCAAAGAUUUAGCAGGAAUCCUCUGCUCUCGCCUGAGAAUAUUUAACCGCACAUGGAUAAGGUCUUCCUUCCUUCCUUCCUUCCUUCCUUCAAGGAGAAGCCGGGAAUGGCCUGUAUGAGUAUUUGUAUUGCAUUCAAGUUGAUUAUGUUUUGCCGGAUUAACCAAUAACCAAUCAUAUAUAAUCCUUGCAGAUCACAAAAGGCAUUCAAGGUAGAUUUAUUCCCAUUGUGCCUCGAUCCUUUAACUAUAUUUUAAAAACUCAGAAAACAAAAAUAUUAUUAGAAGUCUUUUUUUUGUUGAUUUUUUAUUUAUUUAAGUUGGCAUUUUUUAUUUUUGAAUUCUUAAAAUGAAGUAAGAGUUUCUGCGAACAUAAAUAGAAAUAUUUUAUAUGGUAAAUAAAUUAGAUACAUUUUCAUUUUGUUUUUUGAUUUCUUAACUUUUUUAUUAUAUUCUCAAAUUCUGAUAAUAUUUUCUUUCUAAGAAAAAACUGAAAUCAAUAAAACCAUGACAUGCUUUCUUCUUUUCUAUAAAUUUCUUUAAAAAAAAAAGACUUUUAAGUGAUUAUCUUAAAUAAAUGUCACCCUCUGAUUUUCAUAUCCAUGAUCCGAUGGAUAUGAAGUUUUUGGCACAUUAAGAUUAAUUAUGAAGUCUAAUAAGAUGCUUGUUUUGUAAAGUUUUUUUUAUCUUAAAAUAAAAAAAAUUAAAUUUUUAUAAAAUAAUGGUUCGUUCAAUCGUAGCCCAAAUUAAAUCAAAGGUUUCCAAAUGUGUUUUGAACACUUUCUAUCCUCCAUUAAACCACUAAUCGUGGGGAGUUCUAAUCUACCAAAAAAAAAAGCGUUAAAAAAUGAAAGCAACAAACUAAAAGCAUGUUAAUUAAUCACCUUGUUGGGGGCAAGGACCCAGAUGGACUAUUAUUUUUUUAAAAAAAUAAGUAAUUUAUAUGAUGUUGAAGAUAAGAUGAUUAGAUAAACCAAAAACGAGGAAAUAUUUUCAUAACAUGGCAUGAUGAUCACGUGUUAUGGGCUUAAAAGAAAACAUUACUUUCUUGUCAUUUACUACUUUUAAGUUAUUGCUCUGUGUCCAGUAUACCUUUCCUGUCUCUUAUGGCGGGGGACAUCUCUGUGUUCCACAAUCAUUUUUCUUUUUUCGGUGUUUUUUUUUGUUGGUCGGAGGGUAAUAUUAAUGUUGUAAACUUUUAAUAAUACGGCAUCUGAAGUUGCAGGCCAACGAGAUCGAAAUGCCACUCGAAUAGUUAAUUAGCCCCCCAUAAGCCCCCCAUAAAGCAAAGAGAAGAGGCAAUAUAGCAGCAGCAGCAGCAAAGAGAGAGUAAAGGGAAAGGGAACCGCGCACAUAACAUGCCGAACUAGAUGUUAAACAAGGGACCCAUAUUAUCAUACUCGCACACUUCAAUCCAUUCGUCAACAUUUAUAUCAGUGGCACUUAUCAGCAAAGGGAUAAAAUUUGUGGAGGCCUUUAUACAUAAUUGACAUGUGAAUGGAGGUUAAUCAUGAUCGAGUAUGCUCACGAGUAUAAUCGAUCGUCCGUCUAGGUUCAUGUCUCUCCUUGAUUGAUGUGAAGCAUUGUGUUCAAGUUGCUUUUGAGGAACUCAUUGUUCAAAGAAAAAUCUUUAGAAUCUUUACUUAUUCGAUGAAUCUAUUGUCUGUGAGCGGAGCUAUAAUCCAGACACACACGUUCAUUGUUGAUUGGAUAUGGUUUUGAUGGUGAAAAUUUAAUUUUCCAUGUUCGCCAUAAUAAUAAUAAUAAAAUGCAAGACAAGACUUUGGUAUGCGGCGAGGCAAGGGUGACUGACAGGGCCAAAGCCCCUGCAGAGAUUAAAAAAAAAAUACAAAAUCUUCGGAGCUUUUUAGCAUAUCGAUAGAGAGAUAGAAGUAGCAUAUUUACCUAGUAACUCUUUAAACCUUAAAAAUGUUAUAUUUUAGUCGUUCGACAUCCGGUUUUCGAAUCCGUCUUUCGUACUUUUAUCCGAGUAUUUUUGCUGUCCCACUUACAAGAAUUCUUGGCUCCACCGUCGGCUUGGUGGUACGCAGGGAACAUAAUCAUGCCUAGCUAGGGCCAAGGUUCCAUUCCCAUUGGCUUUGCAUAACUACUCUUAAAAUUCAUGUGUUAUUAGAGUUAGAUUUAAAUUGGGUUUAAUGGUCGAUGUUCUAGUGUGGCCAGCCUAGGUAACGCUGGAAUAGUAGUGGAUAACCACAUCGAUAUUCUACUGUUUGGAGAUAUAAAAAUAAAAAAAUGACACAUAAAGUAUUUUUGAGAUAAAUAACUUAAUUUAUAUAUAGAAUUAGAAUUGAAAAGGGUUAUUUUAUGUGAAGUUUAAUUAGAUGAAGUCUAGCACCAUUCAUUUUUUUCAACGAGGAAAUCACUAUACAUAUUGGCCACUUCCUGCGGAAAGAGAGGCCACUGAUUAAAACAUCAUAAAUAGGCCUUUCCUGUUGAAGUUAUAAACUUACAUUGUUUCAAAGCAAGUUGCUGUGAUUGUAUCUUAUUAACGAAAAUUAAUUGAGAAAUUAGAGGGGAAUUCACUUUGAUGCAAUGUUAACUUAAAUAAUGCUUUUUAUUUUUUUAUUUUUUUCUCAAUUUUAUCAUUUCAUAUUGGAUUUUCUUAUCUUGAUAUCAUUACUUAGAUCUUGAAUUCAGUAUAAUAACUUGGAUCGAACUUAGACUAUAUAGUUUUUUUAUUUGUUUUUUACAAGGUUAUUUCAAUCUUAUUAUCUUGGUCACAAGUUCGGCGGGUUGACUUCGGUCAAUUUUUUUGUCAGUACUUUUUAUUUUUAUUUUUUUUUAUUUUCAUCCUUCAACAUUAGGUUGAUUGGUCUUAUAAUUUGUUUUGAUUUUUUUAUGAGGUUAUAUCAGUCACAUAACUCGGGUUACGAGUUUAACAAGUUAAUCUAAGUUGACUUAAGUUGUUUUUUCUAAUUGAUUUUUUUUUCAAUUUCAACUUUCAAUAUUUGUUUAAUUGAUAAUUGAGUUUUAUAAUUUGUUUUCUAUAGAGUUAUCUCGGUCUUAUGACUCGGAUCACGAACUUGACAAAUUAAUCUAAGUUUACCUAGAUUGAUCCAAUAUAUUAUUAUCUCAAUAUUAAAAAAAAUUGAAAUUUAUUUUUAAUUAAACCAUGUUUUUAACAAUUAUCUAGAUUGUUUUUAGAUUCAUAAAAUUAAUUGGGUCCCGUCAAAUUAACUUUUAUCCAAUUUAUUUAUUUUUAAUUAAAAAAAAACAUUAACUAACACUUAAAUAUUUUUUUAUACUAAAACAAAUUAAUCUGACACAAGGAAAUAAUCUAAUUGAAAAGUAUAAGCUAGUUAUAAGUGGGGGUUAACAAUACAGAUGCAGUGUGAAAGUGGCUUUUUUGGAAAAGUAGAAGUUCUGGACAGAUUCUUGUUACCGGAGGACAUUUUCUAUACUCCCCAAAAGGGGACGAGACAAAAAAAAAAGCAAAAAAGAAAAAGAUGAAGGAACUCCAGUCUUUUGACAUGUGUCCCAUAACACAAAAUUCUUUAAAGUGUUAUUAUUAUUUUUAUUAGUAUUGUUAUUAUUAUUCUCAGGCCACCAAAACUCUUCGAGCUAGAUCUAAGUGGUACUGCAGGCGAGUGGACUUCAUUUUCAUCACUGUUUUGCAGACAUUUUAAGAAUAUAAAUCCUGUAUAAUUAACAAAUUACUAUUAUGUUUAACAAACUCAAUCAUUUAAUAACUUUUUUUUAUGUACCAAGUACUAAAUAGUAUCAUAGCUGGCUAUGUAAAUGUAAAAUCUUUACUUUAAGAACUGAAAAAAAUCCUGAGAUAUUAUUGGAUUGAAUAAUUGAGAACGAGUUGUUGAGAAUUUGUCAAAAAAAAAACAUGGUUAGUUGGUAUGUAUAAGGUAACAUUAAAAAAAAAAACUUUUAAUAUUAAAACUUUGUUGGAUUAAUCUUAAAUAUAUACUCUUUAACAUAAAAUGUUAAUAAAUUACAGGUGAAUGAAGAAUUAAUCUCAAAAAAUUAUUAAUUGGUAUAUUUUGUAAAAUACAAAACCCUCUUAAACUUUGUAUCCUAAAUUGAAAAGAAACAAAUUUUUUUUAAUGUUUAUAAAGUGGAUAGUUGAAAAAUUAAAAUUGAUUCAAAAUGGCAAGCAAGCUUUUAAAAGGAUAAAGUUCUAGGCAAAGUGAGUUUUGAGCUUAAACUCAUACACACCUGUCGGACCAGCUCGUGGUCAGGUUUUGGGUCAGACCUGGAUUUAGGUUUAUUAUAAAAUAAUAUUUUGAAUCACAAAAUUUUUUUUUCCAAUUAAAAUUUGGAUUUGAGCCUGGCCAAUGAAAUGCUAUUUCUUUCAGCCUAUUGAUUGUCCAAUUCAACCCAUGAAUGUUAAAAAAUCCAGAAGCUUUUGUUGCAAAUUUAAACAGUUUUCAGUUUAAAAAAUAUAGAUUUAUGAUCACUGUGUUCAAAGAUUGAUAAUGUGAAAAUUAAUUCUGAUUAUUACCAUAAUUAAUUCUUUAAUUUUUUAGCUUUUAAAAUCCACAAUAAAAAAGAGGGUCAAGGAAGAAUUUUUAACAAUGUUCUUGAGAUUUUUAUACACUCUUCCUCACCAUAUAUAUUUAGUGUUUUCUUCUCUUUUUAUAUUUGAGUUUUCCUCUGAAAUCUAGAGUUUAGGUUCAUCUUGUCAAGAGAUAUUUGAGUUACAUAACUUUUGAUUAAAAAAUCUUAUUUAGAAGUACAUCUAAACCAAGAUAGUGUUGUUGGAAUCUUAUAAGAUAUAUUGUAAACAUCAUAAUUUCACGAGUGAUGAGCAAUGAAGACUUAAGGACAAAUGAUUCAUCCUUAACAACAACAAGAAGUUUUAUUACUUUAAAGUGUUUCAAGAAGUAAUUUUUUUUUUUUGUUAUUUUUUUAAAGUUAAGAAUAAUUAUUUUUAUUAUUAGCAUGCAUAUUCUAGAACUUUAACUUUAUAUCAAUUGCAAGUUUAAAUAGAUGUUUAAUAUGCAUGCUAGUGUUCUUUUAUUAUAGUUAUGCCGAAAGCAUAUUUGACUGAAUUUUAUUUUUUCUAGUUUAUAGAUUUAAAAUUAAUUAUAUACACUGUAAACUUACUUUUCUUGAAUAAUUUUUUAUGUUUUUAAUGUUUUUGUUAUGAGAAAUGAUGUUUAUCACUAAUUUAAUACAUUUAAUCACAACUAUGAAAAACACGAGUCACCUUAAAAAUUAAAAAAAAAACUUAAAUCUUUUUAAAAAUGAUUUAUUUACUAUUUCAAAUACUACGAUGCAUUAUUUAUUUAUACAAGAUAAGAUAUGUUAUUUACCGUAUUUUGACAUAAAUUGUUUGUUUUUCAAUAGACUAGAAAGAUAGACUCGAGUUUGGUGUCUAAAAUAGGCGCUCGAUACCACCUAAUUAUAAAGUAAAAAAUAAAUAAAUCUGAAUCAACCACUCUCAUGUGUGUAACUCAAUGAUUGACGUUAAGUUCAUUGAGUUCUUACCUUAUAUUAUAUGAUAAUGCACGAGCUUAAUUGCCCUUUUUAUAAAUUAUUUAUGUAUCAUUGUUGACAUUGUACCAAAUAACAAGCAGCUAAUAGUUGAAAUCAACUAAACUCGUGGUUUAGGGCUUAGAACACGCGUACAUAUAUCCUUACAUACAUAUGGCAACAAAUAAAAGUUGACAGAUUUCAACUUAAACAAAACUUGUUUCAAGAUAAAGUCAGCUGUUUCAUGGAAAUCCAGUAGCCGAAGAAAGAAUUACAAGAGCAUUAAUUAAGAGGAGAUAUACAUGAGAGUGACACCAUCCAUUGUUUCCUGGUCUUUAGUCGAAAGCAAGCGGGUUUUAGGGAUCAAUGGGGUUGACAUUUCCACUGGACGGUGUUCAUAUCCACCCAUAUAUAUUGUGGAUAGCAACUAGCCUUCGAUCUCAAUCUGGGUUUUUUUUUUUUUUUUUUAUAGUUAUCACUCAUUAAAAUUAAAUUAUUUCAAAUAGAUCUUUUAUGAUCAGGUAGAUCAAUAUCCACGUCUAAAAUAGAAUUUCUUUCUCACAAUAUAUCUUUCUCUGAAUUUAGAACUCUUAGAUAUUAACGCAGAGCUGAUAAAAUCCACUCAUCCCUAUAAUUAAACCCAAUAGCUAUUGUAUUCUCUUGUUUUCAUUACAGUUAAAUUAUAGCAUAAUUGAACUUCUUUUUUUCUUAUGAAGCUGAAGCGUCUUUGACCCAAAUAUAUGUUGGUAGCACCUUUUUUUCUCUCUUCGCCAAUUUUCUGACCUCUUUGAAGAGGCAUGCGUAUGAUUUUCUAUUGCAAGUUGUAUUUGUUAGGUAUAAAGGUUCUUAUGAAAGUUUGACAAGUUUAUGUCUUGGUAGAAAAAAAAAAGCAUAAACUUAAAAGGCAUGCCAUGAAAAUCAUACAAUUUAUUGUACUUUAACCAUCAUUGGUUAAUUAUUCAAAGUUUUAAAUCUAAUAGGGACAAUUUUAAUGAUUUUUCUAACAAAAAUAAAUAUAUUUUUUAUUUUACAGUUGAAACGAGUUGAAACGGUUAUAUUAUUUUAAUAUAAGUAAUUGAACUAGUAAUAUCAGUUGAGUUCGAGAUCAUACUUAAAUUAAAUUUGAAAGUUGUUGUUUUGUAUUUUAUUUUACUUUUCUAGUUAUUUUUUAAUUAUUUUUCUUGUUAGAUUGAAAUUUCAUUUAAUUUGAAUUUUUAUUAAUUAAGCUGGUUUAGUUAAAAAUUUUGUGUGUUAUUUUUGAGAGUUUUCUCUACAAUUAUCAAAUGAGAGUUUUCUCUACAAUUAUUUUGGACAUUGAGAAACUCUAAUUUCUUUUUUUUUUCAAUCACUAUACAUUACAUAAAAAGCAUGGAAAAUUCAAACUAAAUGUUAAUUAAACUAAUAUAAUAAAAAGGUGCUGUUAAAAACUAAGGAGACUUUCUUGCGCGUAUAGAUAUCGUUAGUCAUGUUCAAUAAAUAGCCUCUUUCCGCGUUCUGUUUUAGUCAGUCGAGCCUUGUCAAGUAUCUAAUGUGACAAAAUCGGUGUUAAAUAUUUCGUCUAAAUUAAACUAAUAUAAAUAUAUUGAAAAUUUAAUCAAUUUGGUUAAAGAAAGUUUGUGCUUAAUCAAAGGAUCAUGCUCGCCCCUUAACAGCUAAUUUUUUAUGAUUAAUGGAUUUAAUUUUCAACUUAUCAUCUAAGGUUGGAAUCUAAAAAGAGAUCAUUAAAUCAUUAAAAAAAUUUAUCAGUGAAUGCAUCAUAGUAAAUGUGGAUUAUAUGUUAAUUAAGUCCUGAUAAGACAGUUGCAUAAAACAUUGGCUCAAGAAUUACUUGAAUUUUUUUUUGGUCAGGAUUGUUUUUUUUUUUAAAAAAAGAAAAAUAAAAAACGUUGUUUUAUUUUAUAUAUGAUUAAGACUUUCAUUUCACGCCUUAACUACCGAUUAUCCAUAACAAGACUAAUCAAGUUAUUUGUUCCAGGUGAACAGUACCCAUACAUUUUUCGUGAUAAAAUUGAUUUAGCUACAUCAUUGCUUCUGCAGUAAUACGAGUUGGGUCAGUUUUUUUAAAGGAAAAAAAAUAUUUGGGAAUUGUUAUUAUGUUUUUUUUAGUAAAAAAGUAAAAUUAGAUUAUAUAAAAAUUGAUCUUAACUAGAUCAACUUAACAAAUUUAAAGAAAAUUUGAAUGAUAGAUAAAAAUGUAAUUUGAGUUUAAAUAAAUCAGGACGACAUCUUUUUUAAAAAUAUUAAAACAACAACAUGUUAGAUCAACUUAAAUAAAUUCGGGUUAAUCUGUCAAAUCUGUUAUUCAGGUCAUGAGAUCAUAAUAAACAUAUAAAAAACAAUUAUAAUUUUUUUUUAUUAAACCUAAUUUUCAAUCAACUCAAUUUAAAAUGAUGGAAUUUAAAAUAAAAUUCAACUAAAAAAAUAAGUUAAAUCAACUCGGGUUAACCUGUCAAACAUGGAUCAUAAGACCGAGAUAAUCCUAUAGAAAAAAAAUCGAAACAAAUUAUGAAACUUAACUAUCAAUCAACUCAUUGUUAAAUGGUGAAAUUAAAAAAAAAAUCAAUAAAAAAAGAAUAUAAAAAACCACAUAAGUCAACUAACCAAACUCAUAAUUCCAGUUAUGAGAUUAUAAUAACCUCAUAAAAAGCAAAACAAAAUAAAUUAUGAAGUUUAAUUCUUAAUUAACUAAAUAUUGAAGGAUGAGAUUAAAAAAAAUCAUCUAAAAAAAUAAUAAUAACUUGAUUCAAUCGGCAUAACCUGUGACCGGAUCAUAGGAAUGUGAUAACCACGUGUAGAAAACAAAUAAAAAAAUUUAUAAAUUUCAAUUUUCAAUUAACAUGAUUUUGAAGUAUUCAAUUGAAAAAAAGACAAAAAAUAACUCGGAUCCACCCGGGUUAACUUGCCAAAUCCAGAUUAGAAGACUGGGAUAACUUCGUAAAAAAUGAUUUAAAAAAAUUAUAGAUUACGAUUUCCAAUCAAUUUAGUGUUGAAGAAUGAAACUAGAAAAAAAUGGACAAAAAAAUAACCCAGGUCAAUAGUCAAUACGGCUAACCUGCAAAACUCGCAACUCGAGUUAUGAGAUCGAGAUAACUCUAUAGAAAGCAAAUCGAAAUAAAUUAUAAAGCUUUAUAUCUAAUAAAUCAAAUAUUAAUUAAAGGAUGAAAUUGAAAAAAAAAACUAAAAAAUUUAAGUACCGAAGUUAAAAAAAAAACUUGGCUUUUCAUUAUUAAUUAGUAUAGUAAAAAGUCAAUCAUGUUUAGUAUAUGUUAAUGAAGUGAUAAAAGGAUUCAACAUUGUCAUUAAAUUAAGCAAUCGUGGCAUUUUAUAGUUAGACAUAUUUAGCUAAUUAAGUAGAUGAUCAAGAAAGCAGCCAAGGAACAAAGCAAUGGACGACCCACAUUGUCUCAUCUCCCGGACGCAUGCUUUCAUUAUAGAUAGAAUUUUUAAGGUUAAAGCAUGCGUGUUUGUUCCCUUGACCUUUGCCAUUUAUCAAGUAUACGUGACUAUGUUGGUUUCUAACUCUGCAAACUUGACAGAUUUAUAUUUAUCUGAUUCCUUUGAUUGAUUAAAAACAUUUUCUUAUGGUCGAGCGUGUUUUUGCGCCACCAGGGCUUAAGAUCAUAAGUUUUCUUAAUUAGUUUAAUCAUUUUCGAUUUGAUUGUUCACCGUCUUUCUUAGUAAAGUUCACACCACCAAAGUGGGAGGGAAGGAGAUCUGAUACGAAUGGAUGACGUGGCACAGAAACGUGUUAGACGACUUGCUUAUGGACACAUGUUCAUUGGCCACCAUAGCGGGGACCAAAAGAAGCUUUCAUUUGAGAUCAUGAUAAUGAAACAUCACUUUACGUUGGUGACCUUCAAAGGGUUCGAUGGGUCUUAUUCCCUUUGUCUUCAACGGGCAAACUAGGCGCGCGAUCAGAUUUGCAUAAUUACAGGUAGUUGUUAAUUGAAGUUCCUCCUACAAUCAGCUGGUGGUGCGUCAAUUUGUGAUUGGUUCACGUCUGCAUUUUGCCAUUUAAAUGGUGGGGAAUUAUACUUGCGUUUGCCAACAUUACAUUGACAUCUAAUUAGGGUUUGACGUGUCUAAAUUAUGAGAAUACGUGCCUUUCUUUUGGUUUAAUUGCUCAAGCUUAGACUUGGAGGAGAAUCACGGCAGUCAGAUACGAGGAUGUAUUAGUUAACCGUCCAUAGUUACGUUUUCAUGUAGCAAAUUGACCACAAGGAGUACUAUCAAAUGAGGACAAUAUCCAUCACCAAAUUGCUAGCUACUCGAUAAUUAAUCAAGACUUGUAUUUCGGCGUGGGGAACCAACGAUCCUGUAUUGAUCCCUGCUCCGAAUGCUCAAUCAUCGACGCGUAGUUGUCUGAGAAAUAGAUUAUUAACACAUCAGAAUGUUGGUGAUCAAUUUACAGGGAAAAGUGAAUUUAUGAUCAAGUGAAUUUGUUGCCUGGUUUUGAAUCAUACAUCAGUGUAUUCCUGUGGAUCUUCUUGUGUGUUCUAUGCUGUUAUGCUUGUGAGAAUAUGACUGGUUGAUCUGUGAGAGGAAAGCUUCAGUUAGGAGGUCAUUCUGAUGAUUAUUGGUAGUUCUCCCCGGCUUCAUUGCUUCAUUGUAUUAUCUGUGCAGAGUUAUAUGUUGUUCUUUGGCUAUUUUUGUUUUUCGCUUUCCUUAGUCUGGGUUGUUUUCUUUGUGUUAAUCUGCCAUAAUAUGAUAUUAUGCAGAUCAUGUACUAAUCUCGCUUGCCAGCUUUUGGCGUUUAAUGAAAUACUUAUCUUUCAAAAAAAGUGAAUUUAUGAUCUGAUAACAAUGAUGAUCACAACGAAAAUAACAGCAAAAGAUGACGAGGACGAGGACGAAGUUGAUGGUAGUGGAGAUGUAACUACAGUAGCAGCCUCGCUGUGAAAAUGAAAGCAAUAAAUAAAUACGUAAUGUAGCCUAAGAUGUUGAUGUUGUAGAUCGAGCAUGAAUUUAUGGUGAUUAGAAGUAUGACUCAGAAACUUAAAGAAAUUAAGAUACUUCAGUCCAGAUUCAAUGGCUUCUCUCAUGUCAAGUCCAUGCUGUAAAAGGACCCGUGUCUUUUGGAUUUUCUUUAUUUCUACUUUUGUGUUUUUUUAAUAAAAUUAACUUACUUCCUAGUUGCGCAAGUCAAUCAAAUCAGUCGUGUAUUACUGUAGUAUGCUAUGAUUAACCACCUUUUAUUCCCCCCUUCCAGAUGCAUACUAUUGCGCCUUUUUUUGUUAUAUAAAAUAGUAAUAUUUUGAUUUAAUUAUAUAAAAGUUAUAUUUAAUCCUUAUAUUAUAGAAAUUAAUUAGAUAAUCCCUUAACCAAGAUUAACCAUCACCAAUUUAUUACUCUUUGUUCUAAAAAUGCCUUUUUUCCUCAUCAUAUUUUCCCAUCAGAACUACUUCUCCUUUCCUCUUUUUUUUGGUAAAAAAAAAAUUAAAAAAAAAAGAUUGUCGAAAGAAUUAAGUUAUAAGCACAUUUAAGAAUAUGGGUUAAAUAUAUAGUUUCUGAAACUAUGAGGAUGAAUUUUUUUUUGUGAAAGACCAUGAAGACUAAUUAAUUAACUCCAUAUCCAUUCGUUGGUUUUUUUUUUCUUUUCCCUGCAAAUACUUGGACCUCGACUGCAUAAUGGAGUAACAUCUCUCACUUUUAAUUACCUUCAUCUCAUCCGCCGAAUGGAACACUAUACUAGCCAACAGUUACUGUUGAUUUGAGAUCUUGGCUAUGACGUGGUAUGUUCAGAUCUUAAGAAUGGCGGAAAGAAAAUUCAGAUACCUUCAUUUUAUAGUCCAGGAUCUACCUCCAAUUUCACCCCAAAUAAAAAAGUAUCAUGAUGUAUUCCGGUGACACCAACCAUUUGUUUCGAUAAUGCUUGGUUUAUUAACAAAACCCACCAAGUGCAUUUUCAAGAAAGAUGAGAAACUUGGCGCGCUCAAGGGAGUGAAAGUCCAUAAUAUUUUGAUUAUGUAAGACUAAAAUACUGGCCCGGUCUGAGUGUUGAAGGUUUAAUCAAGCUGAUUGACAAACAUAGGCAGCCAUGGCCACAAAAGUCAGCAGAAGAAACAAAAUGUUGCAGCAGUGACCAGUCGUUUCAUGGUCUGAAUAGGAUAACUUUCCUGACCUUUGAACAAAGAGCAAUUUUAAUUGAGUUAGUUGUAGAAUUUCAGAAUAACUUCACUUCGCAUCGAGUUGCUGGAGCAAUACUUCCCUUACAUUUCAAUAUGGUGCAUUGCUUUGGGUCAUUAUUUGGACAAACCUUAAGCUCAACGAAAUCAAAUCAUUUUACAUUAUUAUUAAGAGUAAAAUGUGUCAGGAACUCGUCAAUUAUUAGUCCAUUAUAGCCUGGAUCUAAUUUAUUUAACAUAUAUAUAUAUAUAUAUAUAUAUAUAUAUUCAUGAGAAAAACUAGUGAAAAGAAUUGGUCGUGGAUUGUUAAAUUAUGUUAGGAUUUCAUUAAAUAACUCUAAACAAUGUGAUUUUUGUAUAAUUAAUGCGAAUACAAAAUUAAAAAAUAUUUAAAAUACAAAGAUAAUAAAUACCUAAAUCAUCAUAAUUGUUUAAAAUAAUUAAACCCUUGAGGAUAUCUAAAAUUUAACUAUUCUCGACAUGAGACAAUCAGAUCUAAGUCAUAAAGUUAUAUGUUAUUCUUAUACUUUGUUUUGCAAAUUUAUCAGUUAUAUAAUUGGCCUCACAUAAAAUAUGAUAAAAAAAUAAAAAGCAGAAUAAAAAUUUCAUGAAAUCUCCAUGUUAAAAUUUGUGUUCUACGUUAAAUAACUUAAAUAAAGAUUAUUUACAUUUUAAGUUUCCCUGGCAUAUUUUACCCUAGUUUAAGCAUCACAUUCUUUAAUUCUCGCUACUUUGAUCUUAAAAUUAAUUGAAUGAGUUUUUUCCCCGAAAGGGGGAUUUCCUCGUAUCAAUGAAUUGAAUUAACUUUGUGUUCUAAGUGCAACUCUUCACUAGGGCCGGCUUUUGUUUGAUUUUUUUUCUAUUAUUAAUUUGUUUUUGCUAUAAAUGAUAGGUUAGAAUUCCAGUAAUAUUGGUGUUAAGUCGAGCUAGAAUCGAGGAUUAAUUUGUUUGUUUUUUUCCUCUAAAAAUAUUGUAUGUUGUUUUUCACUUUUACUAUCAGUAAUGGUGAUCCUUUUCACCUUUUUUAAUCCAAACAGCUAACAUGCAUGCAUCAUAAAUCAUGGGCAAUAAUUACAGAGGAAAGUAACAAAAGUAUGAAACAGAAUGACGAGUUUGAACUCAGCAAUGCCCCCAAAAGUGGAAAGCAAAGUGGUUGAAACAUCCCUUUUCUUUUUAUACAUCUCCCUAGCUUGGAGGCAUCCGGUUGGUUAAAGCACAACAAAAAUAAUGGAUUGAGUUGAAACAAGCUCACUUAGCUAGAAUAACAGUACUGUGCUACCAUUUCCUUAAUUUAUUACACACAAUUGAUCAAAAGCUGAUAAUUAAUAGACUUGGUAUUAUUUAACCAGACCAUAGAUCAGGAUGUGAACGUUACUAGUCAUUGUGCUUUGCAUGUUAGAGACUUAAAGCAUCAGAUAAAAUUUUAAAUGAUUUAGACCACCUUUUUCUUAUCUUACUGGCAAACUACAAAUGUAAUUCAAUUAGAGACUAGUUUUAUAAAUACUUUGGCCUAAAGUUUCAACACCUAUGGCAGUCUAUAAAGCCAUCUUCAAGACUCCAUUCGUGUGCUUUGCUUAGUUGCUUGUCAACAAAGGAUGCUCAUCAAAUUAAAUUAUUACAUCCAUAUAUAACAAAGAUCUAGAAUGGCUUAACUCAAAGUUAAUAGUAUAAUUUAUGAAUUAAUCAUGUCUUGUGGAGGGGUACAAGUUUGUGAGAUUAACCAGCAAAGGUUUCUAGCUACUUUCCGGUCAACAAAUGGAUCAGGUAGUGCAGUAUUGUAUAAUUUCUUUAAGAAAAACCAGUUUAUUUCAAAUCUAUGUGCCACGGCAUGUGCUAAUGGUCUUGUUUUCCCAGUUUAUUUUAGCUUGUAGUGUUCUCCUUUUCCUUUGGCACCCGAAAUUGCCAUAGAUCCACCACUCACCCAAAUCAGCUUUGCCAAAGAUGUCCCAGCAGCAGAACAAAACAAUAUUAUAUUUGCCAGUCAAAACCAAAGUUUAUAAAAAAACUGGGUUGAAAACAAGGUCAAAGCGAUGAAAAAAAAGGUCAAAUGGCAUAGUUGGAGCACAAAACCGAACCAACCCCAAGUGGGUAAGGCAGGAGUCAGCUCAGCAAGCAUUUUCACAGUUGAAUAACAUCUUCUAAUGAAUGAUAGAGUAGAAUGAAGCACUCUUAAUAAUAAAAUUUGCAAAUGUUAAUUUGCAGGAACACCUAAUUUUCUUUGACAUUGAUUGAAGGGUUGGACUCCUAUCCGCUUCGAUUGUUGAACUUUUCAAAUGGCUUAAACAAGGUUAAAUACGUUUUACAUUUUAUUUUUAUUUUUGGUUAUAACACUCGAGUAUUCUUGUUUGCUAUGAUUAGAAACCUCCUUAAUCAAAUCUUAAACAAGUUAUCAACAUUAAGAUUAGAGUAUUUGUAAUAAAACCCCUCUCUCGUUAAUUUCCUUUCCUUAAAUUCAACCCAACACGAUAGUAUGUCUAGGAAACCAGCUUGUCAUCGGAGCAAAACCAUGUGAACAUGCAUGGUUAAUUGCCAGGAGUUAUAUUUUAGUGGCCUCCGGGACGGCAAGUCUUAUUCAACAGGUUCGAAUUAUCCAAGUUGUAAAGGUCGACUUAUUGGCGGCCUAGCCUCGUGGCCUUUUUUUUUGCGAUUUCUUAUUUGACCCGGAAAUGGGUAGGACGUGGCCGUCCUUUUCUUUAGAGAAUCUAGUAGCUACUAGAUCUCUUACAGGGCCCGUCCUUUACAGACAAGGUCCAAUCACGGCCCACGAAAACCUGGAGAACCUUCCUGAAGCAAGAAGAAGAAGAAGAGGAGAGAUUUUGUUGGUUGAAUUUGCUUUACCUUGCAGUUGCAGUGCUGCACGAACUAAUAUAUGUUAGGUCAAAAGAGAUAGAAGAAGCCACCGUCCUCCAACCAUGAUACUUUUGAAAUGGACUAACCCGUGCAAAAUCUGGGCAUAGAUAGGCUCUGCGUUUUUUCACAAUUUAUCUUGGCAAGCCCACGUUACUGUAGUCACUAAUUACUAGCGGUAUUUAAACCCCGUUUUGCAAUAUCUGAAGUCCUUUCCAAUAGGUGGUUCAAAUUUAAACUCAGAUGGGGCCUCACAGGGAAACCCAGUGGAAGAAUGGACCGGGGUUCAGUAAGGGCUGGGAUAUGGGCUCAUAUCAUAGGGGGCUUUGCAGCUACAGUUGGUAUUUGUAGCUCAGUAUGGGCUGGGAUAUGGUCUGGGCUAUGGGCUGUUAGCAUCGGCUUGGACAUGACUUUGGAGCAAGGAAGGUGUGAGGAAACUGAUGGCGAAGACUGACUCUCAGGUAGUCCUCUGUCUCCUUUAAAUAAAACUGUAACAUGCAAGAUAGUUCACAUGUACCUCUUCGGUUUUAGACUGUGAAAUUAGUUGAAGCUGGUCUAGAUAUCUAUAUUAAUAAUAAUAAUAAUAAUAAAUAAAUAAAUAAAAGAAUUUGAAGGUUCUGCGCGUGUACAGGGAGGGGAAUAUCUGUGCAGACAAGCUAGCAAGCUGCGAAACUUGGGUGUCUCGUUGCUGAAUGGUAUCACUGGACCUACCAUCAUGGGAUUGCAUUUGGGCUAAUCUUACCGGGCUAGGAAUGACUUUUUCAUCAAAUUCUUUCACCACUUCACUUGUGAACAUUAAUUAUAUUUUAUUCAACUUAAUUAUUUACUGUUUUUUACUAAAUCUCGUCACUUAAUAUUCAUGAAAAUUCAAUCCAAUUCAUGGUAACAUUUUUUUUAUUAUUUUUAAAUGACCUUGAAUGUCUUUAAAGGAAUUUAAACACGUAUUUACACUGUAUCAUUUAUAUAUGUAUAAAUAUAUACAUUCUAGAAUACGUGUUAAUUGAAUAACAUUGUAUAUGAUGAUGAAUAGUUGAUUUUUUAUUUGAUUAGUAGUUGAGUUUGAUACAUAGCCGAAUAUAAAAAAAUAAUUUUUUAAAUAUAUAAAAAAUAUUUUGUAUAUUAUAAUAUUAUUUCUAAUGGAAUGUAUAACUCAAUAUUGAUGGACAAGAAAGAAAGAAAAAUAGUUUUAAAAAAGUAAUUGAAAAAAAUAUGAGUCAACUCGGGUUAAUUUACAAUCUUUGUGACCAUAGGUGUAAGAUUAGGAUAACCCAGUAUAAAAAAAAGAGAAAAAAAGAUGCGAAGACUAGUUUUCAACAAAUUAAAUAUUAAAUGAUUAAAUUGAAAUAAAUCAAUUUUUUAAAAAUGACUAUAAAAACAAAAAUCAACCCACAUUAAGCUUUAAAAUUGAUGUCCUGGUCAUGAAUCAAAAACUAAUCUCAUACAAAACAAGUCCUGAAAAAUAAUAAAGAAAAGAUAUAUAAAAAAGGUUUGAAAAUAAAAAACACUGGCUUUUAAAAAAUAGGGGAAAGCAAAUCUUUUAGACAUGGUCCAAGCUCCAAAGCUUGUAAUGGGUAAAAUCUUGGACUCUAUUGAUCUAGAUUUAACAAAUCAAAGGGAUCAAAUAUGAAGAAUUAACAAAUUAAAGGGUUGAUUUAUAUUUUUUAACGGGCUAGCAUGAAAAUCUAAGCUGCGAAAAAAUAAAUGAUCAUUAACGCCAGACUGUUGGGAAUCUUAAAGCACGUGUCGUCUCGUCGUGUAGGGGGUGCCAUGACAAUUCCAAUGCCUCUGAUAAAAGGUUGAGUUCGGUGGCUAGGUGACCCUCCACACGCCUCCCACAAACACUUUAGCAAGUUUUUGUUUUUUUAAUAUUUAAUGUCUAUUAAAAUACAACAAUGUCUCUACACUAACAUGAUAUUACAAAAAAAAAAAAAAACAACCCUCGUUAAAAAGUAAUGUUGAUAAUGUCUUCAAGGACACCAAAGUAACUUAACUAUUUUUUUAGAAAAAGACCAUAACUCCCCUGAUUGAAAGGCAACAUAAUUUUUUAUAUUAGGGGUAAAUAAGUAUUUUUAUUGUAUAAAAAAUAAAUUUAUCAAUUUAUCCCUACACAAAUUAUUAAGAACAAUUGUGUUAAAGUAAAAAGAAAAUUCUACUUCAAUACCUAAUUGAAAGUUUUCUCAAGCAACUAGCAAUUUUUCUAAAUCACUAUUACAAUGAGGUAGUCUCAAUCUAAAGCUAUAGUAAUUCCUCCUUAACCUUUAAUAUUUUUUAUUUUUAUUUUCAAUUUAAUUUAAUUUCUCAUGGUUGAACAGAAAGGUAGACUUUGUCUGCCACUAUAACUAUAACUUUUACCAAAGUUAAACAACUAGAAAAAGCUGAUAAAAAAAAUUACUUGUCUAUUAUCCACCUUCUAUUACUAGAAUCCAAUAUAUUGAUGUAAUUGAUAGUAUAUUGUAAAACAUUUAAAAGUUCAGAAUAAUUUUAAACCCAUAAAAAGUGAUGUUGGUGAAGAAGAGUGCUAAUUUACUUGAAGAUUUCUCAAAAUAAAUACCUAAAAAAUUACAUCGAAUCUGUUUAUGAGUUUUUCAUGAAGGGAUACAGGGAAGAAAUUUUUUGAUUAAACUAGCAAUACUUGUAACUGAGAAACUAGUUAUUUUCGUGUUUUGCUAUGAAUUGAAUAAUUGUUUUUAACAAGAAAAAAUAGAUGUAUAAGAUUUUUAAAUGUAUUUUUUAAAAUUCCAGUUAUAAAUCAAAAAGGCUUAUACAUGUAUUUAAUUAAAUACAACGAGAAACAUCUAUGUUAGUAAAUACAAAAAACAAAGUAUUAACAUGUCAAUUCAACUUGUCUCGCUAUAAGUCGACUAAUUUAUUUUUCUAACGCAAAAGAAUUUAUGUGUAGAUAUUAUUGAUGUAUUUUUUAACAUUGAAUAAAAAAUAUAAUCGUGAAUAAAAAAGUCAAUGCUUAUAUAUAAUAAACCAUAAUAAAAAUCACAUGUGUUAAUAAAAACACGCAAGAUUUCAAACUUAUUUUUAACAUAGCAGAAUAAUGAAAACAAAGUUGCAAUUACUACGAUGUUUUAUUUAGUUUUUGUAUAAUAUUUUUUCUUUAAAAAAAGUGCAAAGAAAUUUUUUUUAAUUUUUUUUUCAAAAAAAUAAAGAUAAGAACAAAAAUAAUAGUAUAAAUAGGUCAAGUGUAAAGUGAUAAAUAUUUAAAGUAUAAGAAAAUAAUAUUUUUUUUCAAAAAUAAUAUAAAGAAAAUAAAGGAAAACCUAAAAACAUAUUUAAAAAAUAAAGAUAAAAAAAUAAUAAUAAAUAGACCAAGUAUAAAAUGAUAAAAAUUUUAAAUAUAAAGAUGGAAAAAAUUUAAGAAAAACUUGUUUUCUAAAAAAAAACUUUAAAAACUAUAAUUUUUUUACUUUACAAUAAAAAAAUUAGUAAAAUUUAUAAUUAUAUUAUUUCUGCAUGGAAACACCAUUUUUUGUUUUUAGUACACGUAUAAUAAUAAUAAUAAUAAUAGUAUAAUGUUGUUAAAUCACAAGUGUAGAAUUUUAAUAUUUAUGAAUUUACAGCGGUAAAGAAAAGGAAAGGGAAAAUCAUGCAAUUGGUCGGCUGCUCCUUUACACGUACGACGUUCUUCUUUUCAAGGACCUUUAAAAACUCUAUUCAUUAUGCGAAGUUUCCCAGUCUUCCUCUUCUUCUCCAAGUCUUGUAAAACUGAAGACGAAUUCCUUAAAUAUCUAUUUUAAACCCGGAUCUAUUGUUUUAAAACCGGUGAUAUUAGAGUUCGACUCAGAAGAGAAACGAUGUUUUUCAACGGCGAUCCAUCGACACGGAAGCGAGUGGAUUUAGGAGGUCGGAGUUCGAAGGAAAGAGAUAGGCAGAAGCUUCUUGAACAAACUAGAUUGGAACGGAAUCGUAGGUUGUGGGUGAAGCAACAGAAUGCUGCUGCUCUCAAAAUUCAAGUUAGCUUUUGCUCCUAUUAUUAUUAUCUUUGUUUCUCAAUUGAUUGUAAUUUACGCGUGUUAAUUUGUAUUCUUUUUAGUUCAUUAAAUUCAAUGCCAUGUUUGUUCACGCGAAUGCUAUAUGCUCUACACGUAACGGUGCUGUUUUAGGCAUGGAAUCUUGUUGAUUUAGAAACUAGGGAUGGAAGGAUCACGAGAAUUAGGGUUUUUGUCACUUCAUUGCUUUAGUUGCUCAAAGUCAGUUACAAUCUGUGUUUGAUUGAAAAUGGAUUGUUUGAUUUCUUUGUCCUGUUAGAUGUUGUAGCGAGAAAGCUUUUGCAAGGUCAAUUUUAAUCUAAAUAAAGAUCCCAUGUGGUGGCUUUUUUAGUUGAUAUAAGUAUUUGUUAGGACUUGUAAUGCAUUUGUUGCAAAGUGCUUACUAAUUAGUAACUACAGAAAUGGUUUAGAGGGAGAAAGGCAGUGGAGGCUGAACAGUCUACGGUUCGAGAGCAGUUCUUUGGAACCUAUGGGAAGUAUUGCCAAAAUGUAGACAGGUAAAGCGGCAAUGUCCUCAUCUUAAUGUUAUUAAUAGCAGUUGUGACAAUUUAUUGUGGAAGUCUGCGUGAUACCCUUUUUGAUUGAGAUUCUAAAUUCUUCCUCCAAAUUGUCCUGUGUAUCCAGGCAUUGUUUCAGUCCAGAUUCAGAGUUCCUCCGGCAGCUGUUAUUUUUCUUCAAUGCACAAAAUAGUGAUGAUUUCACUAUCCUUGUGGAGACUUGCCGAUUGCUUCUGCAAAAUGUUCGAGAUAGUGGUAUUUCCAUAACUGUAAAACUUCUAAAAUGGAAACCUUACAUGUAUGUUUAUUUAUUUAUUUUCUAAAAAACACAAUGUCAAACCUUACAUGUAUGUUUAUUUAUUUAUUUUCUAAAAAACACAAUGUCAUCAACAAGGGAAGCUUGUCCAAUCAUAAGAUAUCCUCGUGUACAAAUUCAAACUUGUUUGAGUUGUACUUUCUCUAUGUAAGAAUGUCUCUGGAUUUGGCAUUUGUUGCAUUUCGAUUCUUGACAUGCUGAUUAUAUUUUGCUAUUUUAUUUUAGCCUUCAACAUUUGUAGCGCUUUUGAAUUUGACAUUUAAAUGACAAUCUAAAGUGGCCGUGGCGGAAAAUUUAUUAAUUUAAUAUUUGCUCCUGACAGUGGAUGGCAAAUAUUAAAUUCCAGAAAAAGGAGACAAGGACUAUAAUUUUGGGAUGUUAUGCUGCUUUAGGUUGUACCAUACUUGUUCCAACCUUUACAUUUUUCUGAGAAACUCUGAUACACAGACUUGUGAGAAAGUGCUUUAAUUCAAGCAUUUUUUACACUCAGAGAGACUAGUAUACAACCGAGCUAUUUUCUGCCAGCCCUUUGUUUAUUUGGGAAGGCACCUAGCCCCCUACCCACCCAACCCAACCCCACCCCUUUACUGAAGAUUGCCAACGGGUUUGAGCCCCCUUUACAACUGAAGUUAAGUACAACAGUAAAAGAAAUAACAAAAGCCAUAAAGCCAAUCUUUUUUUUUGUUAACGAGGUUUAUUGUCAUCUGCAGGGUGAAAUCCUUCCCUUCAUUGAUGAACAGUGACAAACCAUUCAGAAAUCAGGAUGUCACUGUUUAAUAAAAGCCUUCUAGGAGAUUUGUAUUUUUCAACAUAAUAAAAUCAAACAAUGUCAUUGUUUAGCAAAUGCAGAUCAUUGGUUAUGGAACUUUUUGUCUGGGUCAGGUGUGAAGAUUGCCAUCGAUGUUCUUAGAUGGGCCCACAUAAUUAAUCAGAAGCAUGUUCUAGGGUGGCCCUGUAACAAACUCUGUGCUGUUGUGGUAAUAGUUAAGAAGCAUGAACAAUGAGCUAUCAGCUAUGGUGCCAUAAGGCAUCUCUUCUCUCCAUAAUGAUGGGAUUGAGGGUGAGUUUGAGGGUUCAUCCCACUUGCAUAAGUAAUUAUAGUGGCCCAUUGAUGAGAAAUGGAAAAGGGAGGAAAAAACAUAAAGUGCAGUCUAUUUGCAAAUUGCUGGGUGUCUUUGUUUGUUCCUAAUUUUGGACUCGAUUGCUUUGUUUCAUUUUACUAGGUUCACUAGUGCAAGUAAUGCGUUAUUGAAAUUCCACUGCAUUUCUCAGUUUCCCUCUCAAUGUACUCCAUUUGCAGCACAGCAUUUUACCAGUUUGUAUUAACAAUCUGUCAUUAUUCAACAGGGGACAUUGUGAGCCUAUUUGCUGGUGUGGACUAUUCAACCAAGCAUGGUUUGGUGGACUAUAGGGUCAAGCAACUUGCAUUUACCUGUAUUUGGGCUAUCUAUCAAAAUAGGUUUGCUUUGUGAACACCUGUUUGAAUAUAUCUGAAAUCUGCUGAACUUUCAGCUCUACUGAAUUUGGGUGCUAGUUGGAUGCAAUAUUUUCCCUGUUAUCGUGCUUGUGCUAAACUCUAAGUACAUGAGAGGCGUCGUCUCUUGAUUCUGUUUCCAUGUGUAGUCAUAUCCUGGUCAUGAUUUUGACUAUUAUAGCUCUAGGCACUCUAUUAUGCAGACCCUAACAAAAGUUCUUUCCUGUCUUAAAUUUUUUAACCUUACAUCGAUUGAAUUCUGAAUGUCACUAUUAAAUCUCCUUAGUCUGGAGGUAAAACUCCCAGCAUGGACCCGAUUUAUACUUGCAUAGGGUGUGCCAAGUUUCAAUGGCUAUGUAUUUGAAUUUUUAUUGGCGCAAAUAUUAUUUUAACAUGUUGGAUUUUACUCUCUGUUUUUUUAUUGCUUUUUUGCUUCAAUUGACCUUGCAUGUCUAUUAUUACUUGUGACGUACAUGCUUGCUGUUUUUAGGAUUUAUUUACAUUUUGCUUAACUUUUGUGGUUUUGAUGGACAUGUGCUUAUGAUGUCUGAUAGCCAGUACAUUCUCUUAGAAUUGUUCUUUGAGACAAUAUUUUUUAACAUUAUCCUUAAUUUUAACAAAAAAAAUUUAACUACCUUGCUGAUACAUGAUGCCUAUUGGCAUUUUGAUUGUGGAGCAGAAAACAAUUGAAGGAUCAACUUGUGAUGGUGCCCAGGGAUUCAAGCCUAACAGCAACUCUCUUGCUGGAAGCUGUAGUUUUGCUGAUCGAUCCCAAACUUCCAUGGGCUUGCAAGGUUGUUGGUUAUCUCUUGCAAAGGAAUGCAUUCGCUCUAUUUAGAGAAAUUGUCCUAACAGGAAAGGUAUGCAUCUAAUUAUUACAAAUGCUUUCUUGGUUUUUGAUUUUGUGCUAGAAGGUAUAUUCUGCAUAAUGUGCCAUUUCUUUCCAUUAGCUUUCUACUAACUUCCAUUAUAAACUUACAUUUCUGUUUUCUUACUAAAAUUGUCUGCAUGCAAACAUGCACUACCAAAUUCCAUAUCUGAAAUUUUGUAACCUUAGAGUCAUAAUGUUGUAACUACCAUAGUCUAAAAACUUGCCCAAAUUAACAUGAUUUGAAUAGCAUGUAUAAUGGAUACAUAUCUUUCAAAAGCAUGCUACUAUGAGGCAAAAGAAGUAAGACCAUCGGUUCGUAAGGUAAAAUAAACUUUGAAUACCCCGAAUCAUCGUCUUGUUUCCUGUAUUGGUAACAUGGCUUAUGGCUGCACUCUAAGGGCACUUUAUUUUCAGCCAUUCUUUUGCCAAGGAACCCAAAAAAUCAGAUGUUACCUUCCAUUAAUUUUCUUUUUAAUAUAACUGCUGCAGAAGAAUGAAAAAAGUUGCAGGAAUUUGGCUCCACACACACAGCUAGAGAGGGUCUGAGAUAAAUCAACUGAAAAAUGCGAAUAGAGAAUGCUGUGAAGUUUCCAACUUUUCAUUUUUUUCCUUCUUAACAUGAUAACCAUGUGUUUUUGGGCUUGUGAUCUACCUUUAUAAGAAUUGAUCCUUUUAAUAAAAAUAGUGCAGUAAUAAAAAAAGACUUUAUCAUAGUUCAGGAUGCUAGCAAUUUGGCUGGGAUUAAAAGCUGCUGAACCUGGACAUGAACUUGUUAAGGCCUGUUUGUUUUCGCGUUUCAAAAGCGCUUUUGAAAAAAAUUGAAAUUUUUUUAUUUUUUUGUUUCAAAUUAAUAUUUUUUUGGUGUUUUCAGAUCAUUUUGAUGCGCUGAUGUCAAAAAUGAUUUUUAAAAAAUAAAAAAAUAUUAUUUGAUACAUUUUUGAGCGAAAAACACUUUGAAAAGCAACCACUACCACACUCACAAACACCCCCUAACUGACAAAUGCACAUAUUAGUUGUGGUGGUUAUUAUUUCUGAUUUUGCUGUGCUGCUUAAAAUCUGUCUGGUAAUUACGCUCACCCUAUUCUGAAGUAGUUACAGAUUACUGCAUGUGGUUUUCCUUAAUAAUGUGCAGGAGAAUACGAAGAGUGACAAUUCCAUUAGAAAUGCAUCUCCAUUGGAGCGUAUUCUUGCCCUUUUGAUAUCUCACAUUGGUCAGCAUCCGUGUAUUUGCCCCAACAUUAAUCCGCAAUGGAGUUUCUCUUCUCAGAUGCUGACAAUCCCUUUAUUAUGGAGACUUUUUCCUAGUUUAAAAGAGGUAUUUUGUUUUAAUGUUUCUUCUGGUGGAAUUAAUUGCCUUCGUUUUUUGUUAAAAUUCUAUGCAAUAUAGACAACUGUGGCAUUACUUGUCAUGGAAAAAAAAUGCAGCAGACUGUUUCUUUUAUUUUAUUGAUCUUGUUGAAUGGGAUAUGCAAUUUUUUCCUACUUGUUUUCUUCUGAGCUGAGCUGAAAAUCAUGUAAUUGUUGUUUGGACUGCUUAUUGUUUCUUAGGAUUGUUGCAUAAGUGACUUUUUCCUUCCAGGUUUUUGCAACUCGGGGGCUGAGCCAACAUUACAUUCAUCAGAUGGCACAAUGUGUGCGGAAUGCCUAUGUCCUGCCCAAUGAUGUUUCUGUGGAAUGUCCUGGUUAUGCCUGUCUCCUAGGAAAUACGGUAGAAACUGCAGGAGCUGCUUUGUCUCAUGCUGACUGUUCCUUUGAGAUGGUAAGGAAUUCAUGAUAAAUCAUAGUAGAUAAUUGUGUUAUUGUAUAAACACACACAAAAAGAAUACAAUACAUCUGUAUGGAUUAAUAUAUUAUUUGUUGAUAUAUAACUUCUUUUCCCUCUUUGCAAGAUGCAAAACUACUAGCUGCUUUCAAAAUGUAAACUAUAGGUUGUAUGUUUAAGGAUCGUGAUAGUCAGGCAAAAGAUUUUGAAACAUUAUGGGAAAAGGAGGCUGGUUACCUACCAAAAUUAUAUGAAUCUAAGACUUCUGAAGAAAGAUAUUGAUGGAUUACCAUUGUGUGAGGAGUCUUUCAUGCUUGACCUUAAGAACCUAUGACUUGCUGUUUUGACAGCAUUGAUAUGACUUGAAAUACAAAACCAGACCAUACUGACACAUUAUUAGCUUGAUUUUGUGCUUAAACGCUUAAUUUUAUCCAAGUGGAUCACCACGCUGCCUGAGACCUCACCCGUUGUGGUUUUGAUUCAGCUGUUAAGCAAUCCAUAAAUUUUCCUCAAGUAAGAUUUAAAAUUCGUUUUUUGACAACUGCACAUGAAUACUCUCUAAAUCUUUUCUCUGCUGUUUCAUGUAUGUUUAAUGUCUGGUUUGCAGAUUUCUAUCAUUUGUAACCUAUGUUUUUUUCUUUUCACCAUUGAAGAUUUGUGAACUUUUUCCUUUUGCUUCCUUUACAAAUUCUGGAAAUGAUAUAUGGUGAUGACCACUUUAACUUAUUUUAGUUUUGGGGAAGUUAAAGUAUUGCUAAUUAUGAAAAUCUGUAACUUUCUUUUCUUGACUGACAGUUUAGAUCUUUCUCAUCAUUUCCCCUUAGGAUUAAAAGAGAAUAAUUGUUGUUAUCUUUCUUAUCCAACUUGCCAAAUGUGUUACAGCUGGGAAAUUUUGAUUCAACUUUUGUGGAUUCUGAAACUAAUUUUCUUUCUUGUUUAUUUCAAUUAGGCUAUGGACCUUGCUGCUGUUACAACAUUCUUGUUGGAGGCACUUCCUCCUAUAAAAUCGUCAAGUCCGGAAAUUAGACAAAGUAUGCACUCUUCAUGAUAUAUCAAAUUUAUUUCUUUCCUUGAUAAGUGCCUGCUGUGGAUUUUCUCUAUCUGGAAAUUCUUACUUAUACCAUAACCCUUUGCAUAAUCUUCCAUUCGUUCAUUAACCUUGUGGAAGCUGAAUUACUGUCUUUUGAUCUGAGUGUAUACAUGUAAUUGGUAAACUUCAGGUUCCACUAUGGAUGAGGAUGAUAUGGCUUUGCCUGAUGAAAUGGAAAUAGUUUUAAACAAGGAUUUGGAACAACAGAUAGCCCAUGCUAUGCAUUCCCGCUUUCUCUUGCAAUUGGUAUGUAACAUGCUUUUUUUGUAUCAGCUUGACAUUAAAUUGGCCUAUCUAUAAUAGUGAAAGCAAUCUUGACCUUUUAGAAUUAAAAAAACUAAGCAACUUUUUUGACUUUGUUUUCAAGCAGACAAGUGUUUUAUUUCGGGAGGUUUCAAUGGUCAGUGGUUCAAACCAUGGACUGGAUGACAAAGAGGUUGCAGCUAUUGGUGCUGUUUGUGCCUUUUUGCAUGUUGCUUUCAACACCUUGCCAGUCGACCGAAUGAUGACUGUAUUGGCAUUUAGAACUGAACUUGUUCGAGUGCUUUGGAAUUUUAUGAAGCAGUGUCAUGAGAAUAAGAAGUGGCCAUCCUUGCCUGAGCAGUUGUCAUAUCUGCCAGGAGAUGUACCUGGCUGGCUGUUACCUCUGGCUGUUUUUUGUCCUGUAUACAAGUCAGCUUCUCUCUCUCCCUUUGGUGGUUUCAUUUCCUUCUUGUGCUGACAUGUUAUUCUGUUUUUUUCCAUUUGGUUUUAUAUAUCCCUUUUAUAUUCUAGAUUAAUGUGUGGCUGUAUCUGGUCACGUUAGUUGUUUGUUGCCCUUCCCCUUGCUUCUUGAAGAAGCGAAUAUUUCUACUCUUAAUUGUUUUCAUGGUUUGCCAGGUACAUGCUUAUGUUAGUUGGCAAUGAGGAGUUUUAUGAGCAGGAGAAGCCAUUGUCAUUGAAGGAUGUUCGGUGUCUAAUUGUUAUUUUGAGACAGGUAACUUAUCAUGGAUGAAUUUUAGAUCAACAAGCUGUAAAAUGAAGACUUGAACCGGAGGCUUUCUGUAUCUAGCCACCUUGUUCUUACAUGUGUUGCUGCUUUCUAAUGUAAAUGUGUUAUAACUCCAACUUCUGUUUCUUCAUUUUCUAUUUUCUGCAGGCCCUAUGGCAGCUCCUGUGGGUGAAUCCUACAGCACACAGUAAUUCAGUUAAACUUGUUAAAAACACUUCUGCUUAUAACGGGAACCCUGUUGAAUCUAUUAAACAGAGAGUUAGUCUUGUAGCCUCUGAACUCCUCUCUCAGGUAAUUCUUAAUCUGUUGAAUUUUUUUAAUCUGAAUUACUCAAAGUCUUACUUGCAGGUCAUCCUAUUGCAAUUUGUUGUUUUAAUCGCUAAUCUAGUCACUGUAGAUUCUGUAAAUGUUUUUGGUUUGAUAGAAUAUUCACUUGUAUUUUGCUUAGACUAUGCUAGCAAUAUGCAGGAGAUAUUGUUCCUUUAGUUUAUUUUUUUUUAAAAUUUUUAAUGGAAUAUUAUUGUAGUUGCAAGAUUGGAAUAACAGACGACAAUUUGCACCACCCAGCGAUUUCCAUGCUGAUGGCGUUGAUGAUUCAUUCAUUUCUCAGGUAGUAUUUUAUCUCAAAUGUAAUCUUCAGGUUCCUGGAACCUAGCUGUUAUGAUGUUGAUUUUGCCCAUUUUCCCUUUUCAGGCUAUAAUAGAUGGAACCAAGGCAAAUGACAUUAUGAAUCGGGCUCCUUUUUUGGUACCUUUUACAAGCAGAGUAAAAAUAUUCAAUGUAAGUCUUGUCACAAAGUUGCACUCAAAAGAAUGUGAAGCUGUGAGGAAUAAAGUGUCAGUGUAGUUAUUUAUAUAAAUUUGUCUUCCAGUCACAAUUAUUGGCCAUUAGGCAAAGACAAGGAUCCCAUGGUGUUUUCACGAGAAACAGAUUCAGAAUACGACGGGACCAUAUUUUGGAAGAUGCUUAUAAUCAGAUGAGUGCAUUGUCUGAGGAGGAUCUUCGAGGAUUGGUAAUUCAUUUGUUUUACACAUUAAUUUCCAAAAACAAAUAUUUUCAAUCAGAAUACGACACUAGAGUAAUCAUGUUUGGUUGUUCACCUACAGAUUCGUGUAUCAUUUAUUAAUGAGUUUGGAGUUGAGGAAGCUGGCAUUGAUGGUGGUGGCAUUUUUAAAGAUUUCAUGGAGAACAUUACUCGAGCUGCCUUUGAUGUGCAAUACGGGUUGUUUAAGGUGAUAAAUUUAUGUUCUGUGACAUCCAUGCAUUUACAUGCUUCAAGUUGAAAGCUAAACCAGUCUGUGUGAACUUGCAUGAGUUGAAUCAAAGCAUACACCCAGGAGUACAAAGAUAUUCACCCAUGUAUAAUGCUGUGUUAUGACUUACAACAUAUAUAAAUUUUAUAUGAGGUCUCUUAAAUAAUAUUGGGAUAUAUUACAACAUUUUGAAUCUUUUGAUGGCUGCUGUUUUUAUGCAUGCAUGUUUGAUGUGUUACAUAUCAGCAAAAGCACUUUCCUUGUCUUCUUCUUUCUUGCUUUAAUUUAUGUUGUUGUACCUUCUACCUGAUGUUUUGUGACUGUCUGCUUGGCAUUGUACAUUCAGGAAACAUCUGAUCACCUACUCUACCCCAAUCCUGGAUCAGGAAUGACACAUGAACAACAUCUCCAGUUUUUUCAUUUCCUUGGAACUCUUCUUGCAAAGGUUUGAUUUGCUCUCUCAUUCAACCGAUUCAUCACAUAAUAUUUAAUGGUGUUGAUUGCAUGGUUUGGAGCUUCAAGGUCAAUUGCUUUGUCUUUUAAUGCAUAUGAAACCUAUAGAACAGCAUGUGCCUAACAUAAACUAAAUUUUACUGCUGGCAUCUGAAGAUUUGCAUGUUAUAGCAACAUGGGCCUGCACUUUUUCAUGUUCAAUCUUUGAUUGUCCACCUUAGGUUAUUGAAUUUGAUAUAUCUUGAAUAAGAAUAAUACCAACAUUUUUAAUGUAAUAUACAUAAAUGUUUUUGUGCACGUAAGUGUUUUUGAAUUGAUUUUGUAGUAUUAUAUCUUAUCAUUUGCUAAAAUAUUGUGAUUGUGAUUUUGUUUUAUAUUCUUUUUUAACCAAAUGUCAUGGUCAUAUCUUACACGAGAUAAAAUGGUGUAAGAUAUAUUCACCUAAAAUGGGUAUCAUAGUACUAGAGAGGAAUGAUUAACCUAACUAUUUUCAGAUAGUUCACACCAAAUAACUGGAACAGGGCCUUUUGAGUUGCUGAUGGGACCUUUGGAGUCUUAAAUGUCUGAAAAAAUUAAAAUUUCUUUUCCACCAUUAGGUCAUUAUGCUGGUAAUUUUAUGUCCGCUAAUUUAUGUGGAAUGGACAUAUAAAUUAGAUUUUAAGUUGGAGCUCUCAUGCACGAGUACUGUUGUUUUAUUGCAGACAGCUUUGCAACCCUCUUAAUUUGUACAGAAGAUUGUGGAAUUCCCUUCUCUUAUAUAAGUAUUUUUUUUGUUACAAAGUAGAGGCUCAAACUCGAGACCUCUUAAUGAGAGGGGGAACACCACUGCCAGUCGAGCUACUGUUCACUGGCUUAUAUAAGUUUGAUCAUGCUUUGAAGCUUGCAACAUGCCACCGAUUGCAAAAAGCAUUCCACUUAUCUUAGUUUUAUUUCUUGGUCCCACACAAAGAGCCUUUCCAGGGUUUAAUACUGAAAUCCCUAUUGGUCUUUGUCCUUUGUCUCCUCAAUAUGAAGGAUCUAAUUAUGUAUCCUUAUCCGGUUCCCUGUUACUCUUCUCUGUGCAGGCUAUGUUCGAAGGUAUUCUUGUUGAUAUACCUUUUGCAACAUUCUUCCUAAGCAAAUUAAAACAGAAGUAAGUUUUCAAUGCUAUACCCGCUAAAUUGUAGCUGUUUUUGGACCUUUUUAAUUUUUCAUGGCUGCUACCUUCGAAUUCCAUGCUUUAUAUACAAAGUGGCGGAUCCAUAGUGUAAUUAGCGGGGUCAAUUGACCCCACUCAGUUUUUUUAAAAUGGUAAUAAUAUAUGUUGGAUAUAAAAUUAUAUAGUUGUUUUCCUAAAAUGACCCCAUUAAAUAAUGCCAAAAGUAAAAAACAAUUAAAGAGGAGGGCCAAAUUUGUAAUUAUAAUUACCUUGUACAGGUAAAGAAGAAAAAAAGGAAAUUAUUUUGAAAGCAUGUUAUGUUAGGAAUAAAAGAGUUCACAUAGGAAAUGGUUGAGAGAAAUAGGGAUUGAUAUUUGUAGUAGACUCAUAUUUGUAUUAUAGUUCUUAAUUGUUUCUUCUCCAAUCUUCACACCUCAUUUUAUAAUCUUUCGAAAAGCUAAAUCAAAUUUAAUCAUUUAAAAUUUUUAAUUGUUUGGAAAACGAAUGGUAUGGAAGUGUUUUUCUAAUAAAAAAUGUCAUUAUUUAUUGAUUCAUUGCUUUUAUAUCCACCUUUUCUUUUCCUUAUAUUUGAAAGUUUUUAAAAGAAAUUAUUUCUAAAUUAAAUUUUUUUUAAUAUAUUUAUUUAGUUUUGAAUUAAUUUAGUAUACAAAUUUUUUUAUAAAAAUAUUAUUAUAAUAUUUACAUAAAAUUAUUUUUGCAAUAUGAUUAAGAGCUAUUAAAUGACCCCGCUACAAAAAUUCUGGAUCUGCCACUGUAUAUGUAUGUAUUUUUUGCAAAGCAGAUACCUUAGGAAUAAUUAAUUUUGAACUAUCUGUGCAAGUUCAUAUUAUUUUAGUUUAGGAAAUAGAAACUAAUUUUGACAAUUUCACCUAUUUGGUUUUUCGUUACCAUGUACUAUCUCUACCUCAAUUUUAGUAUUUAUUUACGAGUUUUGUUGGUUGAUCAGGUACAACUAUUUGAAUGACUUGCCUUCACUGGAUCCAGAAUUAUAUCGCCACCUUAUUUUCCUGAAGGUACUAUUGUUAUUGUCUUCCCACUGACCAUGAAUGCUUCAGUAACUGCUACUGUCUUGUCAGCUAAACAAUAAACUUCUGUUUGCACUGAUUCUUUAGCAAGCAGGAACCUGGAAAUUCAUCUAUAAUUGUGCUUGAGGUACAAAUAAAUCCCCUUGAAAUGAGCUGCUGUUAAAAAUGGAGACACUGUGUCAACUAAAGUAGAAAGUUUGAAUUAACUCUAUUUUGGGGGGAUCCAUCAUAAUGUUAUAUGUCUAUGGGAUAUGUCUUAAGGGAUUGAAAUAGUGUUUUAUUCAUUUGAAUUGCUUAGCCAAAUACAGAACAUAGUAGUUCAUUUUCAUGAGCUGGAUAAGUCUUUAUGCAAUUGGUUUUUGCUAUUGAUCAGCUGUUAUAGCUUUUAUUCCUGUCUGUCCCAAAAAGAGUAAUUGCUCCUAUUAGUUGACCACCUGACUUCCAUACUUUUGGUGUCAGAAAUGGGACCAGAAUGGGGUCAUGGUCUUGGGGAAUGAAAUAGCUUUUACUUUGUCAUAGAAGGCCAUUUACAAGCAGGCAUGCCCAUCUAGAGGGUUUUAGAUUAUAUGGUGCUGGUUCAAUUUUCUGUAGGGAGUCAAUUAUAUUUUCCCUUAUCCUUUUCAGAAGCAGGCAGGCAUGUCCAUGUAGGGGGGGUUAAGAUUAUGUGAUUCUAGUUUCAUUUUCUGUAGGCACUGAAGUAUAUUUUUCCUUCUUUCUCGUCCUUUUGGUGUUGGAAUGGAACUUUCAACUGAUGCGGGGAAAAAAAAGAGAGAAUCUCCAUCUGUAUGACAUCCUCUCAGAUUCUCAUUGGUUCUUUUGAUUUUAGGUUCUCACCUUUUUCUUUACUUGCAUUUAUCUUAACUGCAGCGUUAUCAAGGUGAUAUUUCUGACUUGGAGCUCUACUUUGUCAUUGUAAAUAAUGAAUAUGGCGAGCAAACAGAAGAAGAGCUGCUUCCUGGGGGACGAAACCAACGUGUUACUAAUGACAAUGUCAUUCCUUUUACUCAUCUUGUAUCUAAUUAUCGUCUGAAUUAUCAGGUAUUCCAGCAUUUCAUUAGUAGUUCAUCUAGUUCACGCAAUGUUGUCAUCUAAUCAUCGUAGUAAUCACUUUCAGAUACGUUUGCAAAGUUCUCAUUUCAUGAGGGGCUUUCAGCAGCUUAUAAAGAAAGAAUGGAUUGAUAUGUUUAACGAGCAUGAACUUCAGGUAUUCUCACCCAGAUUCUUAUGAACAAAUCAUGCUAGCUUUGCAUGAGAUGGAUACCUUGCAUUGCUAAUCUCAUAUUUAACAUCAGUAGAAAAAUUAUACACUAAAGAAUCAUCAGCCUUAUGUGUAAACUUAAAAAUAUCUCCCAAUCCCUUGUUCCCUCCUUUAUUUGACGUAGCUACUAUUUGUUUACAGCUCCUGAUAUCAGGUUCACUUGACAGCUUGGAUAUUGAUGACCUGCGCAGUCAUACCAAUUAUGCGGGUGGUUAUCAUAGCGUAAGUUAAUUUUGUUUGUCUUAAUUGUAAAGUUCUAGUUGGAAAAAUAUGAGUAUCCUUAAUUUUCUAUUGCAGCUUCUUAUGUGUAUACAGAGAAACAAAAGUAUGCAAGAAGAGAGAAAAAAAGAGAAAACCUUACACUUAACAACUGCUCUCUUAAAAAUUAUGAAAAAAAUGCAACCAAAUGAUUUAAUUUAAAGAACCUCAAUUAAGCUCACAAUUUCUCCCCGACAACAAAGUCCCACUAUAAACAAGGUGAAACUAAUCCUACUCACCUGCCAACACGCCAUCCUCUCACCAUUCAUAAUCGUGCAUGCAUGCAUGUUUUUUUGAGACUUUAAUCUAGAGCCCAACCUAGGGCCUCAGCAUAUUAUCUUUAGAGUUAAUUUAGUGGUUGAGAAUUGGCUUUGGUAAAUUUCAAUUCUUAUUUGGAAUUGUAUUUUUCCUUCAUGUGCAGUUCACAUAUGAUGGAGAUAUAAUACCUUUGCUGUUUUCCUAGAAAAAUACUUUGCAUUGAUUAAGAUUCUGAAUCUUGUUCCAAAUUUAGCUGCCGUUGUGGCCCUAUGUGAGGUGGUUCUCUGGAUUUUGGAAUAAAUGGUCAUUUGUUAUGGGACAUAUGUUCAUGCUCUGAUGACUACAUGGCUACCAAGGCAUUUAAACUAUACCUAAGUGAAUGAUUAAGCCCACCUUUAUGUCUAUUUUCUUGCAAUUAAAAGCUACUUAAUUAAUCUGUUUUUUUCCCCCUCCACAGGAGCAUUAUGUUAUUGAGAUGUUCUGGGAAGUUAUGAAAGGUUUUUCAUUGGAAAACCAAAAGAAAUUUCUGAAGUGAGCUUCUUCUUCUUCUUCUUCUUUUUUGUAUUUUGCCACCUCAAUUCUCAAUUCUCAGUCAGCUUGAGAACAUACUACCAAAAUGAUAGAAAACAACUUUUAUAGGUUUGUGACCGGUUGCUCUCGAGGACCUUUGCUUGGAUUCAAGUAUCUGGAACCCUUGUUUUGUAUACAGAGGUAAGAGCUGUACUAAAUGUAAUUAGGAGAAGCAGAUUUUGAAGUUUGUGUGAACCUCUUUGUUGAUGCGUGUCAAGAUUUUUACUAUUUAUUUUGUUUGUUUUCACCUUUUUAAUAUAAAUUGAUUUCUACAAUUAUUUAACUUUUUCUUCAGGGCCGGGGGUACUGCUUCUGAGGAAGCUCUUGACCGGUUGCCGACAUCAGCUACUUGCAUGAAUCUUCUAAAGCUUCCACCUUAUAGAAGGUUUGUCCCUGUAAUAGGAUCUGCUAAUCUGAUGUUUACUUUAUUCUAUUCAUAUUUGUUGUCUUGGUGCAUAUAUAAAGGUUUUGUCAGGUACUCAGCUCAUUGUUUACUUACUUAAUCAACCUUCUCAUGUUUGUGACACAGCAAAGAGCAGCUAGCAACGAAAUUGCUAUAUUCUAUAAAUGCGGAUGCUGGUUUCGAUUUGAGCUGAUGAGUUGUGUUUUGAUAAAACCAAGGGGAGAAAACAUAAUCCACGUGAUGUUGCUCCUGCAAACAUCCGUUAAUACACUGGAGUACCAAGGGCCAGCACAGCUUUGCUGGAGACAGGUGAUUGUAGGAGAAAAAACUGAAGACAAGAAAUAAGAAUAGAAUAGCCUUUAGAUUCAUUUAAUGGAAAAUCCCCUAAUGGGGUUCAUGUGUACAUAUGUGGAUACCCCUGCAGUAUAUAUCGAGUUUGGCUAAACUCACUCACGCUGGAGCUUCCACAGGUGGGUCCUGUCCAGGGAUACGAUUUGUAGACUGUAAGUUGAAAGAAUUGCUUCUCAUUAUGUAAAAAGAGAAGACUCUUUCUCGACCGGGUCCCUGCAAAAGCUUUCGUGUCUAGAUGAUCAGGGACGUAGUCGAUUAUGUAUUGUACUCUUAUGUAAGUUGAAUACACUUUUACUUCUUUCCAUCGAUUGUAUUGUACUUGUGUAAUUAUCUGUAGAUGAUCAGGGACGUAGUCAUUGUGUUUGGCUAGAAUAUCAUAAUUCAGAUAGAAACUUUGAUUUCUCAAAGAGGAAAUCUGAUUUUAAAUAAAUUAGUUCUGCUUAUGCGAUGCUUUACAGAUUCGCUGUACAAAUUAAUCUCCGAGCUCAUUGUUUCUUGGGCUUUCAUUCCUUCCCUUCUCACUGAACUGGCCAAGUCUGAGUGCUAAGUCAUAACAGGAGGGAGAUGGUCAAGACGCAAAACCCCCUACCCUCGAUCGCAUUGCACAAAUUGGUUAGGCGCGUAUCCAAUUUGAAGGGGGACAGAUUGGAUUACCUGCCAAGAUCAGUAUCCCUUUGACGCUUAAACAAAAUUAAGAGAGAGAAAAAAUCAAUAAGAUGAAGAUGGUUCUGAGGAGGACGUACUUAAUAUAUACGCUCUUUAUUCAACUCUUGUGAGAUUAGACUUGGCUUCUUACGUACGAGUUCGUUACGCCAAUCCAUUUAAUUGAUGGUUUGCUGCAGUUAUUUAUGGAGGCAAGCUAUGUGUUUAGUUGAAUUGGCUUUCUAUUAUUUCCGGAUGUGCUUACAAAACAAAAACUUGGACCGUCAUUAUUUAUUGCCUCAUUGGCUCUAUGUUAUUUCAGUUAAUUGUCAUGGAUUAUCAAUGUUGGAUUUAAUUUUAUCUAUAUUUUGUAAUUAUUAUCAUAUCCUCAUUCUUUGGGUUCCAUUUCUGUGCUGGAAAAUCGUGUAGAAACACCGAGGAAAGAAGUUAACCGUUGUGUCAAAAUGGCAGAAUUUAUAGAACACAACUUACAAGGUGUUGAUUCGGCUAUAUUAGCUGUUCCUGUAGCUCUUGCAAAGGGAAUAGGUUGGGAGGAUCUUGCUCGGAUGGUGAAGGAUGAGAAGAAGGCAGGAAACCCUAUUGCUGGCUUAAUUGACAAGCUCCAUUUUGAAAAGAACUGCAUGGCAUUGCUAAUAGCAAUAAUAUCGAUGAAAUGGAUGAUGAUGAAAAGACACUUCCAGUGUAUAAGGUGUUACUUCUGUACAAAUUAUGACUAAUGUAAUUUAAGCACACCUGCUAAGAGUGAAUCAUGAAACUCUGUCUUUCACAGUGUCGACCUUUUGUUGCUAAUCUCAGUUCAUGUACGUGAUUAUUCAGUUUAGACGUUGGAUUUGAGCUAUGUCAUCUGUUGAUUUAGUCUAUUUCCACUUUCAGAUAGAAGUUGUUUAAGCACUUUCAGCACAUGCCAAUGCUCAGAGGUGGUAUGAACUGAAGAAAAAGCAGGAGUGCAAGCAAGAAAAAACUUUUACCGCACAUAAAAAAGCUUUUAAAGCGGCUGAGAAAAAGAUCCAUCUCCAGCUUUCUCAGGUAGAUUUAAAUUGUAAAUGCAAUAAUACGGGAUUCUGGCCUACUUUGCUAACUAUUAAAUGUGCUUACAGGAAGCAUCUGCAUUUUAUGUAUUUAAAAACUUCAAAAUUUAUUAGCAUUAGCACUAAGUGUGAUGUGCAGCUUAAAUAUUCUGAGGGAUAUCAUGUUACUGGGUAAAACUUGAUAGGUUUACAUUGUUUUAUACAAGCAUUAAUAGGGUGUAUAUUGAUCGCCAAGCGUACUAAAAGACCAUUUAUUUCUGAAAACUGCGUGCAUGCUUGUAUGUGCAUGAGGUUUGCUUUAUUUAUCAUUGAUCACCUAUGAACGUGCUACUUGUAUUUUAAUUGUUAUCAUAAGCUGGGAUAUUCUGUCUUCUGAAUUUUGUUGUUUACAUGCCUAUGCUGGUGGUGAAUGCAGGAAAAAUCUGUUGCCACUAUAUCACACAUGCAUAAGGUUCACUGGCUUGAGAAAUUUAACUGGUUCAUCGGCACUUGGAACUAUUUGGUUAUUAGCAGGCGUGAUGCUCAGCAAAAUGAGAUGACAGUCAAGCGUUAUAUGUCAAAAGGAGAUUUGGAAGUCUUUUACUGUAAUCUUCAGAUUGUCAACUCAAGAAAUAUUAUUUAGUGCUUCACUUGGAAGUUGAGUUGAUCCUUAGCAACAUUCAGAUAGUAAGAUCUCUUUUUGACACGAAAUCUGCGAGUAAAUGCUGUAGUGAUAUUCAUUGAAACUGUGCAACAGGUAUGUCCAUGCAGAUCUGGAGCUUCUAGUACUGUGAUAAAAAACCACAGGCCUGAACAACCUGUACCUCCUCUCACAUUAAAUCAAGGAGAAUACCUUACAGAUGAAGGAGAAGUAUGGCAAUCAGGACGAGGAGAAUUCGGAUGGCUUUACUGGCUGGGAGCACUAUGACUUAAUCUACUUAUAUUUUUUAGCUCCCAGUUCAAAUUUUUUUCAACCAUGGCACGAAAAACUGUGUGUGUGUUUAGACACCAGAUUUUGCUGUUAUAAACAUUUUGCUACAUCUUUGAAAAGAUCAAGAAAUAAUAUAACAGUUGAGCUUUUCUGGGGCUGAAGCAUGGCCAAUUUAGUACCAUCCUUUUCUUUCGUAGAAGAGAUAAUAACUUUGGAUCCCACCUCUCCAUAACCAUGGACUUGUCAAAGAGACUGAAAUUCAACAUAGUGAAAUUUCUUCAAAUUAACUAUGCUAUAUACACACAGCAUUUUAACUAAAUUAGCAUGGUCGUUUUAAAUGUAGUAGGAUGUAAUUGUGAUCUAUCUAUAGAAUUACAUUUCUCCAUAAAGCAGGAGAUUUCAAACUGUCCAGCGAGUGUAUUUUCUUCUAGGAAUGGCAAUAUCGCAUGUGAUCACGGUAUCAUUUCUUUAUCAGCUAGCACUUUGAAACUGUCCAUGCAUAUGAUUUUUCAGUCUGCUGGAAAUACAAGCAAGAAUGGAGAGAUUCAAAAUGGAAAUGAAGCUACUGACAAAGGGAAGAUACCUGUUGCCAGUAUGUUCUCUAAACUUCCAGUGGUAAUUUGGCAAUGCCAGAUUUUUUUUUUAAUGCUACAUCAAUUAUCAAAGUACUCGAUCAUUUGUGCUUCCACAAAUGCUCUCUUGAUUAUGCUUAUGAAGAAUCCCAUUUUAGGGAGAACAUAUUAAAUUGUGAUUUUUUGUGCUGUUUCAAUCUGGCAGGUCCUGAAGAUGCUCCGAAAGUAUGUUAUAAAUGUAAAAAGUGAGGUCACCUAUCUCGAGAUUGACCAGAACAUUCUGAUGACAGUUCAAAUAAACGUGCAAAUGGUGCUAUAGAUAAACCUGGUGUGGGCUUGGUUGAUUCCACCUCUGAGAUGGACAAGGUGGCCAUGGAGGAGGAUAUUCAUGAGAUAGGCGAAGAAGAGAAAGAGAAGUUAAAUGAUUUGGACUGGGAAUCCACUGCCUACCGAUAUUCUCUUAUAUGCCGUGCCUGUCUGUGCAGUGCAGUCAUACAAAUACCACGUGAAGGUUAUUCCUGGAACUGUAAAAAAAGGAAAGGGUAUCUCUUUUCCUCAUAUUUUCCCGUCAUUGGGGAGCUAUUGUAGCUGCUAUAUUUGUCUGGUUGGGGGGGUUUGGGGUGAACCUUGCUUCUAGGUUUUGUUCUCCCCUUGCAAUUUGGAUUUUAUGCGUGUUCUGCUUUUAAUUCGUAGAGAUUUGACUAAUCUAUGGAUUCGAUGUUUUUCUAGCUGCAAAAACUGCCACAAACUUAUUUAGCCACAUGCCUGAAGCAACUGGUACAGAGAAAGAAUUGAUGAAAGAAUGUACAGAUCCUGAGCUAGUAGCUGCAAUUGUUGGCAAUGCAAAGUUCACUGCUGCAGGACUUGCACAAUUGAAGCAGAAGCAGAAGAAAGGUAAGAAGAACAACAAAGGUGAAAGUUAGCAAGGAAGCCUCCUGUAUAGCCGUUACAGGAAGGAAAUUUCCAUUUUGGACAAGGUGAUUUUUUCUCGUUAAUGCAUCAUACGAGCGCCAAAUUUUACUUGGAAAUAGGUUUUUAACUUAAAAUAUUGUGACUUUUUUAAUAUCUUCAAAAUUAGAAUGUUCACCUGCUGGAAAUGGCAAGGCAGAUGAUAUCAGUAAGGAGUUCUGUUCUCAUUAUUUGGCUCGAGUGAAAAUGACAAUUGUUUAAACCUGUCUGAAGAUGUUUUUUAGGGGUUUUAACUUUUACCUAAUUGGGCUCCUAUUAAAUUGAAGACUCAAAAUCCUAUUGCUGCCCGCACUGUCGAGCACAUAUGAUACUUGUACAUUAAAACAACACCGAAUUGAACAGAAGGCGGCCUCGUAACUCAUUUGUAGAAGGGUUGCCGUUUGAACAAAUAUUUAACACAAAGAAAGGCAAAAAAUUAGAAAAGCAGAAAGCUUAAAACUCAAUCGGAUUCUUCCUCUGGUGUACCAUGGCCAUCAGACUCAUCAGCAGGGGGGACAUCACUCAAGUCUAAACCUUCUGCAGGCAAGUCUGAAAUAUUCGGACCCAAGAUCCCACCGGAGCUGAGAGGUAGUCCACUCUGUACAGACAGAUACAAUUAGGUUAAUCCAGCUAAUUCAGAUAUGCCUAGAUAUCCACAUAAACAUUUUCAAAUAAUGGAAAUUAAAUACACAUUCAGGUAACUUUAGAUGCCAAAGAAGAAAAAAGAAACUAGUAAAUCAGAACGUUUUUUUCUUUUAGGCAUUAAACGUCUCCUUAGAUAAGUACCAUCCAGCACCAGCAGACCAGGUAAGUGAAAAGGAACAAGCGUUUUGUCUAAUGCAUAUCAUCACAACUGACCUUAUUCUAUUAUUGAAAAAAUGUAAAUUAUUCUAUAAGUUUAAUUAAUUUAAAUGAGGUUCAUAAUGAUCAUCAUUCAAGACACAAGCUAUUGCUCAAAUUCAUUCACGUUAAAAAAAAUUUAAGUUUGCUCCUAUCUAAUUUUACAUGACAGGGAGAAAUGAAAACAACGUUCUGUUCGCCUUCAUGAAAUCCUUUAGUUUCAGAGAAAAUGACUGAAGUACCUCAGGCUGGAAUCUCAGCAUGUCAGCACGAGCCAUAGCCUCUGCCUGGGCAAUUCUCUGCCUGAAUGUCCGGGCCAUCUCCUCAGCCUAUUAAUACAAUACAAAGAUAUGAAUACAUCGCAUGUCAGAGAAAGGAUGAAAUAAUUUCUAGCAUCUUCUAUACCUCUCCUGUUGAAGGACAAAAAAGUGAUCAUACUACAGCAUAAAACAUCUAGCUUUAUAUUAUGUGAUCCAAAACAUUUGACAAUAAGGAAGGUUAAUGACAAUAUCCAAGAAUUACCUUUUCAAAGACAAGUUUUGGAUUGCGAAUCAUAUCACCAGGAGUAGGUUCCAAUUUUUUGGUAGAAAGACUUACUCGGCCUCUCUCACGGUCAUGGCUUAGAAUCAUCACCUGCAUAACAUAAUAUGGUUUAGAUAUAUGAAAAAGAACAGAGAAUACCUUCUUUGUAAUAUGGCAGCAAGUAACCAACCUUCAGAGUAUCACCAGGUUGAAGAACUGUUGAAAUAUCAGAGACACGAUCAUGACUAAUCUGACUGACAUGAAGAAGGCCAUUGAUUCCACCAAUAUCAAUGAAGGCACCAUAUGGUUUGAGGCUCUGAACGGUUCCAGUGACCACCGAUCCAAUACCUAGCUGUGCUUGACUGUCAGCCAUGGCCUUGCGAUUACUGAGAACAAGUCUAGACUGCUCCUCAUCAACGUCAACAAAUUUCAGGGGAACCUCUUUAUCAAGAAGUUCUUCUGCAGAUGAUUUCUGGUACAAAAACAGGGAAAGAUGAGAAUUUGGAAUUGACUGAAAGCAAAGUCAGACAAUAUGGCAAGCCUGGUUCAAGAACUAAACUGAUGAUAUCUGUGAGAAAGGGACGAAUCCUUGAAGGCCUUCGACAACUGCAACUACUCCACCUCUGUUUCCACCAACAACCUAUAUACACAACAUUCCAUUAUUCAAAGUUUUGAAAAUAAAAUAAUUUAUUUGUGAUUUAAACACCACAACACCACACAUGCUAUUAAUAAAGGCCUAAAAGCAGGUGAUUAGGAAACAAAAAUUGAUAAGAAUAGAUUCCACAGUUAACCAUGCAAUCACACUGCAAAUAAGUAACAAAAUAUUGAUUAACCUGCAAGCACUAAAAUGACAACUAAAUUUUUGCACCUGACCACCACCCAAUUAAAAGCACUGGACCAGACACAUAAUAAUAACAUUCCGUAUGAAAAUGGAGGAAAUGCAGUAUUUGUACAAGUAUAGAUAUAAUUAAUGUCAGGAGCAUAAAUACCCACCUUACCCUUCACAAUGGCAUCCUCAGCUUGAAGCUGCCUACACCGUUCCCAGGCAAGUUCAUACUGGAUUGACCUCAAGCUCAAGAUUAAGCUAUCAUCAGCUUCAUUUUCACCAAUGAUAACAAACUCCUCUCUCAUCCCAGGAACUAUACCAGCUUCUUCCACGCGUUUUAUUUUGUGAAUGCUUGCCUCUUGCACUGGUAAAUAUGCAGAAGAUUUUGCAGUAAUGUCAACAAAUGCCCCAUUGUUAUCAGUCAUAAAAACUGUCCCCUUGACCUGAUUGUAAAAAACACAUGCACAAUGGAAAUCAAAAUGCUAUCCGUCAGACAUCAAAUAAUUGCCUAGAUUUCACUUCAUUUUUCAUUUGGGUCUUAUGGGAGUUCCCAUAUGAUUGUUUUUAAUUACCUUCAAAAUUCGUAUAGACAAAGCAUAUUGCCCAUACUAUUAGGAAGAAAAAGAACACACAUAUAGAAAACAACAAUAAAAAACAAAGAAAGAUUACCAUCAAACACUUAAUUGAUUAAAAAAAAUCGUUCACUCGUUUCCAACGUAAUUAAGAACUACCUUGUAACCAUUUUCAUUUUCCCCUGAAUUUGAAAGAAGAAAGCUUCAAUUUUUCUUGGUGCCCAUAAUUCCAUAAUCCCACAUAAUUCACAUAAAUUUCCUCAUUCAUGCAUAAACCCACCAAGCAAAAACAUCCCAUUUUCAGAAUUGUAGUCAUCUAUGUCAGAACCAACGAAAGGGAAAAAUUCACAAAAUAAAUAGAAGGAAGUGAGGUUAUGCUACUGACUCUUGUGCCGAUCUCAGAAUUGUAGUCAUAAGUAUCAAGCGCAGCAUGAAAAUCUUCAAGUGUAAAAGAAACUCCUUCCAGAGGAGCAGUACGACACCGUUCAUAAGCUUCUUCAAAGAGUUCUUUAAGUUUGUGCCUCUCUUUGGUCUGUACAUUUGAUAUUGCCACUGCUUUUGCUGUUACAACAGAGUUAGCAGCCCUCUUUGGCUUUGAGAAUGUUGCUGCUCUUUCUGUUAGUCUUGAAGAUGAUAAUGGUGGGCAUAUGAGGCCUGCAAAUUGCUGAGCCAACGAUGCCAUCUCUCUGUUUUCUUUCGAGUGUAGGUCUUCAAGUUUUUAAGCUAGAUAAGGCAAGGUAGCAUUAGAGCCGAGAGGGAGAGAGAGGAGAGACCAAGUGCAUUUUUGAGAGUUAAAGGUGCGACCCAUUUGUUUCAAUGCCAAUAGAUAAUUCACCUCUGAUCAGUGAAAAUGGAAGGGUCCAAAAAUAAGGAGGUGUCGUUCAUUUUGGGCUCCUUGGAUCGUCAAGCCUUCUUUGAAUUAGAGUUUGAGCUUUCAACUUUCCUCAUGAACCAGACCAUCGUGCCCAUCUGGUCCAAGCUUGUAGAUCGCAUCUGGAAAAAAGACUUGAUUUUUAUUAUUAUCUUUUAUUAAGUACAAUAUUUUCAUUAAUAUUUUUUUCAUUAAAUAUUAUGAAGGAUAAAAUCCCGAUCGGUCUCAAAUCCCAUUGGAAACAUAAAAUUAAAUCCAAACCUAGUUAUUCAAGACCUGAUCCAGUUUAAAAUGGGCAUGUAGAAAUUCAUUGUCAUCCAUGAACAAGAGGCGGGCCAGACACCAAAUUAGCUUGGGUUAUCUGGGCAUAUUUCAAUCAUUUAGGCCUUCAACAGGCCCACUCAAAAACUUAAAGUCUGAACUUCCAUUUGAGACGAUAUGUCAUCAACUCAAGCUUUAGGCCGUUUUAAAUGUCACAUUUUCAUGUUCUUCUUGUUUCUUGUAAUUUUUCGUUUGUUUGUUUUCAAAACAGAUGGCUAGUUUUUGCUUUUUUGUUCGCGAUAUAAAAACAUUUUUCGAUUAAUUAAAUAACUUUGGUUUUUUGCAUUAGACUUCUUGUGUAAUUACAUUUUAAACCUUGAUUUUAUAAUAAAAAUUUAUUUUUAUUUAUGUUAUAUGUAAAAACUCAUUCCAUAACAAUUUUAAUUAAAUAUAUUUUUUAAAAUUAUUUUUUAAAACCACAGCUACAAAAACUAUGAAGCUUCAUUGAUAAGGAAAACGUCUUGAAUCUCAAAAGAAUAAAAUGUUGGUUCUUGAUAUUUUUUUUAAUGAGGUCCCGCUUAUACUUUUUUCAAAGCUUAUAUAUAUAUGUGGUCCAUCUGCUCGAAAAGAAUUUCAGAAUAUGAUGAACUGUCAUCCAAAUCUACCAUAACACGAAAGAAACAGAAGGACACGUGUUUGAGAUGUAUUAAUCCACGUGUCAAUAAUUAAGACAUUAAGAACUUUGCUUGAUUAGAGGGAGUAAUUAACUGGAUAAGAAAAAAAGAGUAGAGGGAUCAAAUAAUACGAUGAGUCCCUCACUCGCAUACGGUUUUGAAUGGUGCACGCACUUUGUAGUUUGUACUGCUUCCCUGAGACUAAAUUGAAAGUUUUUGGAGCAAUAAAAGAACCGAGCACAUAUCUCCACUUGUACAAGGAUAAAGAGUGAUCCAUGCUAACCAUCUAGGUGGUGACUCAGUGGUAAGAGCUUGCACCAAAAGAUUUGCUCUCUCUGUGGUCUCAGGUUCGAGCCCUGUGGUUGUUCAUAUGAUAGUCAUUGAAGGCUUACAUGGUCGUUAAUUUCAGGGCCCAUGGGAUUAGUCGAGGUACACGCAAGCUGACUCAGAUACCCACGUUAAACUAAAAAAGAGUGAUCCAUGCUUCUGUGACCUUUUCUUCCCCGUGUCUUAAACCCGAAGAAGACAGAUACUCCAAAAUCACUCGCCAGAUUCCAAAGUGUUUCUGUGUGAUAAGAAUAUGCACACUUGUUUCAUCGAUACAAGUAGCAUAUCCGUGUUCGAUCAUCUUUGGUAUCGUCUCGAGCAUAAAAAAUGAGAGUGGCAUUCCUACAAGCGACUUCAACUUUCCAAUUUUCUUUCAUGCACCAGUUCUUUUUUGAACAGCCUGAAUGAAUCUAUUCAUGUAGACACGUAUUUCAAACGCUAAACGGCAAUGAUUCUGUUGUAUUUUCAGUUCAUAAUUAUCUGUUAUUAUAUCACGACCACUGCAGCCAUGAUCAUCCCUGUCGAUAAAUCAUUUUCUGUCAGGAGAAAUAUAUAUCUGGCGGAUGUUUUCCUCUCUUUAGCAACUAUAGAGCGAGUGAUUUGAGCAUUAUAAUGCACAGUGAUUGCUCAUAAUUUUCAUAUGCUAAUUGCGCAUGUUUUUUUCUCAGUUAUAAGAAGAAGAAGAAAAAGGACGACAAGAUAACUAGAAGCCAUUGCAUUAGUGUAGAAUCCACCAUUAGCUCCUCCAUUGAUCAUCUGAUUGGAUGACUCACAAUUUUUGUUGUCAAAUAAUAUUAUUCUCUGAGUUAUUACCAUCAAGAAUAUAUUUUUUUUCGGGAUUAUAGCCUUCACGUUCAAUAGGUAGUGAUUUUUUUUGGAUUGUAGUAAUUAUUAGAAAUUAACUAGCUACUUUCCAAUAGAUACUUACACCCUCUUCCCUAAUUAUAUUCUUGAUACUCUCUGAAUUAUUACCUAAAGUGUAUCCUUUCUAAUUAGAUGCAAUUUUAUGAUAAAUCAUAUAUAGCCUUCGCGUUUAAUACGUAGUAUUCUUGUGGUUCUAACAAAUUGAAAAUCAGAAAAAGGAAAAAGAAAAUAAUUAAAGUAAGUUGUUAUCACUCCGAAAAAGAUUCCCUGUGAAGAAAUGCAAUGAUUGUGAAUAUUGCGUGGAAAGUAGAAGUGAACAUUAAGGUCUACUCUUUUAUACAUGCAGGAUUAUCUCCAUUAAUUGCCGGGUUUAAGAAAAAGAUUAAAUGCAAUAGCCAUGUCUUGAAGAUGGUUAUAAAGUCUAAAGUUUCCUUCUUCAUGUUUUCAUUUAGAACAAAUUUUAAUAGAGAAUAUAUAAAGAAAAGUUGAAAAAUAUGGAAAUACGAGUUAAAGGAGAAAGAGAUUCUUGGUGGUGAUUGAGGAAGACUAAAUAAGGAAACAUAAUCAAAGCAAAUAAAUUAUUAAUAAUAGGAAAUUAACGUCUUAUGUUAUAAUUAACAACUGAAAGGUAAUACCAAAAAUAAACAGCCAAGAAGUUUACAUGAGUGGAUCGAUCCUCUCAUAAGUUUUUUAAUAUAUAGAUUAAUUUUUUAAUAUAAGGAAAUUGUUUACAUUGUAUAUUCCGAAUAAAUAGCAUUAAUUUCCUAAAGCUAGCUACAUAAUUGAUCUCCCUUGGGUACGUGUGUCUUUGGUAAUCAUGUUUUUUCUGUUUUAGGGAUGGCAAUUGUACCGAUUUUUGAGAAGGGUCAUAUAAUAUUUGUACGAUUAGGUUCCAUAUAUGUGUAUCAAGGAGGGAGCGGGGAAAUGUUUUUAAUUUUCCCAUUGAGUUUAUGACGCACUUACAAAAUCCUAAUUAAUAAAAUAAACAUAUUAAUUAAGACUUCACAUAUGAUGAAAAAUAAAUAAAUUUCUUAGAAAUAUUCUUUACUAACAUGAGCAUUUGAAGACUAGAAAUCGAGAUUUACCAGAUUCUGCCCUUAUUUUCUUGAAUUUUUACCGGAAAAUUUCACCAUUUUCAAGAGUAGCUAGCCGCACAUGAGCUACACACCUCACUAGGAGUAUUCUUGAAAUUCUCGUUGACGUUCAAGGGUAUGAUAGAAUGCAAAUUCAAUCAAGGGGAGAGAAUGAUCAAAACAAUUGUAAUUAGAUAAAAAAUUGGUCUCCCUUUUAAGCGAAUUUGCAGAGUCUUUUAGUUAUAAAUAAAAAGGAAAAAGGAAAAACGUUGCUUUUAAGGUGUCAAAUGCUCAAAUUGACAAGUGUAACCUCCAAACGAAAGCAACAGAAUACGAAUGCUUGCCACGCUCUGGAAUCUAAAUUAACAUUUAUGAAAAUAGAUUCAAAAAAUAUCAUCGUAACCUAAAUUAGUUCAUUGCCAUUUUCACCACACUCGACCAUUCGAUGCCUAUAUAUAAAGAGUAACACCCCUUGAACUAAAGCUCAUACCCAACUUCGAUAAGUGUACGUUUCUUCGUUUUCUUUGUUCUUGAUCUCCUUAUCUAAAAAAUGUCACCAAAUGCCAUUAUCGAGCCCACGUUUAACUCCCAUAAGAGGGCAUAUGUUACUUUCUUGGCUGGGAAUGGUGAUUAUGUGAAAGGUGUUGUGGGUUUAGCCAAGGGUCUAAGGAAAGCGAAAUCUUCAUACCCUCUUAUGGUGGCUAUUUUACCUGAUGUGCCUGAGGAGCACCGCAAAAUUCUAGAAUCUCAGGGCUGUAUCGUCCGUGAGAUUGAGCCAGUGUAUCCACCAGAUAACCAGACUCAAUUUGCCAUGGCUUAUUAUGUGAUUAACUACUCUAAACUUCGUAUUUGGGAGGUAAUUAGUUAUCAACCCUAAUCAUCUUUCUUUCUUUCUCUUUUGCGCUAUGGAUCUACAUAUUUGAUGUGAUACAAUGGCCUUUAAUUUACUAUCUAAUAUGUGUUCCACCUGUUGUUUGUAGUUUGUGGACUAUGAGAAGAUGAUAUACCUGGAUGGUGAUAUUCAAGUCUUUGACAACAUUGAUCAUCUUUUUGAUGAGCCGAAUGGAUAUUUCUAUGCUGUGAUGGACUGUUUUUGUGAGAAGACAUGGAGUAGCACCCCUCAGUAUCAGAUUGGAUACUGCCAGCAAUGCCCUGAAAAAGUUCGGUGGCCUAAGGAGAUGGGCUCACCUCCUCCUCUAUACUUUAAUGCUGGCAUGUUUGUCUUUGAGCCUAAGCUUUUAACUUACUUUGAUCUCUUGGAGACCCUCAAAGUCACCCCUCCUACUUCAUUUGCUGAGCAGGUAAUCUAGAGUGGUUGAGAAUAUAGAGUUUUGUUAUUGUCUAGGCACGUAUAAAUACAAAUUUUCUGCUAUGCUAAUAAGAUUGUUUUGUCAGGAUUUUUCGCACCGUCCAAAAAGAACUGGCAGACUUUGCGUUCUUUCAUUAAUCUAUCACUUUGUUUUUGGUUUCGAUUUGCAGGAUUUUCUGAACAUGUUCUUCAGGGAUGUGUACAAGCCUAUCCCUGCUGUGUACAACCUUGUCUCGGCGAUGCUGUGGCGCCAUCCUGAGAAUUUCGAGCUUGACAAAGUGAAGGUUGUCCAUUAUUGUGCUGCGGUAAGAGAGUUAAUUUGUCACUAAAAGUGUUGUUUUUUAAACACAUGAAUCUAUACAUUAUAUCUUAAUUGAUUUUCAUUUUUGUUCAAAUCGUUAGGGAGCAAAGCCAUGGAGGUAUACUGGCAAGGAAGAAAACAUGGAUAGAGAGGACAUCCAGGUUUUGGUGAAGAAGUGGUGGGAAAUAUACGAGGAUGAGUCGUUGGAUUACAAGAAUAUUACUGUGCCUGUUGAUCAAGAAAAACUUGGACCCCUAAUAGCGGCAUUGACUGACGAUGGAGUGAUUAACCAUAGAAAUCUACCAUCGGCAGCAUAAUCUCGUAUACCUCUAGUGUGCUCGGGGCAUUAUUUUUUAGCCUUAUAUAAAAAUUAUAUUUUAGGGCAUUUAUUUACUAGCCCUAGAUGCUUUUUCAGUCUUGACCGUGAUCACUGAUCAAGUAAAGAAUAUAUGCAUGUAUGUUAAUUAAGCACGUUAUUAGCAUGUCAUGAGUUGUGAAACAGCAAACUUUGACAUCUACAAAGUUGGAAAACUAAGAAUAAAGAGAAUAUAUUAUGGCUAUAUAUUAUUAACUAUCUUGGGUUUUUUUCCCCUUAAUUUUAGCUUUCUUUAUUCUUAACCUGUUUUUGGCGAAGCUCUUCGGCCGUGAUCUUUAGUGCUGCUAUUUUUCAGUAAAAUAUUUUACUCCGUCAUAAAUGGGAUUUUCCCCUACUGCCCAGCUUAAUUUAUGCACACUACGAUGCUAUUGGGUAAUGUGGCUGCGAGUGAAGUUUAGCCGCAGCCACACAUAUAAGUGUUUGGUAAAGCAAGUAAAACUGAUUUUGAUUGGUAGGAUCCACUAAUUUUUGCUGCCCAGCCGCAGGAUUGGAGAAGCAGUUUUGCUUCUCGUGGGUAUUUUUAAAGAAUUGUUCAGUGAACAGUGAAACCAUGCUCCAUUGUCGCACUGUUCAGUUUUUUUAAAAAAAAAAACCAGUGAGAAAAGUUUAGUUUUUUUUCCCCUGAAAAACCAGUGCAGUUAAUCAUGAACAAUAUUUUUUUUGUUUUUUUUUAAAUUAGUUUAAGGUGAAUUAAAUUUACUCGUACUGUAAUCUCAAUUUUAUUCCUGAUAAUAUUUUAUCUAAUUUUAUUGCACGCUCAAAAAAUCAUGGAAACUGUAGUUCUUGUCGAAUGACUUUUGUACGUAAUGAAAUUGUAAAUUUUUUAAAAAAAAUUGUGUUUUACUCGAAAAACUAGUAUUUAAUUAUUGGAUAGAUUUCAUAUGUAAUGACAUUGCACAUAGUUUAAUGGAAUAAUAAAAAAUAUUUGAUAUCAAUAUUAUUUAUUUCAUGAUGUAAUAACAGUAGUUAAAUCUAUAAUAUUUAAAUUAAAAAUCAUUAAUAUUAAUAUAUAUAUUUUUUAAUUAUUUUAUAACCUUAAUUUGAAAAACAUUUUUUUAACCAAACACAUUAAACUACUUUUUGUUCAAGCUCAAUUUCAACUACAGUUUUAAUCAAAUAUAUAUUUUUUCAAAUCAACUUCAACUAAAAUUACUUUUUAUAAAUCAAUUUUUUUAAAACCACAACCACAACAGCAACCGCAAUACCAAACACACUCUACAAAUUUGUUCCUUUGUGCGAAUAUCCAGCUCCAAGAUUCUCUUUUGGUUUUUCUAAUUGUAAGCCUGUGCGAAAUUCAUUAAAAUUCCAUGGGAGCAAAGCGCUUAAAUUCGCUUUUACUGAAGAGACUCCCAUUCUCCCUCUUCCAAGAAUUCUCUUGUUUAUAGUCUUGUCUCUGUAAAAAGAACAAAAAAAUGAAAUAGCUAUCAAGAAAAUAUAUGUAGGCCUAGUUACUGAAUGAUCUUAAUUAAAGCCCGAACUAGGGAUGAUGGACCCAACGGUAGAUCCUCAGGGAUAACUAGGGAUUGGUGAAUUUUCAUGUAUUGAAGCCCGAACCCUAAGAAAUGCUACACUUUUAUAUAUAUAUAUAUAUAUAUAUAUAUAUAUAUAUAUAUAUAAAUUAAAAAACACUUUUAUAAAAAUAUUUUUUAAAACACCCCAACUCAAUCGUGUUAGAUGAUGGCUGAGCUCAAUGGCUGAGCUCAAUAAUGUGUUGAACAUGCCACUUUUUUAUUAACAGAUGCAAGGCCGGGCUUUGCCGAGGUUUUUGAUCAGGGCCAUGCUGCUCGAAGUUGAGGCUAACUUUGAUGUGAAACUUAACUUUUUAAAUAUGUGUGUGUGCAUUAUCAUCUUACUUGGUUAUUUUUAAUCACAUUGAACAACAAAAUAAAACAACUUCUUUCAGUAAAGAGAACAAAACAAUGAAGAAAAUAAACUUAAUAAUAUAUUUGUAUAAUUGUUUGAAAUAUAUUGGCAGCAUCAACUCCUCCCUAAUAAAAGGAAACACUUUGAGAAAAAAUGUAAAAAAAAAAAAAAAGUGUCAAUGGCUGCUGAAAAAGGCCGAAAAAAUCAAAUAAGAAGUCAACUUGAAAAGUGAAGGUUGGAAUUUUGUAAUUGAAUGAAAGAUCAUAUAAACCCAGCUUAAGAAAGCAAACUGAGCAGUGAAAAGGACAGUACGCUGGGCCAUCCGGAGCUUGAAAGUACUGGCCUGGCUCAGAGGUCAGAACUAAUUAUAAUCGGCUUGGGUCAACAUGCUUGAAACUCAUGCCCGAGCCCAUCAAAAAACUCUCAGGCUCGUAUUGGUCCAUCAGAGGUACUGAUGAAGCCUCAUUAAUGUACUGUAACAGCUUUGCUUCAAUGGGCCGUGGUCUGUAUCUCAAAUGUCGAAUAUGUCCAUUGUUUAGCCAUAAGAUUGAUGAGAAACCUGAGCGUUUGGAUAUCAAUAUCUAGAAUUCAUUUAUUCUAAAUAGAAAUAUGAAUUGGAAAGAAAAGUAGGUGAGAUGGUUUUUAUUAACAUGGAAUUUACCUAAUUGGAAAGAAAACUUGAAUCAUGAGAACUGAGAGCACAAGUGUUUUUGAAGAUUUUUUAUUUUUUUUAAUAAUUUUGGAUUGUUUCAAUAUGUUAUAUUAAAAAUAAAUUUUAAAAAUAAAAAAAAAUUAUUUUAAUAUAUUUUCAGAUGAAAAAUAAUUACUAUUACUUUUCAAACACUAAAUAAUAAAAAACCAGCUAACGGAUUAAACAGCUGGCACGAGUGACCCAACUAUAGCGUUGCAAAUACUUGAAGAGGCUUACACUCCUGAUUUUGGUGGGUUCUCAGAAAAAGACAAACUAAUGGUUGUUGGUUCCUUCAAUAAGAAAAAAAAUAAAAAAUAAAAAAUUAUUAUUAUCACUGUUUCAAACACUAAAUAAUAAUAUAAAAAAAAAAACAGCUAACGGAUUAAACAGCUGGCACGAGUGACCCAACUAUAGCGUGGCAAAUACUUGAAGAGGCUUUACACUCCUGAUUUUGGUGGGUAGUUACUAGUUAGUUCUCAGAAAAAAACAAACAAAUGGUUGUUGGUUCCUUCAAUUAGAAAAAAAAAUAAAAAAUAAAAAAUAAAAAUGGUCACGUGGUAGUAAUCAUGCAAAUCUUUGACGUUGGAGAUCGAGAGAGAAAGUUGAGGAUAGAGUGGGUACGGUCCAUUAUUGACAGAGUGUCAUAACUUUAUUCGAAAUCAUAUCUUUUUGAUCGGCCAUAAAUGAUAUGUCUGUUCUUGGACAUAGCCUGCUUUCCAUUCCCUUUUCCCUCCGUGGGACCCCUUAAUGCAUCAAAUCUUAUCCCGUUCACUAACUUUUAGACAAUGAACUUAGUGAAGAAUUAAUUGUACUCAACUGAAAAGCAACCUAUUGCUUUGGCCACUGGUAAUUUUUAUUUUUUUGACAAAUUGUGAAAUUAACAUACAAAAUCAAAAUAAUUAACAUAGCAAAAAAAAAAAUUUAUUUUAUGAAAUAGCAUAUUUUUAUUUUGUUGUGCUUCUAAAAUAUGACAAGUAAAAACUUCAAUUAUCUUACUUAUCUAGUCGACCAAUUCAUAAUGGUCAAUGAAAUUAGUCGAUUAGUUCUGAAAAUAAAAUGAAAAAUCACUAAUAUAGCCAAAAGCAGGGAGGUCUCAACGAAAUUUUUGAUAUCUAAAGAUUCGACUGUCUGCAUAUCUAUUAUAGGAAAAAUGAUCUCCAAAAACUCCUAUAAAAAUUUAAGUGAAAUCCAACGGUUGAAUAAAAACUUAAGGCCAUUUUUAGUUGUUAUUAUUCUAGUCUGGUGAGACCAGACCUCCUCUUGAGCCUAGAUCUAUACUGUUGAUACAUAAAUCCAUCUGUUAGGCCAUCAGCGUAAUCUAUUCGGGGGCAGAUUCUCAUUUAGUUAUGGUAGACAAACACUUAAUUGCUUAAGGUCACUCGUUAUCGCAAGUUCGACUAUAUCACUGACAUUGAAAAACAACGACUCAUAAAAUAUAUUUUGCAAAAAAAGUUCAUUAAACUAUGAUUUUUAUGAAACGGCCAACCAAUUAAACCAAAUGAUUGGAGUUUUACAUUAUCGCGUUUCAAAAUCUUGAUAUUUUUUAAAUAUUGUUGUUUUGAAGUGUAAAAAUUAUCUUGUCGCACCUAAAAAUAACGAUAUUUAAUAAAUAUUGCGUUUCUGAAACGUGAUAAGAUGAAAGGGUGUUAUUUUAUUAAAUAUUUUUUAAAUUGAGUUAUUCUACCAAAAACAAAUUCAAAAUUGUGGUAAUUUUAAAAAAUAUCCUAUUUUUUUCAUUCAACUACAUGUCGAGAUUGAGUUUCAAAAUAGAGUUUCCUUACAAAUUAACUGUGAUUCAAACAGAAUUUGACGGAGAAUAUAACAGAAAGAAUCAUGUAAUCAUUUGCUUGCAGGAGCAAUAUCGCAUUUCUAGAAUGUAUUGUUUUCAAUCGUAUGUGGUAUUUGUAUGAACACCAAACCAUCAAUGAUUCACAAGAAAAAUAUUUUCUCUAAAGAUUUCAUUUUAACAAAAUUAAUUCCAUAUUUGCCUCGAAUCCAUGCAAGAUCCAAAUGGUCCUGCAUGUGAUGAUCGACUUGUCGCCACAGCAGGCGAAGAGCAUCGAUGAUCCUACCCCAGGUCUGCCUGUCUCCCGUUAGGAAUUUAUUCGAGAAGGCUAAUCAAGAGAUGGGGCAGAAAAGAUGGUUGGGCAUAUUCAAUGUAUACGAACCUUCUUUUUUUCUUUUUCUUUUUCUAAUUGAUUUCAUAACAAUAUAAAACAAUGGUUAGCUUAAUAGUUGAAGAUAUUUGCUUAUUUCAAAUUUAAAAUUUAAAAUUAUAAGACGUAAAAAUUUAUUAUUAUUUUUCAAACACGCUAAAUGCUCAAUUAAAAGCAUCUAAAACUCUUUUUGUCUCGUGUACUAGCUCAAAAAUACAUUAAUUAUAUAUAUAAAAAAAAAAAAACAUAAAUCAAUCAACCUUUAUGCUUUAUUCCAUGAUGAAUUACAAUCACGUAUUCUUAUGUGUAAGGAAAGAAUUAUAUGGUAUUUAGGGAGUAAUUAGUAUCAUACUGUUAAUUAAUUUUUAGAUCCAUCUUAAAAAAAAAUCCCAUACAAAAAAAAUAAAAAUAAAAUUUAUAAUUCAUAAUUCAUAAAAAAAUAUAAGAAUGUCUACACCAAAUAUUUUUCUCUACUAAUUUUAUCCUUUUUUAUUUGAAAUAAAUAAAAUAUAAUGGGACGGAAAUUCGUUCCAAAUCUGAUACGCAUUUGUUUUACUAUCCUUUCACUCUCCACCUCAAGCUUAAGCAUAUUCAUUACCACCUCCCCCACCUUGUUAAAAUUAGUUUUAGGUGAAUAAAAAAUAUGAUAUAUCUUAAUUCUACUUGUAGUUUUCUUAAGUUCUGAUUGUUUGCCAAUAAAAUUAUAACAUUCAUGGAGUAUGAUUUAUGAGGAAACACAUUAUUUUUUAUGCAUAGUUAUAUUAUAAAAGGUGAUUUAAGAUCAUUUUUUUUAUGUACACUAUCAAGCUCAAUGGUGACUAGGUAUAGCAUGGGUCACACUUAACGUGCCCGGGACUUGGCACAUUGCCAAGCCUAAUCAUGACUGGAUCUGACUAGUGUCAUACCUAACGAGCCCGGGGUUUGGUACAUUACCAAGCCCAAUCAUGGUUGGGUCUUACUAGUGCAAACCCAAAAAGUUAGGAGCUUGACACAAUGUCAAGCCCAAUUAUGGAUAACUGUGGCUAGUAGCAGACCCUGGAGCGUGUUUGCAUUCGAGAAAAUUUAUAACAAUAAGUUAUUCUUGAUCUGGUGUUUUUUGAUAAAGAUACACUCAUAAAAUCUUGAUUCAUCAUUAACCCCAGUCUUUGCAAUAUAAUAAUAUGCGAAGACUUUAAUUAAUUUUCUAUUUAGGGUAGAAAAACGAGUUGUGCUCGUAUAAAAAGGGGGUAUAUGCUAGAAAAAAUAUGCAUUUGAACUAAAAAAAAUUAUUUCAUGUGUAAAAUACCGAGAAUUUGUACUUGAAAGUAUUCUAAGAGAUCGAGGAUACCAUGGUCAUCAUCUAUACAAAUUUCUUAGUGGAUGUGUGGAAGCCAAGGAGGGUGAACCUAUACUUCGAAAUUUCUAAAUGAUUAUAGGUUCUUUGGAGGGUGGGAACCUGUAGCUUUCUCAGCAUUGUCAUCCCUUGGCGAUUGAUGUAUAUAACACUAGAAAGAUCACAUUCAUCCCUUGAAAUUCAUCUUUGAAAGAUUGGUGUAUAUAGCACUGAAGAGACUACGUCUAUCCCUUCCUUGGAUAAUUGCAAAUUCUAGGAUAAGUGUUGAGGAGCCUUCAACCAUCACCUGAAAAAAAUAAAAUAUCAUUUUGAAUAAAUCAUUUAUAUUCAAGAAACUUAUAUUUUUAUCAAGUAUUAUACAUCCUGAGAUGAUCUAAGUGACAUGUAUGAAGGAGGUUUUUAGGAGAAAAUAUGUCUUGGAGGUGACGCUAAGAUAUUUGCUUAGAAGUUAGAAUACCCUGAUUACUUCGCUUGGAAGAUCAAUCGUGGUUGGGUCUCGCUAGCGUCAAACCCAACGUGUCAGGGGCUUAGCAUACUGUCAAGUCCAAUUGUUGUUGUGUGUGGCUAGCAGCAGACCCAAUGCGUUUUCAUUGUGGCAUCUUUGUAUUCAGGAAAAUUUAUAACCGUAAGUUUUUUUUUAUCUGGUAUUUUUUGAUAAGGAUAUACCGAUAAAAUAUCGGUUCAUCACAAGGUAUGAUUAUUACAUUGGCCACCGUGUUUUCAUCAAAGAAAAAAAAUGACUAAAGAAAACCUUGAUUUGAUUAUGUAAUUAGAAAUUGAGAUUUAUCUGCGCUUUCAUUAUGGCAUCUUUGUAUUCAAGAAAAUUUAUAACCAUAAGUUUUUAUUGAUCUGGUAUAUUUUUAUAAGGAUAUACCGAUAAAAUAUCGGUUCAUCACAAGGUAUGAUUAUUAUAUUGGCCACCGUGUUUUCAUCCAAGAAAAAAAAUGACUAAAGAAAACCUUGAUUUGAUUAUGUAAUUAGAAAUUGAGAUUUAUGAACAGAUCUCCUAUCAUCGAUCAUGAUGUUAACCGAAUAUGUUGAAUAAUGUAUAUGAAAAUUAUAGUUGUUCUCUAUUUAUAUAUUAUUAUUAUUUUUUAAGAAAAAAGAGUGUUUCACUACAAGAUUUAACAGUUUUACCGACGGAAUUUUUCCGUCGGUGUAAGACACAUAUUCCGUCGGUAAUUAAUUUACCGAUGGAAAUGCUCCGUCGGUGAAUCUUUCGUCGGUAAUUUUUUUCCAUCGGUAAAUCCGUUGGUAAUAAAAAAAUAAAUUUAUCCGCUUCAUUUCGUCGGUAUAUCCCUCGGUAAUAAUAUUUUUUUAUUACCGAUGGAAUUUCCGUCGGUAAUUCGGUCGGUAAUUAUUUAAAAUCAUUUUAAAAAAAUCAUUUUAUAAAAUUAUAAAAUAAUUAAAUUAGCAUAAAUUAAAACUGUAUAAUAUAUAAUCAAAAUGCUUGGAAAAAAGAAUAAGAAAAUCAACUCAAACAAAUUUGCAACAAAUAAAUAAAAUGAAAAAAUAAAUUCAACUAAAAAAAUUCAUAUGAAAAAAAUAAAGUUGCAAUUGCUAAAAAUUUAAAAAUCCUAUAAAUAAAUGAACUAAAAAUUGAUCUCACAUGAAAAAAAAAUCUCACAACAACAUUUAUACAAUUAUUAAGAACAAAAACAAUUAAAAAUAAAAUAAAAAACAAAUAUAGUGAAACAAAUCAUGAAAAAAGAAGAAAAAAGAAAAAUCUUACCUUAAUUUAGUUGCAAGUGAAGCUAAGGAGAGAAAAAAAAAUUUCGUUAAGCAUAUUAAUUAAAAAAAAAACUAAGAGGAUAAAAGAAGAAAGAAGAAGAAGACAUACCCAUGCAUGGAGGAAAAGAGAAGGAGAUGAGGAGAGAAAAGAAGAGAAAGAAAUAUAUAUUGAUGUUUUUUACAUAUAGUGAAGAAGAAGAAGAAGAACAAGAACAAGAAGAAGUAGAAGAACAAGAAGAAGAAGAAGAAUAAGGAGAAGAAAUGAGUCUGUCUCUUGUGAAAUAAGGGGAUUCAGGCUUUUUAUUGGGGCGCGUUACCGACGGAUAAUUGAAUAUUAAUAUUUUUUAAUUAUUCCGUCGGUAAUUCCAUCAGUAAUAUUUAAUUUAUAUUUUUAAUUUCGUAAAAAUUUUUCAGAAACCGCCAAAAAAUUACCGAUGGUUUUUCAAUCCGUCGGUGAUUCUGUCUGUACUAUUUAAAUGAAAAAUUUAAAUUAAUUGAAUUUUUUCAGAAAACCGUCAAAUAACACUUUCUGGAAAAUACUUUUGUUGGAAGAAGAUCUGUAGUUCUAUACUGUUCGAAUAGGCCGGAUUCACAUAUAUGAUAAGGAGAUUUGUCGGAUGCACAUAUGGAGUAAUUAUCUCGUAUUGAAAAAGAAUAGUAGCAAAAAUGUGCUUUUAGAGGAUGAUGAACUCAAAAUCCUAAUCUAGAGAAUUAUGCAAGCCAGGAGAUACCCUAUCAAUUGUCCCUUUAAUUCGACUAAUUAUUUCGGGGUCUAACUUGUUUAUCCCAAGGAAACCUCGACAGAUUUAGAUUCGUGGAAGUUGCAUGACAUAGUCGAAUAUGAGAAGAUAAGUUGCGUCAAACAUGUGAGCUCCGUUUCACCGAAUUCUCUCGGAGUAGAAAACUAUGGAAUGCAUCCAUUUUCUGUUUCUUGCUACUUGUAAAACUGCUGAAGAAGUUCUGGGCUCCUUGUCUCGAGUAGAGCAGGGAGGAACCGGGGUGAGGAACAGCGGUUUUCGCUGUAUCGAUGUAAUGGUGUUUUCGUAAGCAUACCAGUUAUUUUCCUCACUUGACAGACAGAUGAAGAUAGGGUAUUAUGGUCUUUUUCGGUUUAAAUUUGUUGUGCCAUUAGACUUUUGAGCGUGCCAACAACCACACCCUGAUAAAAUCUCCUUUUCCAAAGCUUAUUCGGCGUUUGAUUAAUUGUUUUAAACGACAUCGUGUUAAAUCAAGGUCCAUUGGAUUUCCUUCGAUAAUAAAAGAUUCCCUGCCCUUUAACAAACAGGUUUCUCGCCUUUUUUUGUUCUACAUGUUUCUAUCGUUUUUUUGUCAAAAAUAAAAACCAAAUACAAUUUUAAAACCUUCCUCCCUCCGCAAACUUUGUAAUGUUGCAGAAAUUAUAAUUACAGAAUAAACUAGAAAAAAAGAGGCUAUUUCAUUGGAAAAAUUAGACGUGUCAAAUUACAAUUCAGUCCCUCAACUUUUUAAUUUUUAUAUAUUUGGUCAUUAUAGUUUUUUAAAUUUAUUUUUUUGUUAUAAACUUUAUUUUUAUCAUGUUUUAAUUCUUAGAUGAUGAGGGAGAAGAAAUAUGCUCUCUAAAAAAAAAGGAGAGAGAAAAGUUUUGGUAUGCGGUGAAAAAAAUAAUUUUAAUAUUAAUGGGUUCGCCUUCUAGAGAUGACUUAUGAAAAUGAUUUUACUAUUUAAUUAUACCAAAUAAAAUAGAUUGAGAUUCAGAACAACAAAAUUUGAACUUGGAUAAUUUGAACUUGUUCUAAUAUAUAAAUAUGGAUAGAAAGUCAAAGUUUAUAAACAAAAUUUUCCAUUAUGAGUAUUCUUUUGAGUCUCUCGUGUUAUUGAAGUUGCAAUCUUGCUUUCAUUGCUUGUCCAUGUUUGAUUUCAAAAUUAGUAUUAUAAACAUACAUUUUAAUUACAAUAAGACGUGGAAAAUAUAGAUUAACACUUUAAAGUGAUAAUUAGUCUCCUUGUUGAUAUGGGCAGAGUGCAUACUCUAAUUAAGGCUCGUGAAUUACUUUCAAUCCACUCAAUUUAAUCUAUUGCAAGAGAGAAAUAAAAAGAACUCAUUAGAGUAAAUAAUAGAGUAUAUUUAAUAAUUAAUUCAAUCUAAAAUUGAAAAAAAAAGUAAUUGGAUUGCCUUGCAAACCGCUCUCUUAAUCUAUUACCAUGUAUAAAUAUUUUCUUAGCUAAUAAGCUAAUUGUAUAUAUUAUUAUAAAUUAUUUUAUAUUAAAUUAUUUUUCUAUAAAAUAUUUAGACAUAUCUUUAAAAGUAACUAUGAGAUCAUUUACUAGAAACAAGUAGUAUACAGGCCGGUUAUUUUUUUAUUUUAUAAGUGUUUUUUAAAAAAUAAUUUUAUUUUAUUUUUUAAAAUUAAUAUUUCAUAUCAUUUUAAUAUGUUAAUAUUAAAAAUAAAUAUUAAAAAAUAAAAAUAUAGUAUUUUAAUAAUAUAUUUUUAAAUAAAAAAUAUUUUAGAAAACAAGAAUGUUUCCUUCUGUUAUACAUGCAAGAAAGUGGUCGUUGGUUGUAAAGAAGACGAGAGACAUUUUCGAGGGGGAGUGGUCCAGGCUCAUUAAAAAAAGGCAUGGAUAAAAUAAUAAAUAGUAGGUGUCCUCCCGAGCAUUUAUGGAAGAAAAAACAACAAGGGGUGAAAGGAUGUGGGCCAUGUGGCCUGUAUUAAAUGUGUGGGGUUGAUGACAGCUUUUCUUUCUAUUAUUAUUUUUUAAGCGUCUCUUUCACGUGUUUUAUUUUUUAAUGAAAAUUCACAGAUAAGAUAAUAAAUGGUAACUGUACUCUCAUGCAUUUUUGAAGGAAAAAACAAAAAAAUAGAGUAUGGUCAUGAUCUAAAUAAAUCAAAACACCUUAUUUUAACCAAAAAAUAAUAAUAAUAAACAUGUCGAUGCUAGUUCUUAACUGGUUCCGCCUUAAUCCAGGUUUACCGAACAAUCUAGAUUUCUGAUUUCAUACAUCAUGUUUUUUUUAUUUUAUUUUUUUUAACUCGACCCGUUUAAAUCCAAGUUAAAAGUUAUUUAGGAAUUUAAUUUCAGUUUUUCUUUUUACUGUUAUUUUUAAACACGUGUGUGAUGCCCUUUUCAUUUCUUUGUAAAGGAACAGAUUUGGGUGGGUUGGUUUAAUAUUUUUUUGAGUAUUUUUUAAUGAUUUCAACGUGUAUUUAAAAAUAUUUAAAAAAUCAAAUUAUUUAAAAAAAAAUAAAAAAACACAUCACUCAUCACGAAUUUGAUUUAUUAUGAAUCGCGUAGUUUUAUGAUGAAUUUACUUAAAUAACCCUUCAAAAAUAACUCGCACGUCAGAUCUCACAUACCUCGCUGAAUGCAUUUAGCUCAUCUGCAAUCUGCUGAGAUUUUGUUGUCUAUUGAUAUUCUUGUCUGGGGCUUAAGCUUUAUUUAUUUACCUUCUUUUUUUGUCACGUUUGUGCUUUCUAAAUCUAAUCUCUAUCAACAAGUAGAUCGCAGGGCAAAAACAACCAAACAAAGCAAAACGACGUUGUUAUUAUAUAAAUUGUCCAUGACAUCAUAUGAUCAGGGCUCACAAUCAUACAUUAUGCUAGUGCCUUUUUUCUCUCCUUAUGGUACCAUCUUCUCUCUCUUGAACACUUUUGAAAUUUCUCACGUCAAAUGCAUUCCAAAAGUAUGUUAAUUUGUUUUGUAAAAAUAUUAAUUUGAAGAUUUUUUUAUAUUCUUUAAUAAUUUUAAUAUGAUUGUAUAAAAAUAUAUAAAAAAAUUCAAAAUAAAUAUUUUUCUUAAAAAAUAUAUUGCAUUGCAAUAUUAAACACACAACUAAUUGCUUUAAUAUGUUCCUCGUCAACAACAACACCAAAAUAUUAUUUUUUAUUAUUAAAUAAUAUUAGUUAUUUAAUAAUAAAAAAUAUCAAUAAAAUAAUAUAAUUUUCAAUGUCAUGGGUAGAACCACAACAUCAAUUAAAUUAAUGUCGUGUUAGUGAAUAAUAACAUUAAUUAAAUAUUACAAUUUUGAACUAAAAUGGAUUUGAUUUUAGAGUGUUUUAAGAAAAAAUAAAAAGUGAUUGCGGGUUUGUUAAGAGAGAAAAAAGCUUUUGACAUUGAAUUUUUUAGAGAGAGGGAGCUGCAUCCCUCCAUGUUCUUUGAUUUGGAAAGAUGAUUAAAUUUCACAACAUGAUAUAUUUUUGAUAUGCAAUAUGUUUAAUUAUUGCUUUUCUGAAACACGAUAAUUAUCUUGUCGUGUUUGGUAAUAGCGAUAUUUAAUAAGUAUUAUUUUUAAAAAACAUAAUAAAUUAAAAAUAAGUUAUUUAAAAAUAAAAAUCAAUUGUAUUAUUUUUAAAAAUAUAUAUCACUGUGCUAUUUGAUACCAUUUGGCUGGAACUGGGACCGGAAUGGCUGGUUUGAACUUUGAAGAGCUGUUAGAAAAUAAACGGAAAUGUGGAACCGAACCAUUACCGAGAAAGCAAAAAAGUCAUCUUUAUUAACCGUGAUUCCUAUCAAGCCUGGCCGUUGAUAUAAUAAUUCACUCUUUCAUUCUGUACGGGCAACUUUUCAAACGUGAUACUAACUUUGAUGAUUAUUCUACGGUAACAUACACUUCCAUGACCUACGACGGAUUUAUGUCUUAUCUUUAUGGAGCUUAUGUAAAUUUUUGUUUCUUAUAACUUUCAAGUUCGACCAUGGAGCUCCUUUCAUUUUUUGAUUUUCUGUUUGGAGGAGAAUCUCAAAAAAAAAUCCGAUUACUGAAAAAAAAAUCUUCUUCGAAGAAUCAAGAUGAGUUCCAGUGCCGGUCCGACUGAGCCUAGAUAUUUUUUGGUCGCAUACGCCAUGACAGAUAUCUCUUUCUUUGAUUUUUUUUUAUCACAGGAAACUAAAGUAUUUUGGGGUUUUACCGUUCCUUUUGUUGUUUGCUAUGACUACUUUACAUCGUGAGUUGUCUUUUAUUCUUUUACUACAAAUGGGCUGCCGCAGCCAGGACAUUAGGCGUGGAAAGUCAAAUUAAAAACAGAGCUUUUAAGAGUUAAAAUUUACUAAUUUUAAUACUAAAAUUUAUAAUUAUUCAAGGAGAGACAGGGGGGGAAAUUGCAGGGGCCCCGGCCAUCCCCUGGCUCCUGGGCUACGUGGCGGGUCUACCACCACGUUUUUAUCGUCAUCCUUCUUGUCCGAGAGCAGAUAAUUUCCUGCUUUUUACUAGUAUGAACAAUAAUACCCGGUGUGCGGCACAAGAGAAUAGAUAAGAUGCAAGAGACGCGGGAGGGUUGAAGGCUCCCAGCCCAUCUAUAAAAAGGGCAGAGCAUCAUGCAGUUCAGCAGUUGACUACAAAGAGAGCAGCAUACAUCCAUAGAGAGAAAGAGAAGACAUGGCAACCAGAACUCCAAAGCUUGUGAAGCACACAUUGUUGACUCGGUUCAAGGAUGAGAUCACACGAGAACAAAUCGACAACUACAUUAAUGACUAUACCAAUCUGCUCGAUCUCAUUCCAACCAUGAAGAGUUUCAAUUGGUAAUUAAAACAAAGCCACUUUUCUACCUUCUCUCUAGAGUUCAUUGAGUAAUGACAAUCGUGCUUCAAUUGAUGUAUUUAUCACGCACAACUAGCCUCUCGCUGCAAUGCAAAUUGCCUGUAAUUAAUGCAUAGUCCAAAAUACAGUCAAUUGGGUCUUUGAAUAGCAUGUUUCUAAUACUAUUAACAAUGUUUUACUUUAUUAUGUGACAGGGGCACGGAUUUGGGCAUGGAGUCUGCGGAGCUAAACCGAGGAUACACUCAUGCCUUUGAAUCUACAUUUGAGAGCAAGUCAGGUUUGCAAGAGUACCUCGAUUCUGCUGCUCUUGCUGCAUUUGCAGAAGGAUUUUUGCCUACUUUGUCACAGCGUCUUGUGAUAGACUACUUUCUCUACUAAAUGCUCAGGAGUAACGACUUCGGCCGGGCUAUUUCAUGGGAAUAAAGUAAUGUAAUGUGCAAUAAAUGCUGGUUUUGAACCACUGAAUGUUCGUGUCUUGAUUUCUUGUUUGUGCUGUGCUAUGUGAAGGGAGUGCUGCUAUUCCUUAAAAAUAAAACCCUUGGGGUUGAGUUGUUGUUUUUCAAUCUUUUUCCCCGGUUAAUUUCGGUCUUGGUGUUGUUUUCUUCCCAUUUUAUGCCAUUAUCCUCGAAUGAGCUCCACCAUUGACGCACUUUCACGACUGACUGCGUGCGUAUGUACUUCUCUGAUGCCAAAUGCCAAGAGGAAAAAAGAAACGAUAAGAAGAGGAAAAGGAAAGAACCAGCAUCGAUACUGGAAACAACCCUCACAAUAAAAGCUAAAAUGUAAGGAUUCAUCACUUAAAGAAUCUGCCGUUUAAAACAAGUGAAUUUGCAUUGGCCCUUCGACAUUUUUAUUUGUUAUUUUCUGUUAUUGGAUCCUUCUUUCAAUUAAUUUAUUUGGCACGUCACAUGUUUCGCAUGAACUUCAGUCGGUGUUUUGUGGACGGUAAAGCGAAAGGAAGAAAAGGCCAAACAAAUUUUUUGGAAGUGCAUGAUGAAAAAUCAAGACCGGACCUUGUAGACAAGUUUACCAGUCAAAUUAAACGGGCAGGACAAGAAUUUAGAAUUCAAAUAUCGGAAGCCAUAUAUAUAUAUAUAUAUAUAUAUAUAUGACGUGUAAAAAGCAAGGAUGGAAAGAAUAUUCCAGUGUCAGAACGUAGACAUAGUCAACUAGAAUGCAAACACUUUUAUUGACGAGUUCCAACCGACGUUAAUGCACCAGGGUAAUUAAUGUUAAAAUUUUGAAGAAAAAAAAUCGUUUGAGUUGUUAUGUUGAUACAGAAAUAUAUCUCAUUCUCGAGUAAAAAAAUAUCCUCUCAUCAUAAGAACCAUGCGUGGGCCAUGCGAGUGAUCCGCCAGGCAAACUUAUGAUUAUUUUUUUGGGCAAAUAACAGGUCAUCAUUCUCUUAAAGAUACAAACCAUAAAAAUCCAGGCACGUGAGACCCGCAUGCCCGAGCUCUUUUUUAAGAGGGUCCAACGUGCUGAACCGUUAGGCUCUUUUUUAGUUUUUUCAUUUAUUUUUUGUCUGUUGUAUGAUAAAAUUAAGGAAAAAAAUGUUAGAUUUGGUUUGGUUAUUUGCGGUCACGAUUUUGAUAAGUUAAGACAUGAUAUCCAAUGGCCUUUUUUUUUAUGCAUUUCAAUUAAAAAAUAUAUAUAUAUAAUCUAAUUCUUUAUUAUCAUUGAUUUUUUUAUUUGACUUAAAAUAAAAGGAAUGCAAUCUCAUCUCAUCCCCUUUUUUAAUCAUGCACCAUAGAGAAAUUAUAUCUAAUUUAGAUCAUGUUCAUGGAACUGGUUGUAAAUUUUUUCAGUUUAUUCAAGCGGAAUGGAGUCGAUAUAACAUGAUAUAUUUUUUAAUUUUUUUUUUGUAAGUUUAAUUUUCCUUCAUAUUUAAUCCCUUUUUUUUUGUCAAUUAAGACACAAUCAAGAAGAGAAUAGGGAAAGGAAAAUAAAAGAAACGGGUUAACCAACUGGGUUAACUAAUUAUAAUUGUGUUUAUUAUCAGAGUUGUGAAUUUCACAUGUUAACAUGAGUUAAUAUAUAUGUUAUUGUUUUUUUCAUUUUACUUUCUUAAUUUUUUUAUUUAAUUCUUUAAUAUUUUAUUGUUUCAUAUUUAUACUAAGGUUAGACUGCAUGACUAUAUCACUAUUUGAAUAGGCAGAUCAAUUCACUUUUGAUUCGUUAGGUCAAACAAGCCUCGUCUUUUUAUAAUGGUUGAUUAAUUUUAUCUAAUACAUGGUUAAAUUUUUUUAUUUCUCAUUUCAAAUAACUCAUCAUGUGCAGGUAAAAAUAAUAACACUUAUAUUUUUUGAAUGCAAUUAUUGGUUUCUCAUCCAAUCCGCAACUAAACGGUGCAAUACGCUAGUUAAAGUCUACAUUAUUUUAUUGCUAUAUCUAUAUUUUAUUUUGAUUUCUCUAAACCACUUGAAUUAUAUCAACUUCAGUGUAAUUGUCGCACAAAACUAAUUGGAAAAAUAUUGCAAAUAUAAAAAUAUUCCUAACUUUGGACCGUUUCCUUUCUCGUAAUGAUGCAAGAAAAAAAAAACAACUAAUGUGAACGCAAAAGCACUGGCACAAAAACAUCAAUCUAGUAACAACCUUAAACAGGGGAGAAGAAUUUCCCUCCACGUUUUUUAGCAGCACACAAAAGAUACAGGCUGGCAAGAUAAUUCAGCAUUUUAAAGAGGCCACCAUGGCCCAGGCCAGCAACAACAUGUGGAAGAGAAAAAAGAAGCGGGAGAAUCAAGAGACCAGAACUUGUCCAGAAAAACCACCAAUAAAACCCUGAAAAUGAUAUCCUAAACGGGAAAAAAAAAAUGUUUUGAUAAUUUUUUCAACCAUAUACCUAAUCCUGCUUCCUCUCACCCCAAAAUCUACAUGUGGUUUUGCUUUUAGAACUGAAAACAUAGAUUAAAAAAAAGAAAUUGGUCUACAAAGAUCAAAUUAAAAGCAACAGUUCAAUAUAUGCUUUUUGUAAGUUUAAAUCCAUCAAUAAUACACAAUACCUUCCAGGAACUCUAGCAAAGAGCUGAUUCUUGUUGAUCUCGGAGCUUGAUUACUACAAUAAUCAAAAAAUUAAGCAAACCAUCGAUCAGUAGAGCAAAUAAUAGAGGAAGAAUAGAAGCUCCAAAGUUGAGCAGAUAAGAAUAAUUAAUCUAAACUGUUACCUUGCUUACUUGCCCUUCUCAAUAGGCUGAUUAGCAUAUGAACAGAUUAGAAGCCGACUCGGAGAUUAAACCGGUGUAGGAAUAACAUUAAAGACUUAGGAUUUCAACCGAAAUACCUUCUUUCCUUGCAAUCUGACAUCCUCUUAUCAAGCGUAGAAGAAUCACCACCAGCCUAACCAUCCUUGUCAUCGGUGAUGCGCAAGCAAAUCCCUGCCUCUGCACUUGUUUCUUCUCCAUCAUGAGUACCCUUUCCUUUUCUCUUCUGGCUUUUCGUCGUCCCCUUUUCUUCUCCGGUGAAAUGAAAAGACCCAACUACCCUCGCUAGAGAGUUAGAAAAAAUUGAUCAAAAGGGAAAAGAAGUCAUUUUACUGUCCCAACAAAACUAAAAGGUCACUGGUGCUCCUUCACAAACCAUUAAUGACUAUAGGUUAUAUAAAAACACUAAAAUACCCUUGAACCAUAGUCAUCUCAAGUUUUCUUGCGAGGGCACAAUUGAUAAUACACCGAAGCUAUGAAGAGUAAGAACAGGGUAUAUACACAGUGUUUUAGCUGCAUGUUUUACAGUUGUUGUUAAUUGUUAAUCGUUGAUGUUAAUAAGUGACGUGACAGGGAUAAAUAUCUUUGGUGUUGAGACGGAGGGCCUGUAUCGAGGUCACACUAGAGCAUUUGAGACCACGCUUGAUAGCUUGGCGGGCUUGCAAGAGCAUCUUGAUUCUGCCAUUGUUAAUAAAUUAACAAUAAUAAAUAAUUUUUAUUUUUAAGAAUAAAUUAUAUAUAUAUAUAUAUAAUAUAAAUAAAUUAGAAUAAUCUCUCCCAAGUAUUAAAUACAUACAACAUAAUUUAAAAAACAACCGUGAUAUUUAAAAAAUGCAAACAAACAAUCUAAAAAAUUAGAGAAAAAUAUUAUUAAUAUAAAUAUAAAUUAAAAAAAUACAUAUUAAAAAAAGUAUCAACGCAAAAAAAAAUAUAAAAGAAGAAAGGUCACACACUCUUGAACCUAGCAUGCUAGGUCCGCGAGAUUGACAUAUUUUGAAAAAGUACAGGUUAUAUGUUAUUUGUCCCAUUAUCAAAAGACCAACGCGUCCUUACUAGCAAGUGUAGUGGUAAUUAUUUCAGGUGUACAAAUAAAAAAUAAUAAUUUUUUCUCAAAAAAAUAAGUUUAAGGAAAAAAAGAUUUUUUUUUAAAUUACAAAAUGUUGAAUAUAAGAAAAACAUUGGUAUUACAUAAGUCAAGUGUAAAGUGUAAAGUGAUAUAUAUAUUAGAUGCAAAGAAAAAGAAUAAAAAAACAAAAACAAAAUUACAAAAUACAAGUUUAUCACCCUUCGAGAAAAAAAUUAAAAAAAUACAAUUUUUCUACCACUACAGUGAAUUUUUUUAAAAAAUAAUAAAAUUAUAAUUUUGUCACCAUUACAAUAAAAAAAUUAAAAAUAGUUAUAAAAUUUUAAUUUCUAAAGUGAUUUGCCAUUUUCUUGCAGUAUAUUGUAUACUUUUAUUUAUGAAUAAUGAAUAAAUAUGAUUUAAAAUAUAUACUUACAUAUAUAAUAUUUAUAUUAUAUAUAUAUAUAAUAUAAAUAAACAAUAAACAAUAAAUAAUACCUAGAUAAUUAAUAUUAAAUAAACAUAUGAUAUUCAAUAAAUAAAAAUUACAAUUUAAAAUCUUUUAUUCAAUAACUAAUAAACAAGAUACAAAUAGAGUAAAUUUUUUCAUGAAUGAUUGCCGUUGUCAUCCCUGAUUUUAAUAAAUGCCGAGCCAUGUCAAGAGGUGUCGUUCAAAACUUCAAAUGAGAGAAAGUAACCUGCAGGUCCUCGUAGCUUGCUAGCUUCCCUAUAAAAGGGGCAUUGGGUCAUACAUCCUCGCAGCACCGAGAGAGAGAAAAGGAGUGAGAUAUUCAAGAGAAAUACGUUUAGAAAUCAAGAGAGAGAGAGAGUUAAGACAAUGGCCUCGAAGAAAUCUGCAAUCGUAUUACCUGGUUCAAAGGUGUUGAAGCACAUAGUUUUUGUACGGUUUAAUGAUGGGAUCACUGAUGAACAAAUUGAGAAAUUCAUAAAAGACUAUGCUCAUGUCGCCGAUGCAAUCGAACCCGUGAAGGGAUUUGGCUGGUAACAUUAAAGCAUAUCCUUCUCUCAACUGAUUUAAUUUAAUUUUCCAGCUCCUUUCUUCAAACUAAUUAAGCACUGCUAGCUCUGAUUUCUCUCUGUCAUGAUUGUGAUUAAUUUCCUAACACUGAUCUUUACCAUUUUAAUCUGUAUUGUGUUGUGACAGGGGUAAAAACUAUCCUGUUCAGCAACUGAACCAUGAUUACCUUUACGGGUUUGAGCUUUCAUUUGACAGUCAGGAUGCCUUCAAUGAGUAUCUUCAAUCUCCUGCUCUCACUGAAUUUCAUGCCAAGUUUUUGCCUGCCUGUGCAAGCCGUAUGAUCAUGGACUACUAUCUCUUCUAAGUCUCUCCAAGGAUAAUGAACCUCUGCUGCCCUGCAAUUUUCAUUUGUAAAUGGAAAUAUGCUGAAGUAAUAAAGAUCAACUCGUGUUGAAUGUUUCUUUGGUUAAGUUAAAUUGAAGUGCUGUAUAUGUUGGAAACCUUUGUGUGGUUCAGGGUUUAACGAUCCUUAUCAAUAAACAAAUAUUUUAUGAUACUCUUUUUUUUGUAGUUCUUUCUUUCUAUUUCCAAUUUUUUAGUAUUUAGCAAUUAGCAUCCCUACCUCGCCAGGAGUCAUAACCUACUUCUCGAAUUUUCUUUUUUUCCUUUUUUUUAAUCAAAGGAAAAUGCAAUUUCAUCGAUGAAAGUCGGAUUGCCAUGGGCUUAGCUUCUUACAUUUUAUAUUUAAAGGUCAGUAUUUUCCAGAAAAAAGAGCUGUCUCAGAUAUCACAUGACAAACUUUUUAUCCCAUAUUACAGACAGUGUAUAAAUACACAUUCACCUUCACCAUUCCAAUCAAAUGGUUUCAACUCCAAGUCAAGGAAUGUCGUGAGCAAUGAUAAUAAAUCAUGCUCGAACCAUCAACUCUCAGUGCCUGACCUCACAUGGGGAUGGCGAUUGUAUCUGUUUUUACAGGGAUAUGUUUUUAUUUAUGUGAAUACAGAUAUGGGCAUAGAAAGAUUUUUGUUUUUAUGGAGAGGAAGGUGGAGGAGACAUGUAAAAAUACCUGAUUUAUUCGGAUAUGGAGAUGGGGGGAUAUCCUCCAGCCCACUAAAUACAAACAAGUAUGGAAGUUAGGGAGGUCUCCAUAUAGACGGAGGUUGACGGCGCAUCCUCCACCUCCAUGGAUCUCUGCUGUUAUCCAUGACCCUGUGAAAGGAACAAAACCUAGCCUGUGAAACCAAGGAAGUAUCCUGAUCUUUGAUGAGAUAUCAUUCUGUAGAGGUGGACACAUACUGAUACAGUGUAUAGUGUCGUGAUACAGAUUUUCAGUACUCAGAAAAACCUUAAAAAAAUAACAUUAACAAGACACGAAAACAUAUUUUUCUAUAUUAAAAAGAAAUUAACCGGCCGGUCCCCAAUACAGAGCAGAACGGUAAAAUGUGAAAGCUCGCCAAUUUGAAUAAGUUCAGGUUAAAUGAUAAUGAUGGCUAAAUACCUACAAAUAAAAUAAACUAAAAAUACAAAUUAAUAAAAAUAUAAAAACAUUACCUGAAUAAAUAUAUCAAAUUUAAUUUUUAAAUGUGAGCAAUUUUGGCUAGUUUUGUUGGUUUGGAUAGGAAAAAAAAAUCGUGAUAGGUGAGUUAAAAAUUAUUGUUUAUUAUCUUAUUGUGCUUGUUUACUCUUCAGUAUCGUCUUCUUGGAUUCAUGCUAGUUGAAAUAAUAUAUAAACUUAUAUGUACAAGCUUAGUCCAGUGGUACAAUACCUUUAACCUCUUUUGCUGGUAUACGAGCGCUAUAAAUGAAGUUAAAAUUAUUUUUAAUAUAUAAAAAAUAUAUCCAAGCAUUGUUAAUAAUUUUUUAAUUAAAACAAAUAAAUCAUGUAGAUAUUAAUUUAAUUUGACCAGAGUAACUUGAGUUCAAAAAUAAAUUGAAUAACCAGUAAAAAUAUAGAUUGACUCAUAAAAAUUCAAUUUGAAUAACUAGAAAAAAUAUAAUUUGACUCAUAAAAAUUAAAAAUAAUAACUUUAUUUGAAAAAUAUUUUUGAUAUUAACACUUCAAAAUAAUCUAAAAAUUCAAAAAAAAAUUAAUUUUAAAAAAAAUAUUUAAUUUUUUAAAAAUAUUUUUAAAAUAUAAAAACAAACAUAAUAACAAACAACAAAAUCAAUUAACAACAAAAUCUCAGCAGAUUGUAGAUGAGCAAAAUGCAUUCAGCGUGGUACUUGAGAUUUGACGUGCGAGAUAUUUUUGAAGGUUGUUUAAGUAAAUUCAUCAUAAAACUACGCGAUUCAUAAUAAAUCAAAUCUGUGAUGAGUGAUGUGUUUUUUCAUUUUUUUAAAUAAUUUGAUUUUUUAAGUAUUUUUAAACACAUGUUGAAAUCAUUAAAAAAUACUCAAAAAAUAUUAAACCAACCCACCCAAAUCUGUUCCUUUACAAAGAAAUGAAAAGGGCAUCGCACACAUGUUUAAAAAUAACAGUAAAAAAAAAACUGAAAUUAAAUUCUUAAAUGAUUUAAACAUGGUCGAGUUAAAAAAUUAAAUAAAAAAAAAACAUGAUGUAUGAAAUCAGAAAUCUAAAUUGUUCGGUAAACCUGGAUUAAAGUUGAACCAGGUAAAAACCAGCAUCGAGAUGUUUAUUAUUAUUAUUAUUUAUUUAUUUGGUUAAAAAUAAGGUGUUUUGAUUUAUUUAGAUCAUUACCAUCCUUUAUUUUUUUUGUUUUUUUCUUCAAAAAAUGCAUGAGAGUACAGUUACCAUUUAUUAUCUUAUUGUGAAUUUUCAUUAAAAAAAAUAAAAGAGGCGCUUAAAAAAUAAAUAAAAAAAAAAACCUGUCAUCAAAUUCCCCCCCUACUUUCAUCAACCCCACACAUUUAAUACAGGCCACAUCCUUUCACCACUUGUUGUUUUUUCUUCCAUAAAUGCGCGGGAGGACACUGACAAUUUAUUAUUUUGUCCAUGCCUUUUUUUAAUGAGCCUGGACCCCUCCCCUUCGAAAAUGUCUCUCGUCUUCUUCACAACCAAGGACCGCUUUCUUGUAUGUAUUACAAAAGGAGAUAUUACUUGUUCUCUAAAAUAUUUUUUUUAUUUAAAAAUAUAUUAUUAAAAUAAUAAAUUUUUAUUUUUUUAAAUUUAUUUUUGAUAUUAACGUAUUAAAAUGAUAUAAAAUAUUAAUUUUAAAAAAUAAAAUAAAAUUAUUUAAAAAUAACACUUAUAAAAUUAAAAAACAAUAAUCAGCUUGUAUGUGACUUGUUUCUAGUAGAUGAUCUCAUAGUUAAUUAUAAGGAUAUACGUAAAUAUUUUAUAGAAAAAUAAUUCAAUAUAAAAUAAUAUAUAAAAUUAGCUUACUAGUUAAGAAAAUAUUUAUACAUGAUAAUAGAUUAUUUCAACAACUAUCACACCAUCACAACACCACCCCACCCUCACCGUGUUGUCAUGUAUAGAUUAUUUCAAAUUUGACCAAAUUAAUUUGGGUUUAAAAACAAGCUGAAUAACCAGUAAAAACAUAGUUUGAAUCAUAAAAAUUCAAUUUGAAUAACUAGUAAAAACAUGAUUUGACUCAUAAAAAUUCAAGAUAACAACUUUCUUUGAAAAUCAACACAUGAAUAUUGAAGAAAGAAAUUAAAAAAAAUUAAUUACAAAGAUAACCCCGUAUAAAGCAAUUCAAAACAAAUUGUAAGCUUAAUUCUCAAUCAACACAUGAAUAUUGAAAAAAGAAAUUAAAAAAAAAAUUGAUUAAAUUUAAGUUGUUAAACUCGUAACCCAUGUUAUAAGAUCAAGAUAACCUCAUAAAAAGUAAACAAAAAAAAUAACUGGGAUCAACCCGGGAUAACGUGCCAAACUUAAGAAUAAGGUCAUAGGACUGUGAUUACCUCAUAGAAAAAAAUCAAAACAAAUUAUGAAGUCUAGUUUUCAAAAAACCUCAUUGUUCAAUGUUGAAAUCAAAACAUAAAUAAAUCUAAAAACAGGAUACGAUGAAAUGAAUUGAGUUUGCCCGAGUUAACAUGCAAAACACGUAACCUAAGUUAUAAGAUCGAGAUCACCUCGUAGAUAGCAAAUCAAAAUAAAUAAUGAAGCCUAGUUCCUAAUUAAGUCAAUAUUGAAUGAAAAAAUUGAAAAAAAACCAAUUGUUUUUAAAAAAACUCAAGUCAACCGGGUUAAUCAACUAAACAUGCGAUCCAAGUUAUAAGACUGAAAUAACCUCGUAAAAAGCAAAACAAAAUAAAUUAUGAAACUUAAUUCCUAGUCAACCCAAUAUUUAAUUAUAAAAUUGAAAAAAAUAUCAAUUAAAAAAACAUAGAAAAAAAUAAAGUCAAUCGAGUUAAUCCGUCAAAAUUGUGACACGAGUUAACUACAUAUCAAACAAAUCAUAAUAUCUUAGGAAGCUUAAUUUUUAAUAAAUGAAAUGCUAAAUUAUAGAGUUAGAGAAAUUAAUAUAGAUUUUAAAAUAAAUAUAUUAUUAAAAUAGAUAUUAUAUUGUGAAGUGAUCGCGGGUGAAAAAACAAUCCCUUCUAGUUCAUUGUUGAUAUUAAAUUUUUUGUUGUCGUUUACGUGGGAAGCCUGUCUUAGCUGCACGGGACAAAAUCACUUGUAUCUAUAGAUGAAAAAAAAAAAUGGACUUAUUAGUCAACAUAUUAAAAAUAAAAAACAAUUUAAAAAACAAACACACCAGUCUAUAUAAUCACCCCCACUAAAUGGCAUCCAACUAGAAAGUGCUAAGCAAUUGACACGAGCUAAUUUGGAGAGAUUGGGGGUAACGGUGAUGAAGGAUUACUUGUUCUGCUAAAAAGUUUUAAAUCCCGUAGAACAUAUCGUGAGAAAUGAAUUCCCUCGUUCUGCAUUCUUGCAUUUAUCGCCUCUCACGUGAGUGAUGUUUUUUUGUUUCCCAGUCGAGUGGAUGAACCUCAAAUGUCGUCGUCAAAUGGGUGGCUGUGGACAUUCAUUGAGAGGAUAAUGGGUGGCUGGGGACCACAGUCCCUAAUUCACAUGGACGCGGUCCUCUCUACUCACAUCGACGCUACAGACACCCAGUGCAGUCCGUAGAGAUGGGGUCUCAUCCGCGGCUACAUGGUUGCCCUCAAACAUUCAUUGAAUGACGACUAUCUUUUUCUGAUAAACGACAAGACGUCACGUCACGUCACGUCUAAUAUUCAAUAGCCGUGUCCGAUCAUUUUUGAUAACCUUUCGUUUUGGUAAGAGUUAUCACUGAAGUUUUGAUGCGACUCUAAUAUCUCAUUAUUCUUUUUUCUCUUACCUCUCCCAUGGAAUUCGCGUGAGCCCAGUCAGGUUUAAUCAUAGUUUUAUAUUAUUUUUUUAAUUUAAAUUACCACAUCAUAAAUGAAUUUUAAGAUACAAAAUAAUUCACCUGGAUGAUAAUUUCAGGUGCGAUUGUUCAGAAUAGAUCAGUCUUUAAUAAACAUGCCAUGCACUGAUGGAAAAGCUUAAAAAAAAAUAUGAAUUUUAUAUGUAUCUUUAUUGUAUUAAAAAUUAUUUUACUAUUAAAUAUAUAUUUUAAAUUGUCACACGUUACACGAUAAAAUUUAAAUGCGUAGCCAAUAACAAUCUCCUUUGCUCUAUUAUAUUAUUUUAUUAAAAGUGACAGAAAACGUGGAGAGUGGAGUUUGUCUAGGCUCCACCCUCAAAUUAUUGCUUUAUUAUAUUAUUUGUAUUAAAAGUAACGAAGAAAACUUUGGACGGUGCAGAGUUUGAAUGGCCUCUACGCUUCCGAUCAUAACAAUUUUAAGAUAUUAAAAAAAUUAAUUUUUUAAAAAAUAAGAAUUUUUAAAACUUAAAAACAAAUGAAUUCAUAAAACAUUUGUUAAAAGGAUUGUAGCUUCAAAAAAAAAAAAAAAAAAAACAGUGGAAUUCUAGCCCUAUCCUAUGAACUGAAUCCAGAUGACUACAUGACACUAAAUUAAUGAUCUUACCGAUUCAAUAACUCGCCCGUGUGCAUUUUUCUUAGUAAUUAUUUAUUUUCAAGGAUUGGUUCAUAAACUCAAUAUUUUAUUUUUAUUUUUUUCAAGUUCUUACGUUUUUAGCUUGGAUUGAGUUACAGAGGCGCUGACCUGGAAAAAAAAAUAUAAUAAAUACCUUAAUCUGACCUCCCAAAUUUCCAACUGUGAAAGGAAAACUAACCCGAAAAUAGCUAAGGAUUUUAAUAUCAUGUUCAAAUCCAAUCAUUUGAAUUCAAUUCACUUCAAAGAUUUUAAUAAAAAUUUAUGUUUGUAAUAGUUUUAGGAGUCAAUAAUUAAAUUCCAAAAAUUAUUUAAUAUCUAAAAAUUGUAAAAAAUAAACUAAAUAUCAGUCUCUCUUAUUUAAAAUUUAAAAUAAUUAAAAUUUAAAGUUAAAACUAAUUUUUUAAAAAUAUUCAUUUACCUAUAUUUUUUAGAGAUCUUUUAAAAAAUAAGAUGAAGAUGAUAGGAUAAUAUAAAAAAAACAAAUUAAAUUUUAUCUCUUUUAAAAAUAUAAAUUUAAUUUAUUUCUCAAUUAAAUUUAAAUUAAUACUAUAAUUAAAUUCAAUUAUAUAAAAAAAAAAAUCUAUAGGCUGAGGCUGGGGGGGCCUACCUUACAAAAAGACGACGGAUGGUUAUUUUUCUGAGUAAAAUUUUAAAAAGUGACGCCAUUUGAUUUUGUUGUCGGGGUGGGGUUAUCUCUUCUUUUGAAAGAAUGCUGGCCUUCGCUGUAGACGUUGAAAUCCGGUUAGCAAUCCUCACCUUGUGGUGGCAUGAUCCGGUAAGAGUACAUUUCAAAUAAUAUUUUUAUAAAAUUUUAAGUUUUUUUAGAAUUAUUAUUUUUAUAUUUUUUUAUUGUUUUAAUAUGCUGAUAUUAAAAAUAUUUUUUUUAAAAUAUAAAAAAUAUUAUUUUAAUAUAUUUAUAAAUAAAAAACAUUUUAAAAAACAACUAUCUUAUCACACUCCCGAAUACCUUUAAUAUCUACAUACUGCGAAUCAUGUCAUGCUUGUUUGGCAGUGUGGUUCAGGAUGCUUUUCAAAUAACUUUUCGUGUCAAAAUGCAUGCCAAUGAUAUUUUUUCAUUUUUUUAAAAGUAUUUUUGACAUCAGCACAUCAAAAUGAUCUAAAACGUGUAAACCAUAUUAAAUUUUAACAAAAAAAAAAUUUAAAAUUUUUUGAACACGCAAGUUCAACCGCGUUCCCAAACGUUCCCACAGCGUAGUCCUCAUGCUUGCUGUAAUAAUACAUGGCUGAGAUCAUAUUAUACUUGAUGCUAAAAAAUAAUAUGUUAAUUGUAGGUUUAUUUGUAAAAUAUUUUUUCUUUUAAAUUGAGUUCCAGAUCUUAGUUUCUCUAUUGAUUUUUUAUUAUAUGUUUUUCGACAUCUCUAUAAUGACAUGUAAGAUUGUUUUCAUUCUCAGCGUAUAGUUGAUUUCGAAGCUAGAUCGAUGUACAUGCAUUUCUUCUUCUUCUUUCAAUAAAAAUCUGUACUUGACGAAGGAAAAAAACCGAGAUUGUCUAAAUUAUGCGAGCCCAGUCAACAUCAUGAAAUAAAUUCAGAAAAUUUAUCCAACGCCAAACACGUGCACGUAUAUGUGGAUAUAUAAAGGUAGGUCCAAGUAUGACUUGAUUUAUAUUCUUUAUUUAAGAAUCUGAAUUAUUGAUCCGUGAUUAAUACAGUACCGAACGGGAUAUUUUAUUGAAUAUCCACGUUAUGCUUUCGAGAUGCUGUUUGGACGGCAAGUUCUUCUUUUCUUUUCUUUUCUUUUUUUAUUGAACGAGAAAUAACAAACAACAGUAUUGCCGACACGAGACCCCUCAGCAAGUUAAGGUAGUGGAUCUAUUUAUGUCGUUGCAGUAAAAUGCUGGGUAUUGAAUACAGCCCAUCAUGAUACAUGCAAUUCAUCACGUUGUGGUAUUUUUUACGGUAGAAUAAAUAAAUAAAUAAAUUGCAUGAGAAUUAAAUCGAUGCAACUGGGUUGCAUUGAUUGAUUUAAAGCUAACGGAAUAACUAACAAAAAUAUAAUUUAGAUCAAAAUACAUAUUUAAAAUGUGAUUUUUUAAAUAAAUAUUAAGAUAAUAAUAUAUUAAAUUAAUUCGGAUCAAGUCAGAUUAACCUAACAAUUUAUGUAUCAAGUCAUGAGAUCAUGACAGCUCUAUAAAAAUCAAAACAAAACAAAUUACAAAACUUAAUUUAAAAUAAGAUUUUUUUAUUAUUAUUCACGUGAGGUGUUCAGGCUAGUUUCGACUAAUCCCCACGGGCCUUGAAGUUAACGACCACGUAAGCCUCCAGUGAUCAUCAUUAAUUUCAAAUAAGUUAAAUAUUAAACGAUGAAACUUUAAAAAAUUAACUAAAAAAUACAAAAAAAAAUCAAGUUAACUUGUCAAACCCGCAAAUCGGGUCACGAGAAUAAGAUAACCUAGUAUAAAAUAAAUUAUGAAACUCAAUUAUCAAUCAACCUUGUGUUGAAAGAUGACAUUAAAAAAAUCAAUUGAGAAAACAUUAUAAAAACAAUUUGGGUCAAUCAUGUUUAAAAUGCUAAACUCGUAACUUAAAUCAUGAGAUGAAGAUAAAUUUAUAAAAAAUAAAUUAUGAAGUAUAAUUAUUUAUUAACCUUACUCAUGAAAACAAGAAAAAAAUAAAUAAAAAAAGGAAAAACAAUAAAUUGAGACCGUCAAAUUAACCCAUCAAAUUCAAAAAAAUAUUAUUUAAGCCAAUAAUAUUAUAGUAUUAUAUAAGAAAGGACAAUGUCAAACCCUCUCCUUCCUUUAUUUAUUUAUUUAUCCUCUGUUUCAAUUUCUCUCUCAUCGACUGUUUUUCGACUUCCACGUGAUUCCAUUCUCUCUCCAAUGAUUCAAUAUCAUCAAACAUUAUUUUUUACGAUCCAUGAUUGUUUUGAUAUGAUAAUGCUAAAAUAAAAAAACAAUAUUUUAAUAUAAAAAACAAAGAGAGACAUUUGACACUUUUGUCUAUUUUGGGUCUAGUGGAUGAGUGCUGGUAAUAUCAUUGAUUGCAGUACAUGGCAUUCAGAAAAAUGGCCUCAUCCAUUUUCCGGGGACCACAUUCAUGACUCCCAGGUCCCAUGGAUGCGGUCCUCUCGAUUCGGCAGAAAUCCAGUGAAAGCCCGUGGGGAUGGGAGUACUGCUACAGUCCACGACUGAAAUAUUUUUAUUUUUUGCCCCCUUCCUCUUUACACUCGAAUAAAAAAAGACAAAAACGAAAAUUACGAUCUUUCACGUGUCAAGUCACGUGUGGCAAAUUAAAACAAAAGAUAUUGUUUUAUUCUUUCGAGAUAAUGUGGCUAUAGUUUAUGACUAUUGCGCGGUGGAUUUCACGUUUGCGGUGAAUCAUAGUUAAUAGUUGCUUGGUUCCGAACAAAAUUGAGUUUGGUGAAGCGAAUCCCACGUAAAUUUAAAUUGAAAACGCAAUUAAUUGCACAGUAGUAUAUACAUACCUUUUUGGGGUUCUUAGUAAUGCCGCAGGACUUGCUGUAUAUCUUCUUUUUUUGUGCACGUGACAGUACUCUUCCCCUCCUCAAUAUUGGAGCCACUGCUUACUUGUUUUCUCACCCUACACGAGCAAAGCUCUGAUGUCUGUCAACUAGAGCAACCAUUUACAUAGUAUUCUCCGAACUCUUCCUAUAAUCACAACACAACCCUGCAUAAAAGGCAAUAAAAAAAAGUGUUGUAAUUCGUGUGGUUGUUUGUAAAAUUUAAUGUUAAUAAAAUGCAAAUUAAUAGAAUUAAAAAAUAAAAAAUAAUACAUGUUUUUUUUGUAAUAUUAUUACUUAAAUCAUUUUAACCAUAAAUUUAUCCAAACAAUCAAUCAUAAUUUUUAUUAAACAAGUAUUUAAAUUCAACUAAUCAUAACUAAUCAUAUUUUUUAAAACUUAUUUUUUUUGAAUUACAAUAGUAAAAAUUACAGCAAUAUUAAAUACACGGUUAAUAUUCUAUGGUUAUCUAGGGGGGGAAAAAACAAAAUCAGGACAACAUGUCACUUAUCACAUUCAAGGUGGCUCGACUGUGACUGUGAAAAUGAUGAAUCGUGACAGAAAUUUUCUUCUCUCAAAUUAUUACAAUGCCCUACCUCCCGUGAGCCAGUUUGAUAGAUAAAUACUUUAGUUUUUAUUUAUUUAUUGUUGAAAACCCCUUUUAUUUUAAUAGAUUAUUAUUUGUUUCGUUUUCGAUAUAUUUAGUCUCUUCACCAUUAAAAAAAUAUCUCAUCGGCUCCCUCCGCCUUUAUAAUUAAAUCAGACAUUAUCUCCUUACACGGUAAUAUCAACCAUUCGUUUGAUUUGAUUUUACAUGUUGAUAGUGUUAACACUUCACUGUCUUGCAAAAAAUUAACGUAUGAUUUUGGGAGUAUACACGGGCUGGGUUUUUAUAGAUAACACACAUCAUAUUUUGUUUUCUUUUAUUUUGGAAAAAAUAUUUGAGAUAUUACAAGAAAGAGUAAAAAAAUAAUAUUUUCUACAAAAUAUCUUGUACUAAGAGAGAGAUUUACAGCUACAUGGAAAGCCAAUAAUUCACCAUUAUAUUUAUCGAUCCAAGAUGAUUCAGCCCUGUCAAUUCACUCAAUAAUCCAUUCAGCUUUUACAGCACCGGCAACAGGAAUGGUUGGUUCUUGUACGACCUUUAAGUGCCGUUGGAAUGUAUUUUUUUUUAAAAUUGAUUUUCUUUUACAAGCGUUGAAUUAAUGUUUUUUUUAUAAUUUUGAAUUAAAAAAACAUAUAUAUAUAUAUAUAGUAUUAUUUUAGCAUAUUUUUAAACAAAAAUUACUUUAAAAAAUACUUUACGCGAGACUUUACGCGAGACUCUCGUACAAGAUUGUAUCCGCGAAAACUAGUUAUUGGUUUUCAACUUGUCCACGGUGCCUUUACAAGUCAGAAAAGCACUUGUUGGCCGCCGAUUUCCGUGUGCCCAACCCACUUGUCCAGAGUGCCGAUUUCUAGUUAUUUCCUUUUCAAUCUCUAUCAAACUCCCAAGAAAUAAUUGAAACCAUUGUUUUUUUUUUGUCAUUUCAAUCUCCAACAAGCCUAAAAGAAGGAAAGAAAGCGUAGAUAUCGAUCACAAAUUCACUACUUUUAGCCAAACCUCGCUACAGAUCAAAGCCAACAAUAGAAACCCAUGUGAAAAUAAAAUAAACCCCAUUAAUAGAAAUGAACAUAAACCUUCCUCUUGGUGCUACUGUUUCGAAGAAUUCAAGAUAGUAAUCUUUUCUCAUCUCUCUCCCACACAGAGAUUAUGUCCAGAGCCAAGUUUCUUGAUCCAGGUGUGCAUAAAUUUUGUAACUUAACAAGACUUGACACGAGGGAACAAAAAAUGCUAGAAACUCGUCAUCACUACAGCAAUCAAUGAAAAUUCAGUAGUAAAUUACAGGAAAUAAACAAGGAAAAUAUAAAAUAGUCAUAGCAUCGCGGAAACACCCGAUUGUUUUACCCUCUUCUAGACGAACAAAACAAAACAAAACAAAAUUAUUCAAUAGUUUCAAAUUACAUAAGCAAGCACAUCUGCUGGGUUAGGGUUGAGAAAAGAAAGGGCAUAACCUCGUUGAGCUUGAACGAUCGACUACUGAAGUCAUGAUUUAUUUACGUUCCGGGCCAAUUAUUUUUUAACACUGUGUGUGCUCGUGCGUGGUUUUUUUCUUUUCCAAAAUUUGUCUUGGCUUUAGGAAUGAAGGGGGUCCUCUCCUCGCUUAAAAGAAGGCAAAAGGGAAGAAAAUUGAAGAAAUGAAUAAUCCCAAAACCUCGUAAUGAUUUCAGUGUGAUGCACGAGUGGAGAUUUAUCAAUUAUUGUUUCGGGAGAAAGAACAGGAAUUGCAAGAUCACUACCACAUCAAAUCUUCAAACAUGGUUGUUUUUCUCCUCUGUUUCCUAGAUAAACGAAAAAAGAUUCUCACUCAUCAAAUCCUCGGCUGUGAGGGAGCAAAUGUCAGGGGAGACAUGUUGGAGCUUAACAUGGUGUUCUCCGACGAAGGGGAAGGAGGAGGGGCGGAUGGUCCCGUUAUUGAUACGAUUUCGAACCUGUAAUCCUAGCAAGUUUUCGGAAUUGGUAUUGGCUUCAACUCUGGACCCAUUCCAUGAUUUGGUUGGGGUUAUUGAGGAUUUUGCCAAGGGUUUGUAUAGGAUUUGUUCUUGUGCAAUGUUGGAGAAGGGAAAAAAAGGAAUCGGCAAUUCAGUAGAAAUCUCCUUGCGUAGGCAAAUAAAAUCAGAAAAGAGCUUGUUUUGAUCCUGUGAAAUCAUUGAGAAAUUAGUAAAAAAAAUUAAAAAUAGUAAAGUGAUUACUAGGAGCCAAGACUGGUUUCGCUUGAUCUUGAUUCCAUUUGGCUUGUUUUGAAGCUGUUGCGAUCAUUAAAUGCGUGCUGGCAAGAAUGCUAAGUUGUGGUCACUGUACAUGAACGUGUGUGGUGGCGAUUAGGCUUGAUAAUUGGGACGGAGGGCAGCGUGCCAGGGGAUAUUAUAACAUGUGUAUCAUGUGGUGACCCCCUCAGUGACUUCACCGUCAUCGUUCCCAGUAGGGAAAAUACAUGUGUAUCAUGUGGUAACCGCUUAUUGAAUUAUUUUUUUAGAAAAAAAGAUAAUAAUUUCAUCAACAUUAAGCAAAUUAUAAAAAAAUAAAUCACAAAUUUUAUAUAUAUUUAAAAAAAUCAUUUACUGUUUAAAAAUAUAAUUGAUAAUAUUAAGGUAGCAUUAAAUUAAUUUUCAAGGAAAUAAAAUACAACACGAUUAAGAUAUAAAAAACAAAACAGAAUAGGAGAUAAAUACAUAAUUAAAUAUUAUAAUAAUAUACAUGACAAAAUAAUUAUCUUUAUAUCGUAUUUAAUACACUGAAAAAUAUAAAAAAGAUUCUUGACAACUGCUGUCAAUUCUAAUUUGUGGAGCCUAAAACUCUUGUGCUUUUCGUGGAGCUUCGUAACCACGGCAACUGCUGUCAAUUCUAAUUUUUGACAACUGUUGUCAGUCAUGAUGAGUACUGUAACCGUACAACAUUAGCGUUUUUUUUUUUUUUAGGUGGUGCUCGGUAUUAUUAUAAGAAUUAUUUUAAAUAUAUAAAGUAGAUUUUUAAGGAAGCUUGAUGGGUUAAUAGAUUAAAGGAUGAGAUGUUAAUAAGAUAUGAGAUAAAGUAUUUGAGGUAUCACGGGUACUAACUUUACGAUAAAAAGGAAGCGAGAGGGAAAAAUAUUUGAGGGUAAAAUUGAACUUUCAAAAUACCAACUCCUAAACAAGUAACUUCUCCCAAAAAUUAACCGGUUGUAGCUCAAUUGAUUAUAUUAUGGAUUUGCUUAUCGGAGAUCAUCAAUUAGAGUGUCAUAAAUUUCAAAUAAAUCUGAUCGUUAAUUUUAAGGUCUCGAGAAAUUAAUUGAAAGGAGCGUAAAUUACCUUAAAUAUCUAUAAUUAAAAAAAAAAAAAACUGUCGCUAAAGACACUCCAAAUUUUACGACAAAAAAAUUUAAAUAUCAUUAAUCUCCUACCAAGCAUAACUUUCCUUGGUGCACCUAUAUUGCCUAUCAACACGCCAGUGUCCGCGUUCACGUUGUCUGUAGGUAGAGAUGUUAAAAAAAACUUGUUCGUGUAUCUAUUUGAAUUAUUCGAUUCUAACUAACACAUUAAAUUCAAAUAAUAUAAAUAUUAUAGUCGAUAAUAUAUUAAAUUUUUAAUAAAUAGAUAUUGCUAAUCAAGCGAUAAACAAGUAUUUUUAAAACCUGAUUAACUCGACUCAUCUCAUAUAUGUCUUAUACUCAUUUUAUUUUUAUAUUUAAUAGAUUAUGAAUAGAAAAAAAUAUUUUGAUUCUAAAAUUAUUGUUAGUGGGCUUUUAGAUUUUUUUAAUAUAACAAAAAGAGCUUGUUUUUUUUGUUAAAGUCGAGGAAGUAACUAGAAUUUAAUAAUAUUACAAGAUAUAAAAAUUAAAUUUAAUAUUGAGGUGUCAUAACACCUACAAUCCAUGUUAUAAAAUUAUUUUUAAAUUCAGAUUCGUUAAAAUUAAUAAUACAAUACCAGCAAUUGAAUAUUUAUAAUAUUCAUAAAAAAAUUAAUCAAAUCCAAUAUAUCCUAUCGCUGUAAAAAAAAUAAAUGGAUGGAGUUUAUACUUUAUAAAACAUUAAAAAUUAAAUUAUAUAUAAUUACGAUCCUAGACCCGAUUCAAAUAUUUUUAGCAACGCCCCUAUUUGCAAAUGUAAUAGGAAUCGCAGAUUUUUGUAGGUAAAUUUAUAUUUUUUUUCUUUUAGCAAGAUUAAAAGUAUUCACUAAUCAAUUUUAUUAUUAAAAUUUAUCGUUUAACCCAAUAAAAAAAAAUCUACAUCGCAAUAGAAAACUCACAGGCAAGCCCUGAUAUUUACCUUGUUAUUGUCAUGCGAGGCUAGACUAUAGUUUUCAGACCCGGUCUGGUAGCCGGCCCGAUUCAAGACCCGGGUUUUAGGUUUUGACCGGAUCACCGGGUCAGCCGGGUCAAUUAUUUUUUAAAUCAAAACGACAUCGUUUUAGUAAAAACAAAACAUAAAAAUCAACGGGUUGCAACCAGGUUUUUAACCGGAUCUCGUCAGGUCACACAAGGUUUUUUCUUACCUUAUUUUUUCUUCAACUCGGCUCGAUUUGAGUCUAAACCGGCUGGGUUGGGUUUUAAAAGUACAAGACCACAAAUGAGUGGUGUGUAGCAAGAGAGAAGAGAUGAGGUGGAAGGGAAGGGAAGGGCCCCAGCAAAGGUACCGUCUACCCCUAUAUAAGGAGGAGGGCAUGGCAAAGCUCAUCAUGCAAAUUAAUCUGGCUAUAGCUAAGCGCACAAAUUAAGGCUUAAAGAUAUAGAGAGAAAGAAACAACAUGUCGUCGACGACAAAACCAAAGGCAGUGAAGCACACUCUAUUCGUCAAGUUCAAAGAUGACGUUACCAGAGAGCAAAUUGAGAAAAUCAUAAACGACUUCACUCAUCUGGUCAAUCAAGUUGAACCCUUGAAGAGCUUACACUGGUACUUGACUCCAACCACUCUGUUUUAUCAUCUCCCCUCUGUUUUAUCAUCUCUCCUCUCUCCACAGCACUGAUUCCCCGCUCCUGCAUGCUCAAUACUAUUUUUUUUUUAUUUUGUUGCCUUCCUCUUAGUUUGUGGAAAAAUAAUUUACAUAUUAAGCAUAAUUUAUUUAUAAAGCAUAAUAAUUUAUUAAUGACCAUUAGCAUAAUGAGGAGCCUUAAACCUUUUUCAAGAGUUAUAAAAUUAAAAAGAAUAAAAUUGUAGGAUAAUAAAUAUUUUAUCUUUUUAAAAUUCAAAGAAGUUUUUAGACGAAAAUAUACAGAAACACAUGGAUUUUAAAGGUUAAUUGAUAAAAAGCUCAUUGUAAAGUAUUUUCUAAGAAAAAAAGACAAACAAUAUUUUUCCAGAUAUUCUUUGAGGAUUUUGUAGGGAAUUAUUAGAAGACUCAAACUUAUCUGGAAGAACUAAAGAACUGAAUUUACUGGUCCAGUAAAAAUGUUACAGAACUUAUUAGUUAUUUAUCAUUUCAAAAAUGGAUCAAUAUGUAUUUUUUCCUAAAAUAAAUUACCCUAACAUCACCCUCAAAAAUUAUUUAUAACAAUAAAAUUCCAUACUAACAUCUGUGUUAUAUUAAUGCUCUGAUGCAGGGGCACUAAUCUGGGUAUUCACGACCUCAAUUUCGGAUAUACUCAUGCUUUUGAAACUACCUUUGAUGAUCUGGAGGGCUUGCAGGAGUAUCUUGAUUCUUCGGUUGUUGCUAAAUUCGCAGAAGGAUUCUUGCCAACCAUGUCGCAACAAUUUGUGAUGGACUAUGAACUGUACUAAAUCUUUACUGGGCAAUGAAGACUUAUUAUCUUGCUAUCUGAAGACAAGAUUCUGCUCUACUAUGUAUAAGCAAUAAUUGGCGGUGUUACCACCAAAUGUGUGUGGCAAUAAAUCUAAUUUGUUUUUUCAUAUGCAAUGUAUUUCUGAUGCAUAUAGCGGCAAUUCUUCCAUCUUCCUUUUGACACCUGAAAGUUCAUCAUGUUUCCUCACGAGAAAUCUUCCAAUCAUAGCUGUGAAACUAGACUUGGGGUUUUCCUCGAAUUUUUUAAAGAAAAGAUAAAAAUAAAAAGUUGUCAUUUUCAAAAUAAAAUCAAUGGAUUUAGAGUGAGCAGGUUAAUUUAGAUAUUUAAUUGGGUUAUCUGGGUUUUUUAAUUUUUUUUAAUGGAACCUGAUAGAUUUUGGUCUCGUUUGUUUGAAGAAAAAUAGUUUUCUUUUGGAAAGUAAUUUUCUUAAAAAUUGAAUUUCGGAAAAGUAAAUUAUUUUCUGAUGUUUGGUAGUGUCAUGAAAAGUAAGUUGGAAAAUACUUUCCACUGUUUGGUUGUUAUGGAAAAUGACUUGGAAAAUAACUUAUUAAUGUUUUUUUUUUAAGUUUAUUAAAAUAAUAAGGAACAAAUCUUACAAAUUAAAAAGUUAUGAGAAUGGAAUUGAAAAAAAAAUCUAAUUUCAUAAAUUAUCUCAAAUAAAAUAAAUAAUAAUCAAAAUAAUAGAGAUCAAAUCUAACAGAUAAAAAAAAUUAAAAGAUGAUGAAAUUAAAAUAGUUAUAAUAAUAAUUUCAUAAAUUAUUUUAAAUAAAAUAAGUAACAAUCAAAAGAAUAAGGAUCAAAUUGGAUAGAUAAAAAAUUUUAAUUUAAAAUAUAAUAAGAGAAGUAAAUAACAAUCAUAAAAAUAAAGACAAAAGUUAAUAUAAAAAUCAAAUUAAAUUAAAUUUUAAGAGAUGAAUUAAAAAAAUUCAAAAAAAAUAUAUAGCAAUAAAAAGUUUGAGGAUCAAAUUUGAUAUAAUCAUCAAAUAAUAUGAUAUUUUUAAAUUUUUCACAAUUUCUAGAAAGUGUUUUUCGUUCAAAAUAAAAGGAAAACACUUUCCUGAAAAUCAAACCAAAUUAUUCUUUGACAAAAAAAUAUUUUUCGUUGAUUAACUUUUCAAUUGACAAAAAAAUAAAGAAAAAUUUGAAAAAUUAUUUUUCAAAAAUCACUUUUCAGAAACAAACACACAUUUGUGUUAACUCGGCAAUAUAGUCCAGCAUCUACUACCAGGCUUUCCAUGCAAAAUUAAGCGACCUUGGUCUAGCCGCUAAGUUCAAUGAGAAGGCAGCCCAGCCCAUCUGGUCACAAAUCCAGUAAUGGUAACCUCACAGAGGUCGAAACCCAAUAACCAGUCAUCUAGAAAACCCAUGCUGCUAUUACAGCCUCUAUACAGGCCGAGGCAAAUAGCUUGCCCAAGCCGAAGGCUAGUCCCUAUUUAGUGCUAGACUUUUACCAAAAAAAUUAAUAAAUGCGCUAAACCAUUAUCCACCGUCGAUGAGAAGCAUCUUGUUGUCGAUAUUCAGGCAGGGAAUUUGCCCUCUCAGGCUCAUGUCGACGCUAAAAUGGAACAUUUCAGUGACUAAAAAGAGGAGUACGAUUUUCUAAUGUGAUGGAGGGUCUGGACUCUGGAGAGAGAUAACAUCCGGGUUUCGGAAGUCCCUCCUGACAUGUGAUGGAGGAUAAGAAAUCCUGGGUAAGGGAACGUUUGGAAACGCGACUGCAGCUGUGUUUCUAAAAAAAUUAUUAUUAUUUUUUUUUAUUAAAAUUUAAUAUGAUUUGUACGUUUUGGAUUGUUUUGAUGUGCUGAUGUCAAAAAUAAUUUUUAAAAAAUGAAAAAAAUCAUUAGCAUGUAUUUUAACACGAAAAAUUAUUUGAAAAACAUCUGCAACCACACUGCCAAACACACUCUAAAUCCUCUAUCCCUUGAAAAAAAAAAAAAAAACCGCGUGUAAAAUUGUAAUUAUUGGAGUGGAAUACUGCGUGCAUCAAGAAAGGGGCCAGUACGCUGGGUGCCCCCACUCACAUUGGUUCCUGGGCUUGCAGUGGUACUUGCAGAAAUAAAAAAAUAAAAAGCUACAAACUAAUGGUUGGUGGAUAUUCGAGCGGUUGUUGUGUAUAAUAAUUAAUAUCAGCCCUUAAAGAAGGCUGAAGAGACGAGUGCGAGAGAGAGAGAGAGAGAGAGUUAAGAUAACAGAUAUGGAGCAAGUGAAGGGAGUGGUAAAGCACAUAGUCCUGGCCAAGUUCAAAGAAGGAGUGACCGAAGAAGAAAUUGAGAAACACAUAAAAGACUACGCCAAUCUGCUCAACCACAUCGAACAUAUGAAGUCUUUCCACUGGUAAUUAACACAAGCCCUCGUUUAAUUUUAACUACUCUUUCUCCAUGGUUUCGCACUUGGUUAGCUAGGAAUGAAAUACUUUGUGCUUUUGGUGCGUGGAUGUUUUCUUGUUUUGUUAGUCAUUUUAGAUAGAUAAUCUGCCAUGUAUAUAUUUUUGGUUUUUAAUUUAUAUGGUUUCAAUCAACUUUGGAAUUAAGAAUCUAAAUAGUUUCUGCAAUUUUGACAUGAUAGGGGGACAGACGUGAGCAUCGAGAACCUUCAUCAAGGUUUCACUCAUAUCUUUGAGAUUACUUUUGAGACAUUAGAUGGCCGAUCAGCGUAUGUAGCUCAUCCUGCUCAUGUUGAUUUUGGCACUGCUUUCUUGACUAUCUUGGAGAAAAUCGUCGUGGUCGAUUUCGUGCCCACGCUCGUUAAACUCUAAAUUGUUCUGGGCAGCACGAUUAACAGGCUCCUGCUGCGCUGCAUGUUCUAUAUACCGGCAUGCUUGCUAGCUUUUAAAUUGUAUGCAAUAAACGGAGGCCUAUGUUGAACCUCCAUUUGUUUGUGUGUAUUCUGGAUCUUAAUCUAAUAAUGGCAAUCGUCAUUUGGGACUUUGUAUCAGUGAUUUAAAGACUUGUUUCUAUGAUCAUGUUUUGCUGUCCUUGUGGUUUUAGCUUCGUUCAACAAACUAAAAAAGUAAAAUAUAUUAUUAUUGGGUACAGCUUUAGAAAAAUCUUUAAUUUAAUUUGUUGAUAUAUAUGUGCCGCCGCGAGUGAUUUUCUCGUGACUGAUUGGUUGUAUAUUUUAAAAGUGUUUUUAAAUAAAUUUAAUUUUUUUUAAUUUUUUAUUAACUUCAAUUUUUAGUGUUUUCAAUUUAUUUUAAUAUACUAAUAUAAAAAAUAAUUUUUAAAAAUAAAAAAACAUUAUUUACAUGUAUUUUAACAUGAAAAAUUAUUUAAAAAACAAUUACAAUCACACUAUUAAACAAUCUAGUUAAAAACGGAAUCUAAGCUAUUUGAAAUAUAGAAUUAUAGAUCUGUGCGCGAGUGACGUUUGAAUAUUUUAUAAGAAAAAGGAAAGAUUAUACUUUCACCUAAACUUGGUCAGAAUUAAAAUACAAUCGAAGGCACGAGCUUCUUCGGCUUUGUGCGUGUAGUUUAAGCGAUCACCUGCCGGCCUGCAAAACCUUUACAGGCAUAUGCUUUUGGGCCUGAAAAGGUGUUCGUGGUAGGAAAUACGUAAUUGGGCCUGCGUGGUGGUUGAGCAAUAAAAAGUCGGCCUGCCAAUUUGUUUAUGUUGAUGUAUGUUUUGAUUGCUUAACAAAAUAAAAUGUAAGUACUCCAUGGUUUUGAUUUUUUUUAUUCGCUAUAUUACUAAUUAAUUACCAAUACACACACUAUUACUUGUAAUACCCUUACCUAAUAAAAAAAGGAUAAUCGAAAACCUAAUUAAUUAUAUUAUAUUAUUUAUUAUUACUAUUUUUCAUACACAUAUCUCUACCAAACUAUAUGAAAUGUUCGAAUGACCCCUCGCCUAUAUAUAAUUAUUCAUCGUAGAAUAAUAUUAUCAUUUCCUAUUCAACUCCUCAGGGCACUACAAGAACGGUACGAGGCUAUGAGCAACAGUGCACAUUCAUUAAAAAAAAACACCAUUACAAAUCAUACACAGCCAGUAAUCCCAAAUAUAUAUUUAAAUGUCAUUUUAUUAUGAUAGCUAUGGCCUGAAAUUAUUUGAUUGAUUAUUAACACAUUUGAAGACUCUUAUUCCAGUUAAAGGGAUAACGAGGAAACUAAUUUUAUUAAUAAUUGCGGCUAUUGUUUUGAAUAAUUAAGUGUUUUUAAAAUAACCUUAGCUACACCCUUUGUAUAAUCAAGAGGUUAGGUGAUAAAUUUGAGUGAUGUAGUUUAAGUGGUUAAUUUUAAAUUUAUUUUUUAGAUAUUAGUUUGAGUUUUAUAAAUAUUAAGUUUAUUGUAGGUUUAUAUGAUCGUUAAUUUUAGGAUCUGUGAGAUUAAUCAAUAUGCGCACAAACUGAUCCAGACACCCACAUUAAUAAUAAUAAAAAAAUUAGGUGAUGAAUAAUGUUUUUUAAAAUGUAUUUUUUUAAUAUAUUAAAAUAAUAUUUUACUAAUCCAUUAUCUCAGUAUUACAAAAUCAAGCACGCAUGUAGGAGAAAAGUACACGAUUUUUUCCCUCGAUAUCGUUUUCCAAUAUAAUCUGAUAAUAAUCAAUUUUACUUGAACUCUCAAUUUGUGGUUAAUCAAGCAUAACUCAAAUCGAAUGGAUUAUAAGAAAAUAACAUAGCCUUUAGAUGACAAGAUCGUUCCCUCAAAAUCCAGAAAAUGCUGCACGCAACAAAAAACCUUCCACGUGAGUUAAUUUGAUCCUGUGCAUGACCCGGUUUUCGAUAACACAAACUAGUGGUGGACAGCUGAAGAGACGACUCUAAUUUUUUUUUUUUUUUAACGUGGGUGUUCGGGCCUGCUUACGCGCACCUCGACUAAUCUCACAUGCCCUGAAGUUAACGACCAUGUAAGCCUCCAGUGGCCAUCAUAUGAGCAACCACAGGGCUCGAACUUGAGACCACAGAGGGAGCAAACCUCUUGAUCCCAAGUUUUUACCAUUGGACCACCAUCUAGAUGGUUCGACUCUAAAAUUAGUGAGAGACGUAGUGAAAUUUCGUUCAAACUUGUUUCAUUUAAUAUUUUAUAUUGUUCUCUAAAAUUACUGGAUAUAUGACUGUAGAAAAUAUCUAUUUAUAUUGUUCAUUCAUUUUAUUAUUCGAUCCAUUAAUCUCAUUUUUUUCAAUAUUUUUUUUUAUUAAAUGGCGGAUACCGGGAUCCUAAUUUUCCUAGAUUUUCCUAAUUCCUAAAUUUCUUUAUAUUUCACAAGGUAGUGAUAAGGCUAUUCGAUUUAUCAUCAUUGAAUUACUGGUUUCUUGCAGCUUCUACCAUGUUCUUGUUUUUUUUCUAGGGCAAUGGCAUCAUUAAAUUAUUUUCUGAUUAGUUAUGGCAUAAUCCUUCAUCUAAUCAAUGAGCAUGAUUGAGCUAGUGUGCGCCUGUAGCGAGAGAUGAGUGAGCAUGCACGAUUUUGUAACAGUUCGUUUAGCCCGUAACUUCUUUUGCCUUAUGCUACGGAACUGAUUAAAUUUUUGUUUUAAUGUGUAAAAAACAUCAAGCUAUGGAAAAUCAUUUAUUAUUUUCAUUAAACUUAAUCUACUAGGUUAACUUUUAAAUUUACUGGUCCUAUUUUUUUGUCUCACCUUGGAUUGAAAUUAAAUGAUAUGACAAUAAUUUUGAUAUAAUUCAAUUAAUUUGAUUAGUUCAAAGACAUCCGAUUAAUUAAUAAAACAUUUUAAGAAAAAAAUAAAAGUUUUUUUUGAUAAAAUUAAUAUAAAAAACUCUCAACCCAAUCUCUUUCUAGCAUGAGUUUAUAGUUAAAUUAUGUGGGAUUCGUCAUAACAUGAUUUAUUCGACUUGAACGUUUAAAAACAACUUGAUUAAUUGCUUAAACAGAUAUAAGAAUGAAAUUAAAAAAAAAACUUUGAAAUUUAUAUAAAAAAACUCUUGAUUUGACUUUUUAUUUAAUUUAAGUUUAAAAUUAAUUUGUCCAGGAAUUAUCAUAAUAUAAAAUGAUUUAAAUGUAACUGAACCAUUAUUAAAAAAUUUAAAUUAAAAAUAAAAAUAAAAUGAAACUAAAAAACAUGAAGUAAAUAAAAAAACAAAGAGAUUGAAUUAAAAAAAAAACUCUUACACAGGCUCUUUUAUAUUUUUUAUUGUAAAAUGCUUUUAUAAAUAUUUAUUUUAUUUUUAUAUUUUUAAUUUAUUUUGAUAUUUUAAUAUAAAAAUAAAUUUUAAAAAAUAAAAAAUAUAUUUAUUUUCAAAUAAAAACAUUUAAAAAAAUAAUUGCUUCCAACAUUUCAAUUUCAAAUAUGCUGUUACUGAAUCUCUAGAAUGAUCCUGAUUCUUUUAGUGGAGAAGUAAUGAUUUGAUAGUUUUGUCAUUUAAGAUCGAGACAACGAGUGGCCGACAGUACUCCUCGAUCAGCGGUGUCAUGUGACCCCUGGUAUUGAUAAUCAUCUUAUAUUAUUAUUUAACGGAGCCCACACGACCUGUUUAUAUUUCUUUGCCCUUUGACAAGUCGUUUAUCUGCCAGUUCUCCAACCUCUCGUCAAUUUCCUCUCCAGUGAUUGUUUGGUAUUACAUUUUUAAAAGUGGCUGUAUAUGUUUAAAAAAUAUACUUGUUUUCUAAAAUAUUAAAUUAAUGAUUUUUAAAUUAAAAUAAUUUUUUUAGUUUUAUGGAUAAUCUAAAAUAAAAAACAAUAAAAAAUAUGGAUAAAAUUAAAAAUAAUAAUUAAAUGAAUAAUUUAAAAGAAAAAAAAAAUAAUCACCAACAAAAACCCAAACCCGAUAUAUUUUGGUUAUGUGCGUUGCUGAAAAGAUAUAAAUAUGAAAGGUAAAUAUUAAUUAAAAAACGUUAAUUUGUAUAUUUAAUUAAGAAAACAUUGGUUACUAGAAUCCUAACCAUUCAUUUAUUUUGGAAGGUUUAAAUUAAAAAAUAAAAAAAUAAAUCAUGCCCAAGAGAACAUGAGAGGAUCUCAAUUCUAUAAUUCGGGUGCCCAACCAUACCAACAUUACUGCAUCAUAUUUGAUAAACAAAAAAAUUAUGAUACUGAAGUAACAUUUACUAACAUUUAUUCAAUAUAAAAGAAAUAGAAAUAAAAUAGAGAAUUUUAAAAAAUAUUUUUAUUCUUAGAAGAAUGUAUUUUUAUUUUUUGGAUAAAAAUAUGAUUUUUCAUUUAUUUUUACAUCUUUUUUAAAAAAAUGGAUAUUUUUUUUUUUUAUUUCAUCAAAAUUCCACAGUUCAAUCUAGUUAGAUGGAGUAGUAUCAGGAUUAGUGACUUUCGGAUGAAUUCUUAUAUUACAUUUAUUUUUCUUUAUCGAGGGUCCAUUUGACAAAAUUAAUUACAAUUAAAAAUGCAAAAACAAAUAUCAUUAAUAGGUGUUUUUAAUAUAAGUUUACUUCCAUCCACAUUAUGGUAGGUGAUUGAUGGAUUUGUUGAAGUAAAAUAUUAAGAAGAAUAUAAACAAAAUAAACUUGAAGUAUGUAUAAAUAUUGUUUUUAAAGAUAUUUUCUUAAUAUAAAAUUAUUUUUUAAAUCUAAUAAGUUUUUUUUUUAUAAUAAGAGUCAUAGAAACAACUAGAUCAAAAGCGAAAGAAAUAUCAACAGAUUUUGUAAGCAUAAAAAAAUACUAUGAUUUUUAGCAUUGUUUGAUUGUAAGAAUGUAUGAUAUAUAUAGGUUAGUAGGAUAUAACAACUAGGUAAAAAAUAAAUUAAAGAAUUAAAGAGUUGUUACAACAGUUUAAAAAAUUAAUUUUUUUUAAAAAAUUGUAAUUAUUAAAAAUAAAAAUAAACAAAAGUUUCAGAAAAUAUAUACGUCGACUCUCACGCAGAAAAAAACAUUUUUUCCUACUUGUUGUUGAUUACUAUUUUAUUUUAAAAUUUAGUAUUGAAAAUCUUAUUUUUUCAAUGAAAAUCUUGACCUUAAGAGAACUGCAGCCGCCGUUGAAUGGGUGUGUGGUGUAUAAACACUAUCAUUCAUAUUUAUCCAGCGAAUGGGUGUGUGGGUUCGCUAUUGCUUUAAAUAGAGAAGGUAACCUCUCUAAUUCCAUUAGCUGAACAGCAAG